This 144610-nucleotide long non-coding RNA is filed under the name Gossypium barbadense (sea-island cotton). Its description in RNAcentral is "long non-coding RNA (GBAR_LNC010979)". The record is from RNAcentral. Lineage: Eukaryota; Viridiplantae; Streptophyta; Magnoliopsida; Malvales; Malvaceae.
GAAGCAUCAUUAUUGACAAAAAUGCAGCAACAAGCAACUCCAAUCCAUUCACUAUCUUUCCGAAGGUAGAUAGGUAGGAGUAUCUUAAUAGUAUCAAUUGAAGAGUCGCUUUUUUGUUGACUAAACAAUUCAGAAAUUCCACUUCCGGACAUAAUACUAUCAAACCAUUCUGGGAUUUCACUUCUAGGCAUAAUAAUAUCGAACCUUUUCCUUGAAUUUGCAAAUGCCUGCAAAAUAAAACACAAGUCGUUUGGUAACUGAACCAUAAAUUCUCAAGGAUGAGAUUUUGUAAGGGAGAAGAGAGAGAUUAAUCAACCUUAAGAAGUUUUUUCAGCAGUAUUAAUGCAUUCAUAUUCUCAGUCAAUUUGAAGCAGUUAAUGGCUCUAAUGAAAGCAGAAUCCAGUAAAUUGCAUACUUCUGAUGGACUUGCAACUACUUCAAGUGAACCACAGUCAUCUAUCGACACCCAUUCUAUACUUGUUGGAAGCUCAAGCAACGAUUUAAGCUUCAUGCAAUUUGACAAUGUAAGAAACUCAAGCUUGUAGAGUCGAGUAAGGGAUGCAGGUAUGCUGAUGAAAUUGUUAUUACUAAGAUCAAAAUGUAUCAAAAAGGAUAGACCAGAAAUGUCAUGUGGAAUAUCUCCUUCACAAAGAUGACAGUCCCUUAGUUUUAGCUCUCUUAAUGAAGUCAAACCUGACAACAAACGCAACACCGGAGCCAUGGGAGUCGUCCUCCUUCCUUGGAUUACCUUGAAAAGGGAAGACAAAUUUGGUCGUAACUUAGCUUGCUGCAAAUUCUCCUAUAAAUUUUCAACUCUAUAACAACCGGAAAGAUCUAGAGUUUUUAGAUGUUUCAUUUUCUCAUCAAUCUCCGGAAACCUUACAAGAUUUGAACAACCCGAAAGAAUUAAUGUUUCAAGAGAUUCCAUUCUAAUUUUGGUCGGAAAACUCCUAAGACUUUUGCAAUUUCUUAAAUUCAAAAGUUUAAGGCUCUUAAGCACUCCAAUUGAUGGAUGAACAUCCACUAAUUUGGUACAGCAAGAUUUGAUGCUGUUGUGAAGUCUAGUGUCUUGAUCAGGUUUUGGGACCCUUCAAGGUUCAUCAUUUUCAACUUAUACAAUGGCUGUUAAAAAUAUUAACAAAUUAGAGAGAAAGAGAAAACAUAAUAUUAAUGCUUAUUUUUUUAUCUUAAUCAAAAUUUAAUAUUUAUAUUAAAAUGAGCUAAAACACAAAGCUAAGAUGACUUAAUUCUUACUUUAUUCCCUUCCAUAGUUGUUUAACGUGACUAUAUGGUAAAAGAAGUGCAACAAGGUUGUCCGACUGGAAGCUUGAAGGCAACAAUAUUAAAGGGUAUCCUUUUCAAUCUAAAAGUCGUAGCUCAUUAGAAAGAAAUUUGAGAUCAUCACAAUCUGAGAGGCAAAGCACUUUGAGCAAUCUCAAUUUUUUUCAUUUUUGAGAAAACGUCGACACUCAAGUUGAGCAUCUUACUCGAUUCCCUAAUAACCAUGAACAAAACGAAAAUUAGCUUCAUAAUAUACAAAAGCAUUCAAUAUCUAAAAGCUAUGUUGCAUCGAUAUUGUUUUUGUAAGUAUCAUUAUCCCAUACUUUUAUCUAAUGCAUAUCUGAAUACCGGUAUUAAGAUUUGAUCUUUUAAGAACUCUUUAAAUACAUUAAAAAAAACAUUUAAAAAAAUUAUACAUACCCAUAUUGAAGAUAUACUUGUAUCUAACAACCACAUCUAACGUCAUAUUACCUAAUCCUAAAAAAUUGAAUUAAUAUUUUGAUUUAUAUUUAGUCUACAAACAAUGCAUAAUUCUAUACAAGUUAAUGAACUAAACAAUGAGAUAUAAUUAGAAAGGAAACCAUUUUCAUUUUAAAAAAAAAACUUUUACAAUCUAAUUCAUUGAUAUACGCUAUUAGUGCAUUAAAUUUAUACCAUUAAUAUUGCAGAAAGAUAUACACAUUUCACAUUUCACUAUUGAUUCUUUUAAAAGAGUAAUAUGUUGCUAGAUAAAUUUAAUAGUUAAACAUUGAAAAUAUUUAGUGUCAAAGGUUUUGCUAUAGUUUCUUAUCAUAUUUAAAAUAAAUAAAACCAUUAUUUAUAAUACAUAAAGAUAUAAGUUUAUAUGUAUCUUCUUACCUUUUAUUAUCGAUGAACAUUCCUUCAAUUAUUUCUGUAGCUUAAAAAAAAUUAAGAAUAGAAAAUAAGAAAACAAAAUAAAUAGUGUAUAAUGUAAGAUAAAACUUUUAAAAAGUUACAUUUUUAUUUAGCAUUAUUAUGCUCGAAAUAUAAUAAAUAAAGCAUUUUAAACAAAGUUAAACAGUUCCUAAUAAUGCGAUAAAAUUAAAUAUUUGUUUCUAUAAAUUUUUGUUAAUAUUUGUAAACAUCAAACAUAAUUUAUCUCAAAAGUACUAAAUACCACUUUUUAAGGAUGUUGUAUCAAUCAAUUAGACUAAGCUUUGAAUUUAUAUCAUAUAUUGAUUAGAUAUUAUAUACAUAAAUAAGAAAUAGUAUAUAUAACUUUUGUUGAAUGACUUACGGUAUUUUUUGUUAGGAUAUGAUAGAUGUCCGUUUCCUCCCACAAUAUACAACAUUUUCCAGGUUCAUCAAUACAUUUUUCUAUAAUAAUUUUUCUUCCCAUUUCUUGCAACAAAUCAUGCAUCCACAAAUAUUGGUUGCCAUAAUAGACUUUUAUGAGAGAUUUCUUAAUGAGAACAUCAAUUCCAAUAUCCGGGAAAAACUCACAACCAUCCAAUACUUUCAUUACAAAAUCUUUCUUCUCCCCAUUGAAAAAGCAUGCUAUAUCUACAAAUAUAUUCUUCUCCCUUUCUUCUAACCCAUCAAAACUUAUUCGAAGUUUAUCGAAAAUUUCUUUAUUAGAAUCUCUUUUAAGUCUUUCAAUCGCACUUCUCCAUUGAGUCACAUCUCUUCUUCACAAAAAAGAACCCAAAACUUCAAGAGCUAAAGGGAGCCCACCAGCAAAAUUUACAACAUGGUAAGAAAGAUCAAUGAAAUCAUCUUUUGGCACUAUAUCACGAUGGAAAGCUUUUAAAUUGAAAAGUUGAAGCGCAUCUUUGGUAUUCAAUGUUGUGGGCAUAUACACAUCAUCAACUUGGCAACAUCGAAGUAAAUGUUCAUCUCUUGUUGUUACAAUGAUUCUACUCCCUAAUCCGAACCAGGCAGCAUAUACAUCAGCAACUUGGCAACAUCGAAGUAAAUGUUCAUCUCUUGUUGUUACAAUGAUUCUACUCCCUAAUCCGAACCAGUCAUGCCUUCCAACCAAGUAUUUUAAGUGUUGUAUGUUAUCAACAUCACCAAGAACAACAAGAACCCUUUUGCGAGACAAUGUACGACUAAUUAUUUUAUUCCCUUCAUGAACAUUGAAAAAGUUGAAGCAUUCAUCAUGAAUGAUUUGUGAAAGAAGUUGUUUCUGUAAAGAAACUAGUCCACAUUUGUCUGAAACUUCUCGAAUAUCAGCGAAAAAGCUUCUGCCUUCAAAACGAGGUGCCAUUUGAUUGUAAGCAACUCUUGCAAGUUUUGUCUUACCGAUGCCGCCCAUUCCACAAAUCCCUAUAAUGCGGACAUCAUCUUUCCCCAUGUUUAUUUUCAAAUAUAAAUCCUCCAAGCGUACACUAAUUCCAACCAAGCCACUAUGAGUAACUUGAUAUAUCUAACAUAGUUUUGCUGAUAUCUUCCGAACAAUCUCCCUAAUAAAGUCUGAUUCAUGCCUAAAAAAAAUUCAAUUUUUUUUGAAUAAAAUUUUGUUGAUAUCUUUCAAAUGCACUUUGUUUUUCCAUGAAUCAUGAAACAUAAUAUAGUUAGGAAAAAAACAAGAACCAAGAACAAGAAAGCAAGAUCUGUUGCAGAACCAGAAUACAAUAUUUGCUCUUUUAUUGAAAUAUACCCGGAAACCUAGAAAUAGAGACGACAAGAAAGAAUUACCUGUUAUUUAAAUGUCAUCCCUUGAUAACAGCCACUUGAAUUAUAGCAUUUCGCCACCUUUGGAUCUUCUCACUUUCUUCUUUGUAUCUCUCUUCAUGUCUGGCAAAGGCUUCUUCCACUUUCCCUUUUUGUUUUCUUAAAUCAGAUGGAUCAACAUUGUAAAAAAUUGGAAACACUUUAUGGCCAUCGUUGUUAUGUUGUUUAACAAUCUCAGCAAGCUCCUCCAAGCACCAACUUGAAAAGGCAUAAGUUUCUAAAAAAACGAUUACCGAGCACCAUGAUUGCUGAAUUGCUGUAAAGAGUUCUGGCACGAUCUCUUGGCCGGCCUCCAUCUUUGGAUCAUCCCUGAAAGUGAGGAUCCCGCUCCUACUUAGAGCAUGAUUGUUGGUGUUAGACACACUUUAACCGGAUGAAGUAAGAACUUCAAUCUGGACUUUAACAGCAACGUAUUUUACCCGGAUAAAAUAUGAAGGAAAAAUGCUUGAAGUUCAAGCUUUCAGCUACUGUCAAGAAUGGAGAACAGAACUUAGAAGGCAAAGAAAGAUAGAGCAUAUGGAAGAAAAUCUGAUGAUUUCAUUCAAAAAGAAACUUUGGCUCAAAGCCAUUACAUAUACCAGACUUUGGCUGGUCAAAAAUAAUAAAUUCAUGACCUAAACACUACCUAACUCCACUUAUUACAUUGGAACUAGGUGAUAUUACUUGCACACUUAAACAAAGCUGGUAACCAGCUCUUUGACCAUCAAGUUACAUCAACUUGUCAUCCAAACAUAAUUCAAAAUGAACUAAAUUACAAAAACAUUAUUAAAAGGUAACAAAAUGAAACUGAGAUGAAGCAGUAGCAUUAGCAUCUUCAGUUGCACGUACUUUACCCGGGAAACUUAUGUGCAUGGAUUUUUGCACGUACUUUACCCGGACAACUUAUGUGCAUGAAUUCUUGUGUGCAUGAAUUUGUAUGAGCUGCAUGGAGGCCAACUUUUCUGGUUCAAGAUGCAUACUUCAACCGGUAAUAAUACAACAGUUUGAUCUCUUUUCUUCACAGCUGCAUGCAUGGCUCCGGCUGCUUCUUGACAUGUUGGAAAUUCACAUGCUGCAUGCAGGCCAAUUUCCAACACUCUUCCUUGGCUUGCAUACUGCAAACUCUUGUUCAUUAAGCAUUCUUUGAUGAUUUGGUUCACUAAAUCAUUUUUCUCAUCUCCUUUUGCUUCCAAAUCUCUUUGAAGGUCCUCGACCAUUUGCUUCAACUCCAAUUUUUGAUUCUCCAUUUCAUUCGAUCUUUUAGAUGACUUUUUUUUGUUUCUCUCAAACUGCAAUUCUAGUUUUGUCUUCUGGAUAUGAAGAGAUUCCAACUGCUGCUGCAAUGUGUUUGCCUCAUCCAUUAACCUUUGUAUUUGAUUUGAUGCUUCAUCACUUUCAAAUGCAAAAUUUUCUUUCAACAGAGCUUUCUCAGCUUGCAACGUCUCCUUCUCUAAUAGCAGAUUAUUUUCCUGAGCAGUCAAGUUCUUCACACCAGACAAUGAUUCACUGCUAUCAUCCUCAAGUUCCUUCGUGAGAAUAAAAAUUUCUUUUUCUCUCUUUUCUAACAUUAUUUUGAGUUCUAAAAUGCGGGAUUGAAGUCCUAUAUUUUGUUCUCCCAGUUUUUCUGCUUCAUUUACUUUGUUCUCUAACUGAUCCGCCAUAUCUCUGUUAGUUGCCUGUAAUGAUUUCAACUCAAGUUCCAAGCUAGUUACAUGUGCCUUUAAUUCUUUUAUCUGAGGAGAUGAUUGGUUCCCAUGCAUAUCAUGCACCUCUUUGAGUGUCAAAAGUUUCCUUUCUUUCUCAACUGAAUUAGUGAAAUUUUCAACCAAAUCUUCUUUGGUUAGCUGAGCCAUUGACAUGCAGUUGGCAUGGCUAAGCCUCUUGUGACACAGCUUGGAUUCAUCUGCAGCAGCUGUGUAGGCACUAUCUGGACUCUUAUUCCAGUCCACAAUGAAACUUUUUUCUGUCAUAGCUACUAUCAUGAGCUUGGAUCCACUAGGAUCACUAAUCAGGCAUUUUUUGCCUUUGAAUACAACUGAAUAGCCCUUCUCAAGUAGUUGAGCAAUGCUAAGCAAAUUUCUAUCAAUUUCAGGCACUAACAAGACAUUUGUAACAAGUUUAGUACUUGUAGGAGUGUUUAUCAGCACAUCUCCUUUCCCUUCAACUUUGAUAAAGUGUCCAUUUCCGACUUUCACAUUUGUUUUGAAGCUUCUGUCAAUUGACUUAAAAUUGUGAGCAUCAGGGGUCAUGUAGUUUGUGCAACCACUGUCUAUCAACCAUCCAUUUGUGGCUUUUCCUUUUGCAGCUGAGUAAGAAACUGUAAAAACUUGUUCUUCUUGGUCAUUGUCUUCUUCUACUACUUGAGCUUCAGCUCUUGGCUGCUGGGGUUUGUUGUAUCUUGGUCUGCCCUUAUUUUUGCAAACCCUUUUUACAUGACCCAUCUUCUUGCAGAAUCUGCACUGCACAUCAGGCCUGAACCAACAUACUUUACCCUGAUGACUUGCCCUUUUACAGUGUGGGCAGGGUGGAUAGCUUCCUGCACCACCUACUUUAGGCUCGUUUGACCAGGUAUUCUUGCCUUUGUAGGCAGAGGUGCUCGAGGCAAACUUGGCUUUAGUUUGAAAGGCACCUACUUGGUGCUCCUCCGAUCUGCUGGCCCUCCUUUGCUCUUGCGUAUACAGAGCAUUGAUCAGCUCUGUUAAAGAGAUGCUGGUCAGGUCCCUUGAAUCUUCAAGAGAUGAGAUUUUUUCCCCAUACCUUUUUGGUAAGGUAGAGAGCACUUUCUCCACAAUCCUUGCCUCAUCGAUUACUCACCAAGGAGCCUUAUGCUGUUAAAUACAGCCAUGAUUCUGUCAGAAUACUUCUUGACAGUUUCUUCUUCCUUCAUCUUCAAGUUCUCGAACUCCCUUCUCAGAUUCAACAACUGCUGCUAUCUUGUCCUCUCUGUGCCUUGGAACUCCUCCUUGAGUUUGUCCCAGGCUUGUUUUGGUGUUUCACAAGCCAUGAUUCUAGUAAAAAUUACAUCAGAAACACAGUUCUGAAUGCAAGACAUGGCCUUGUGCUUUUUACUUUUUUUAUUCAGAGUACUGCUUCAUUUGAGCCACUAUUGGAUUUGCUCUCAAUGGUUCUGGUUCAACAUCUGAGUUAACUACCUCCCAUAGAUCAAAUGCCUGGAGGUAGGUUCUCAUCUUGACUACCCAAAUGUGAUAUCCUUCUCCAUUGAAAACUGGAGGUGCAGCUGGUGAGAAGCUUGAUGAAGCCAUCUUGUUUUAUAUUGAAUAUGAAACAGGUCCUCUAAGAAAUGAGCUCUUGAUACCAAUUGUUGGUGUUAGACACACUUUAACCGGAUGAAGUAAGAACUUCAAUCUGGACUUUAACAGCAACGUAUUUUACCCGGAUAAAAUAUGAAAGAAAAAUGCUUGAAGUUCAAGCUUUCAGCUCCUGUCAAGAAUGGAGAACAUAACUUAGAAGGCAAAGAAAGAUGGAGCAUAUGGAAGAAAAUCUGAUGAUUUCAUUCAAAAAGAAACUUUGGCUCAAAGCCAUUACAUAUACCAGACUUUGGCUGGUCAAAAACAAUAAAUUCAUCACCUAAACACUACCUAACUCCACUUAUUACAUUGGAACUAAGUGAUAUUACUUGCACACUUAAACAAAGCUGGUAACCAGCUCUUUGACCAUCAAGUUACAUCAACUUGUCAUCCAAACAUAAUUCAAAAUGAACUAAAUUACAAAAACAUUGUUAAAAGGUAACAAAAUGAAACUGAGAUGAAGUAGUAGCAUUAGCAUCUUCAGUUGCACGUACUUUACCCGGGAAACUUAUGUACAUGGAUUCUUGCACGUACUUUACCCGGACAACUUAUGUGCAUGAAUUGUUGUGUGCAUGAAUCUGUAUGAGCUGCAUGGAGGCCAACUUUUCUGGUUCAAGAUGCAUACUUCACCCGGUAAUAAUACAAUAGUUUGAUCUCUUUUCUUCACAGCUGCAUGCAUGGCUCCGGCUGCUUCUUGACAUGUUGGAAAUUCACAUGCUGCAUGCAGGCCAAUUUCCAACAAUGAUAGAGAUAAUCGGUAAAGUUGUUGCGGGUAUCUUCACCUCUAAAACUCAAGAAAACAUUUUAUUUCUUUCUAGUAUUGGAUGAAGAAGUUAAAGGUAAUGACGACAUGACGAUGUAGUGUUCAAAAUCAGAAAAUUGAUCGCUCAAUACGCCAGAAAGAAACUAGAACAAUAAGUAUACGAGAGUGAAGAAGGAGAAAAAGGGAUCAAAUUUCCAGGGAAGAAUGAAGGUCGUUUCUAAGCAAUUUCUCUAUAACCUUUUUCUUUUUCCAAAUGAAUGCUCGUAGGUGUGGAAAUUGUGUGAUGCAUGUUCUUUCCAGGAAGAAUCCAAGAAGGUGGGAGUUCACAAUAUGGAGCCUACAAUAAUUAUAAGUAAAGUGUUGGGACGGUUUGUCUUUUACUUUCUUUUCCAUUAUCAUAUCUACUUUAUAAUUAUUAAGCAUUAAAAUUAUGUUUUACGUGCUCAGCUAGUUUGUAUUUAUAUAUCUAAUUAUAAAUUUAAUUUUAGUUGUUUUUGUAUAACUGAAAUACUAAUUAAUGCUUAAUAAUUGUGUUUUACAUGCUUAACUAGUUUGUAUUUAUAUAUCUAAUUAUAAAUUUAGUUUUAGCUUAUUUAUAUAACUGUAGUAUUAAUUAAGUGAUAAUUAUUACUUUAAAAUAAUAAGUAUAAUCUAUAAAAAAUAAUCUAAUUAAGUACAUUGAUGUAUUAAUUAUUGUUUCAUUAUAGUACUAUAUAAGUGUUGAUACAUUAUUAUGGUUUUAUAAAAAUUACUAUCUUUUUUAUUAAUUCAUCACAUUAAUUGGAACUAAUUAAUUAAGCAUUAUAAGUGUUAUUUAAAUGUUAAAAGACUUGCUUUUUUUGAUACAAUGUCGAAAAUUACACAUAGUUCUCUUCAAUCCUUAAAUAGAAGAAUAAUGCACUUCAGCGUACUCGAAUUCACAUCUUCUUGCAUUGACAAUAAUAUCAAUAUCAAUCAAGCUAAUACUCAAUCCAAAUAUAUUGUAGUUAUUAAAUUUAAUAGUCUCAAGAAUUGAAUUACUUUUCAUACAUUAAUCAUUGGAAACGUUGAUAGCUUGUAUCAACACCUCUACCACCGACAAUGAAUUAGGCAACAAAACGUGCACAUUGAAGCAAAAAGGAAUUGUGUAAUAAAUGAUGUCACCUUCACCAUUUAUUUUUAUUAUCACAAACCCAAAUCAAUUUCCUUUCACUGAAUAUAGAUAAGCCAUAAUUAUUUUUUGAGCCCUCUAACUUAAAAAAAAAUUAUUUUAACUCUUAAUAAAAAGGAUCCUAAUUUUUUAUUUUAUUACUAGUACAAAUCCAGACUGUCACCUUCGAUUCACCAUCAAGCUAGCUCCAAGAAUGACAAUUAUGUAAUAUGUUCGUCAAACCCAAAAUAAUUCAUAGUCAUUCAAUCUACUUUUACACCUUAUAUUACUUGGGAAAAGUAAAGAAGUUAGUGGGAGUGAAACUGAUAGGGAUUAAUGUGAAUAUGAGUGAUCAAGUCAAUAAGAGCUUUGUAUAGCAUGGGGAAUUACAAAUGUAUACUAUAUAUAUCUGUAAACAUUUCACCCUUUGUAAUUUUCGUAUUCUGCUUUUUGAAUAAUUAAAAAUAGUUUUUUAUACUCAACAUUUAACUUGAGCUCGAUUAAACUUAUAUGUGUUCGAGCUUGAGCUCAACUCAAUAAUUAAAUUUAAAGUUAAUAAUAUAUAUCAAGGAAAUAAUGUAACUUAACAAUAUAAAAAUAUUUAAAAUAUAUGUUAAAAUUGAAAAGUUCGAUACGAUUUGUGAACUAUUCGAACGGAGUAUUACUAAGUUCGUAUUCAGCUCAACUAAUAACUCGAGUUUGUCUAUUAAUUACACUUCUCCGGCUUUUUAUUCUUUUCUUGAGACACUUGAUCUCGUUGGUUUUAAUCUUGAAGCAAUGAUUUUAAGCAAGGGUGAAAUCAUGAAUUUUUUGGAGCCGAAAUUAUAUUUUUAUAAUUUUUGACGGAUUAAAUUAUUUUUUUUAUUUUUAAGAGGUCUAAAUAUUAUUUUAAUUUUAUUAAUUAAAAAUUUUAAAUACCUUAAAUAAAAAAAAUUCUAUUUUUGGAGAAACUGGACCUGCCAUACCCACUAAUUUCGCCCCUGUUCUUAAAUUUAUAUAUAUUACGUUUCCAAUUAUGUGAAAAGAAAUGCAUACUUUAAAUCAAAUAAAACUGUAAAUAACAUAGCUAAAAAUGUCUGAACAGGACGAAGCUAGUUAAGCACUUUACCACAAUUAAUGCUUGUUCUUCGAUCAGCCAAUUAUAAAAUUGAAGAAUUUUUGCAUCCGUUUUGGUUGUAGCCCUUCUUCCUCUGUCUCCUUACAGAUAUUACGUUUGCGUUUUAUAAGGGAAGUACUACCUAUUGAUCCAUCAUUGUGAGAAGAGUGUUGGUGGAUAUGUUCAAAUUUUGGAGAAGAUGGAGUGCUAUGGCACUGCAGCUCUUUUAUUUCUUCCAAAUCCUUCUUAUACACUAUUCUAGCACCACACUUCUUCACUUUAAGACUGUGACCAAUUGGGUUGUGAAAGACAACUUAAGCCUAUUACAACCAGCUUCUCCAACAUUUCUCCAAUGAAUAUUGGCUCUAAAAAGGAUAGCCUCCAUAUACUUGGAAGCAUCAUCAAUGUCAAAAAUGCCACGUGAAGCAACUCUAUUCCAUUUAUUAUCUUUCUGAAUAGUGAGAGGUAAAGUUAUCCUAAUUCAAGAAUAAUUUAUGUGUUUGUUAAACCAUUCAGGGAUUUAAUUGAUGAUGAUAUGUUUUAUUGUGAUUACCAUCACGUUAUAUCCACUUAUAAUUAAAUUUUUUUAUAUAAAAAUUUAAAAAAAAACUUAAUCUAUAGUGUUUAUAUAGCGAUGACCUAAGUGUAAUUAAAAUAGAUACUAUAUAUAAAAUAGCUUAAAAUAUGCUUUUAAAUCCUUAUACUUUUUGUAUAUUUGUAAUUUAGUCUUUUUAUUUUUCAUGUUUUAAAAUUUAGAUUCAAUUGUUAAUUCCAUCUAAUUUUUCUAGAUAUUUUAAAAUAAAAAACAUACUCACUUAAUAGUGAUGUAUAACAUUACACAUUAGACCAAAAUUUGUGCAUAAUUUUGAGUUUUGUCCCUUUUGUUAGUAGCAACUAAUUUUAAAAUAAAAAAUCAAGCACUUUUUUGAAAAACAUUAAUGUUGGUGUUAUCAUUAAUGAUUUUACAUAUCAAAAUGUUCGUAGAACCCAUUUUAUGAUUUUUUGUGUUUUUAUAGUUGAUGAUAUAGGAGUAGAUUGAAUGAAAAAUAUUUUUGGUUUUUAUUUUUGUUAGAAAAAUAUAUUAUUCGCUUAAUGCCAUAGAUAUUAUUUUAAUGAAAUUAUUAUUAUAUAAUUUUAUUUUAUUAUAUUACAUUUUAUAAUUUUUUUAAAAGGGCUUGAUUUAUUAUUUUGUCUAAGGCCCAAAAAUGUCAAGAAUGGGCCUGAGGGUACAUUACUCCUUUUUGCUUAAUUAUGAUGUUUUAUGUUCUUUAAUUAUUGUAAUUGUACUGUAUUCGUUACACUUUAAAAAAUAAAAUUUAAGAACAUAUUUAUAAAAUGGUUGUUCAUUUUUAUAUUUUGUGCUAAUUCUAUGCUUGAUAUAUGAGCACCGAUGUGCAAGAUUAAGUUGUUGGCGUCAUUUCUAGGGAACUUUGUGUGUGAUAAGUUGAAUCACGUUGACUUUUGCAUGUUUGGGUAACGAGUUAGCCCCAUGUCAUCUCGAGCUGGAAAGGAUUUUAACCAACGCGAGACUUGGGUAACUUCCAAAAGAAGACCCACUGCAAGUCAAAUCAUCAAUUUCCGAUUUGUCGUGUAAUAGUCCUCUCUUUGAAAAUCCACCUUUUAAGUCUUUCAAAUCUAGAGGAGCUAGAACCUCUUAUCUGACCGAGACAAUGGCAAAUCGUACGUCGAGAGAUUACGCCAUGCUGACACUUAGAUGUUGUGCGAGGUAGGAUCAAUUGGCUCACCAUUAAUGCCAACAAUUUUGAGAUCAAGUCUGCGAUGUUUCAAAUAAUUGAAAGUAAUAUUCAAUUAAGGGAAUCAAAUUUGCUCCUAAUUUUUGUUUAUGUGAUAUUUUGUUAUUAUUAUUUAAAAUAUUUUUAUUGCGUAAGUGUUGAGUGCAUGACAUAACACAUUACAUUUAAAAAUAUAUAUUUAAAUUUAAAUUUUAGAGAUAAAUAUUAUUAUAAAGAAUAAUUAUUUUUAAUUAUUAUUUAAAUUUCACAAUAUUUAUUUUGCUAUUUUAUUUAGCUCAAUAAACCUAUUUUUAUCUAUAUUCACCUAAAGAAUCAGAAAUGUGAAGGUAUAUUUUCAACUAUAUAUUUCCCUAAAUCUUUUAUAGGAGUUGUUUUUAUAUAUUAUAUAGAUCAACAUAUAAAAUAAAUUUAAUUUUAAAUUUUUGAAAAGUUUGAACAAAAAUAAUAAAUUUAAAAAUCGGAUUUAAAUAAAAAAAUUUGAUCUCAUUUAAAAUGUAAGCAUGACUUGAACAAUUUUGUAACUAAUAUUUUGGGCCAAAUUGGGCUUGAGCAAGCAUGCAUUCUGCUAAUACUAUACAUAUGCUUGAACCUGACCCCUUUUGCGCAUUUACCCAAUACUAGUGUUAAUUAAAGAUUUUAUAUCAAGUCGUUUAUCACUUCAACAAUAAUUUUAUCUGACUUGUUAGGUUUUUUUAUUUUUAUUGUGGAGUUAUAUCUCAAAGUUAUGAUUAAUUUGGAAAUAAACUUAUUUAAGAGUGGAUAUAUUCAUCCAACCUCAAAUUCUCUGGGAGGAUUUGAAUAAAAGUACAAGACCUAACAAAUAUUAAAAUGCUAAUAAAACAUUUAAAUUGUCACAACAUCCGUUGAUGUUUAAAAUUCUAAUAAAAGAAAAUAAAUAAGAUUAUUAAAUAUUAAAUAUUAAAUAAAAAUAUUAUUUUUUAAAAAAUAAUAUGAAUUUUGUAAAGAAAUAAUAAUAUGAACAAACUUAAAACGAAUUUAAAUUUGCCAUUUAUAAAUGUAAAUGGGCUUGAACAAAAUUUGAAGCCUCUAUUUUGGAUCAAACCGAGCUUGAGUAAGCAAUAAAAUGUGCUAGUCAAGACUUGGCUCGCCUCAUAAAUUCUUUGCUUGCGUAAGGGUGAGAAUUGACUGAAUCUAGUCCAAUCGAGUAAAAAAAAUUUAAUUUAGUCAAGUUGAAGAGUCCUAUUUUUUCAUCUUAAUUUGAUUUGAAAUUUUUUUGAAUUAAAUAAAGUGAAAUGAAAUGGUAGUCGAGUUGAAUCGAAUAAAUUUGUAGUGAAUAUUAAUAACAUUGGACUACCAAGAAAGGGUGAAAAGCUCACCUUAUUACCCAGUGUCAUUUUUACUGCCAUCACAGCUUCACUUGUUAGUAUUUGCUCUUUGAUACUCAGGCACUUUUAGUAGUGCGACUGUGGAAGGGAUUUCGUUAUGCAAACUACUUCUUCAUGGAAGUGCUAGUCAAUAGACAUGAUUAACGUGAAAGCUCCUCUUACCAUGUACUGGGAAUGAGUGACUAUUGCCUCUGUUUAGCUUCAUUCACCCUGGAAAGGAAUUAUUGAGCUAAUUAGUGGGUGUUUCGAGCUAAGUUUUUUGAGUUCAAGGUUGUAUACUGGGUUUUAAGAUGUUUCUUGUGAGAUCCCUUGGUUGGGAACUAUCAAAUUAUUUCCUUUCGAUUGAAAAGCUUUAUGCUUUGUUUGCUCGUGGCUUUUUGAACUUCGAGCGCGUGUUCAGCAAUGGGUGCAAGUCAUCAUUCGCAGAGAUAUCAAGCCUGCCAAUAUGCUGAUAGACAGUGACAUGAAUGCCGAUUGGGGGAUUUUGGGCUUGCAAAGCUAUGCGACCUUGGAAAUGAUUCUCUCAAACCUCGCAUGUAAACUUGGUUACAUGGCUCUUGAGCUUGCAAGAAUUCGGAAAACAAACACAAGCACUGAUAUUUAUGCAUUUGGUGAAGUUGAUCGGUGAAGUUGAAUUAAAGAAUUUGUUUCAUCUUAAGAUUUAUGAUCCAAAUUCAAAACAUUUGUUGAUAGAGUGUUUUACAGCUUCAAAGGCCAAGAGUACUUUGCAGGGUGGAAACUGGUUCAUAAGCCCUGAAUGCCCCCUUGUUCUUGUUGGAGUUUGAAGAUCGUCUUAUUCAUUCUAUUAUUAUGUAUUCAAAGGACAAAUCCACUUUAAAAUAUAACUUGAGAUUUAGUUAUUUGGUCCAUUUGUCUUUAAGAACAUCAAUUGUUUGAAUCUCAAUAGAGGUGAACAUUUGAUAAUUUCAUUUUACUGGUUUUUAAUCUGAAUAGUUAAAUCAUUUAAAACAAUCAUAAUUGUGCACGGAUCAAAUGGAAUUUUCUUCACUUUUAUCUUCUCUUUGAGUUAGAGGAAAAGAAGUCUAAUUGAGACAAGACUUAAAAGUUUAAUGUUGAAUUGUAAUGAAUUCACUAUUCAAGUCACGGCAACACUAUUAAAUAAAUUAACAGUUCAAUCAAACACAUUUUAGGUUAAAAAAUUCAUAAUAUGACUCAAAAUAAAAUGUUUGGGACCCAAAUAGCUAAUAAAAAAAGAGACUUAAGUGUCAAAUUUUAUAAACGCUAAGAACUUUUUUUGUCAUUAUGCCUUAUUUAAAAGGUAUUAUUGACAUUACUAUUUGAAUUUACCUUUUACAAAUAGCAAAUUCAAAAUGUUGAUUUAAAAUACUAUAAAUUACAUUACAUUACUUGUAAAAAAACAAUUAAUUAUAUAAUAACAUAAUCUAUUUCUCGAAAUCCUAAUUCUUAUCCGCUUCCGUUUCAUCUUGAUGACUUUUGAUAGUCCUUCACUUGCAUGAUCCGUUGAGCAGACUCUCAUGCUUCUAUUGGUUUAAGGACAAACAUGAAACACCAAGAUUAUUUUCAUUGCAUUGAGAUCAUAUAUAUAUAUAUAUAUAGUACUGGUACAUUAAUUUACCUCAAAUCGAAAAUCAUUUAUUGAUAUAUAAUGGAAACAUAACUGUUGAAAAUAUUACUCACAUCAACCAAAAACUAUAUCUCUAUUUCUCUAAACCCUAAUUUUAGAUAAGAACAAAAAAUGAAUCUAUUGAAUUUUAAAAAAAAAUAUUGGAUAUGAAUCUGUCUCUCACACGAAAAAUAUUUUCCAAUAAAAUAAAAGAGCAUACUUUAUUCAUAUUUGAAUAGGUGUAAAAAAGUAAAUGCAUAAACAUAAAUACUUUAUAAAAAAUAUAAACUCAAGAUUUGAAAUAAUAUUAUUUGUAGUUAACUCCAUGAAAUUUAAAUCGUACUUUUAUUAGAAGGAAUUAAUGACUUAUAUUUAAUCUCCAAAAUAUAUAAAAGUAAUUUUGAUUGAUUAAAUUAAACAAAUAAAUUGGUCUUAAAUAAAAAUUAUUAUUUUUAACUUAGACGAAAUUAUGAUCUAUUCCUCAUUAAAGGAUGUUCACGUACGUUAUUAUGACCUGUUUCGUCACGGAAGUUAUUCUUUUUUUUCUACAUUUCGGUUUCAAGUUGAUUAUAUUUACUUCAACCUAUAAAAAAAUAUAAAUAUAAGUGAAUAUUUAAUGAAAAUAAAAUUUUAAUAAAUAAAAAAAAUAAACCAAUCAAAAUGUGUGCAAUAUGAAUUGACUAAAAUUUUAAAUGGUAUAAGAAAACAGUGUUAUCGACAUUUGGGAUAUGUAAUGUUUAAUAUGAAUAUGAAUAAAUUUUUUUAAAUUUUUUAGUAUAUAAUGAAAUGAUUAUAUCUCUAUAAUGAUUACUUUAAACGAAAUACAAGAUGUAAAGAAUGUAGAUGUGUAAAGGAAAAAUUAAUAGUUUACCACAGCUAAUGCUUCUUACUCGAUUGGCCCGUUAUAAAAUUGAUCACUUUUUGCAUCCGUUUUUGUUGCGGCUCUUCUUCCUCCUUUUCCUCGUAGAUAUUACGUUUUCGUUUUAUGUGAGAAGUGCUACGUACUGAUCCAUCGUUGUGAGCAAAGUGUUGGUGGAUGUGAGAAGAUCGAGUGGUAUGGCAUUGCAACUCUUUUAUAUCUUCCAAAUCUUUCUCAUACACUAUUCUAAUACCACACUUCUUCACCUUAACAGAAGGGUGCUCUGGUCCAAUUUCGGUUUUGAAAGACACCUCUCAUCGCAUAUUUGAUCUAAGCAAUCUGUUGUCCAUAAAUUAUUGGUUUCACAGUCACGAUAUUUAUCAUACAAGGAAAAUGAAUAUAAUAUAUCACGCGGAAAAUAAUGAAGAAAAAAGUGAUCUUUCAUUGUGGGCUUGCGAUAUAGUAUACCCGUCGACCAGCCUCUCGAAUCAAUUGGUCGACAAUUUCUACCUCGAAAAAUAGAUCCAUUAAAGCUGAUCCAUUGAGUAUAUGUUGAAGCAUCAUUACGGACAAAAAUGCAGCAACAAGCAACUCCAAUCCAUUCACUAUCCAUCCGAAGAUUGAUAGGUAGGGGUGUCUUAAUUGAAGAGUCAGUUUUUUGUUGGCUAAACCAUUCUGGAAUUUCACUUCCGAGCUUAAUAAUUUCAAAGAUGCCAGUACCAGACCAUUUUCUUGAAUCUACAAAUGCCUGCAAAAUAAAACACAAGUCGUUUGGUAACUAAAACCAUAAAUUCUCGAGUUUGAGAUUUUGUAAGGGAGAAAAUAGAGAUUAAUCGACCUUAAUAUGUUCUUUCAGCAUUGUUAAAGCAUUGAUUUUCUCAGCCAAUUUGAAGUAGUUAAUGGCUCUAAUGUUAUCACAACCCACAAAAUUGCAUACUUUUGAUGGACUUUCAACUACUUCAAGUGAAGAACAACCGUCUAUAGACACGCUUUUUAUACUUGUUGGUAGCUCAGGCAACGAUUAAAGCAUCUUGCAAUCUGACAAUGUAAUAGAAUGAAGCUUGGAAAGUCGAAUAAUAGAUGCAGGUAUGCUGAUGAAAUUGUUACUCCCAAGACCAAGAUAUUUCAAAGAGGAUAGACCAGAAAUAUCCCUAGGAAAAUCUCUUUCACCAAGACUGCAGAUGUUGAAAUUUGACAAUACAAGAAACAGACGCUUUGAGAGUCGAGUAAGAGAUGCAGGUAUGCUGAUGAAAUUGUUACCACUAAGAACAAGACGUAUCAAAGAGGAUAGACCAGAAAUAUCACACGGAAUAUCUCCUUCACAAAGAUUGCAGUUCCUUAGAUUCAACUCUCUUAAUGAACUCAAACCUGACGACAAAGGCAACAUCCUUGGAUUUUUUAAUAAUAACAUCAAUUCUAAUAUCUGGGAAUGUUGGAAAUUGGCCUACAUGCAGCAUGUGAAUUUCCAACAUGUCAAGAAGCAGCCGGAGCCAUGCAUGGAGCUGUGAAGAAAAGAGAUCAAACCGUUGUAUUAUUACCGUGUGAAGUAUGCAUCUUGAACCAGAAAAGUUGGCCUCUAUGCAGCUCAUGCAGAUUCAUACACACAAGAAUUCAUGCACAUAAGUUGUCCGGGUAAAGUACGUGCAAGAAUCUAUGCACAUAAGUUUCCCGGGUAAAGUACGUGCAACUAAAGAUGUUAAUGCUACUGCUUCAUCUUAGUUUCAUUUUGUUACCUUUUAACAAUGUUUUUGUAAUUUAGUUCAUUUUGAAUUAUGUUUGGAUGACAAGUUGAUGUAACUUGAUGGUCAAAGAGCUGGUUACCAGCUUUGUUUAAGUGUGCAAGUAAUAUCACCUAGUUCCAAUGUAAUAAGUGGAGUUAGUUAGUGUUUAGGUGAUGAAUUUAUUGUUUUUGACCAGCCAAUGUCUGGUAUAUGUAAUGGCUUUGAGCCAAAGUUUCUUUUUGAAUGAAAUCAUCAGAUUUUCUUUCCAUAUGCUCUAUUUUGUUUGCCUUCAAAAUUCUGUUCUUCAUUCUUGGCAGUAGCUAAAAGCAUGAACUCCAAGUAUUUUUCCUUCAUUCUUUAUCCGGGUAAAAUACGUUGCUGUUAAAGUCCAGAUUGAAGUUCUUACUUCAUCCGGUUAAAGUGUGUCUAACACCAACAAUUGGUAUCUAGAACUGCAUUCUUAAGGGACCUGUUCUAGCAAACUUUAAAAACGAUGGCUUCAUCAAGCUUCUCACCAGCUGCACCUCAAGUUUUCAAUGGAGAAGGAUAUCACAUUUGGGUAGUCAAGAUGAGAACCUACCUCCAGGCAUUUGAUCUAUGGUAGGUAGUUAACUCAGAUGUUGAACCAGAACCAUUGAGAGCAAAUCCAACAGUGGCUCAAAUGAAGCAGUAUUCUGAAGAAAAAAGUAAAAAGCACAAAGCCAUGUCAUGCAUUCAGAACCGUGUUUCUGAUGUAAUUUUUACUAGAAUCAUGGCUUGUGAAACACCAAAACAAGCCUGGGACAAACUCAAGGAGGAGUUCCAAGGCACAGAGAGGACAAGGCAGCAGCAGCUCUUGAACCUAAGAAGGGAUUUCGAGAAUUUGAAGAUGAAGGAAGAAGAAACUGUCAAGAAGUAUUCUGAUGGCUGUAGUUAACAGCAUAAGGCUCCAUGGUGAACAAUUUGAUGAGGCAAGGAUUGUGGAGAAAGUGCUCUCUACCUUACCAGAAAGGUAUGAGGCAAAAAUCUCAUCUCUUAAAGACUCAAGGGACUUAACCACCAUCUCUUUAAUAGAGCUGAUUAAUGCUCUGUAUGCACAAGAGAAAAGGAGGGCCAGCAGAUCGGAAGAGCACCAAGAAGGUGCCUUUCAAGCCAAAGCCAAGUCUGUCUCGAGCACCUCUGCCUACAAAGGCAAGAAUACCUGGUCAAACGAGCCUAAAGCAGAUGGUGCAGGAAGCUAUCCACCCUGCCCACACUGCAAAAGGGUAAGUCAUCUGGGUAAAGUAUGUUGGUUUAGGCCUGAUGUACAGUGCAGAUUCUGCAAGAAGAUGGGUCAUGUAGAAAGGGUUUGCAAAAACAAGGGCAGACCAAGAUACAACCAACCCCAGCAGCCAAGAGCUGAAGCUUAAGUAGUAGAAGAAUACAAUGACCAAGAAGAACAAGUUUUAGCAGUUUCUUACUCAGCUGCAAAAGGAAAAGCCACAAAUGGAUGGUUGAUAGACAGUGGUUGCACAAACCACAUGACCCCUGAUGCUGACAAUUUUAAGUCAAUUGACAGAAGCUUCAAAAUAAAUGUGAAGGUCAGAAAUGGACACUUCAUCAAAGUUGAAGGCAAAGGAGAUGUGCUGAUAAACACUCCUACAGGUACUAAACUUGUUACAAAUGUCUUGUUAGUGCCUGAAAUUGAUAGAAAUUUGCUUAGCAUUGCUCAACUGCUUGAGAAGGGCUAUUCAGUUGUAUUCAAAGGCAAAAAAUUCCUGAUUAGUGAUCCUAGUGGAUCCAAGCUCAUGACAGUAGCUAUGAUAGAAAAAAGUUUUAUUGUGGACUAAAAUAAGAGUCCAGUAGUGCCUACACAGCUGCUGCAGAUGAAUCCAAGCUGUGUCACAAGAAGCUUAGCCAUGCCAACUACAUGUCAAUGGCUCAACUAACCAAAGAAUAUUUGGUUGAAAAUUUCACUAAUUCAGUUGAAAAAGAAAGGAAACUUUUGACACUCAAAGAGGUGUAUGAUAUGCAUGGGAACCAAUCAUCUGCUCAGAUAAAAGAAUUAAAGGCACAUAUAACUAGCUUGGAACUUGAGUUGAAAUCAUUGCAGGCAACUAACAGAGAUAUGGCGGAGCAGUUAGAAAACAAAGCAAGUGAAGCAGAAAAACUGGGAGAACAAAAUAUAGGAUUUCAAUCCCGCAUUUCAGAACUCAAAAUAAUGUUAGAAAAGAGAGAAAAAAAUUUUAUUCUCACGAAAAAACUUGAGGAUGAUAGCAGUGAAUCAUUGUCUGGUGUGAAGAACUUGACUGCUCAGGAAAAUAAUCUACUAUUAGAGAAGGAGACGUUGCAAGCUGAGAAGGCUCUGUUGAAAGAAAAUUUUGUAUUUGAAGGUGAUGAAGCAUCAAAUCAAGUACAGAAGUUAAUGGAUGAGGCUAACACAUUGCAGCAGCAGCUGGAAUCUCUUCAUAUCCAGAAGGCAAAACUGGAAUUGCAGUUUGAGAGAAAGAAACAAAAGUCAUCCGAAAGAUUGAAUGAAAUGGAGAAUAAAAAAUUGGAGUUGAAGGAAAUGGUCGAGGACCUUCAAAGAGAUUUGGAAGCAAAAGGAGAUGAGAAAAAUGAUUUAGUGAACCAAAUCAUCAGAGAAUGCUUAAUGAACAAGAGUUUGCAGCAUGCAAGCCAAGGAGGAGUGUUGGAAAUUGGCCUGCAUGCAGCAUGUGAAUUUCCAACAUGUCAUGAAGCAGCCAGAGCCAUGUAUGGAGCUGUGAAGAAAAGAGAUCAAACUGUUGUAUUAUUACUGGGUGAAGUAUGCAUCUUGAACCAGAAAAGUUAGCCUCCAUGCAGCUCAUGCAGAUUCAUACACACAAGAAUUCAUGCACAUAAGUUGUCCGGGUAAAGUACGUGCAAGAAUCCAUGUACAUAAGUUUCCCGGGUAAAGUACGUGCAACUGAAGAUGUUAAUGCUACUGCUUCAUCUCAGUUUCAUUUUGUUACCUUUUAACAAUGUUUUUGUAAUUUAGUUUAUUUUGAAUUAUGUUUGGAUGACAAGUUGAUGUAACUUGAUGGUCAAAGAGCUGGUUACCAGCUUUGUUUAAGUGUGCAAGUAAUAUCACCUAGUUCCAAUGUAAUAAGUGGAGUUAGGUAAUGCUUAGGUGAUGAAUUUAUUGUUUUUGACCAGCCAAUGUCUGGUAUAUGUAAUGGCUUUGAGCCAAAGUUUCUUUUUGAAUGAAAUCAUUAGAUUUUCUUUCCAUAUGCUCUAUUUUGUUUGCCUUCAAAAUUCUGUUCUUCAUUCUUGGCAGUAGCUAAAAGCUUGAACUCCAAGCAUUUUCCUUCAUUCUUUAUCCGGGUAAAAUACGUUGCUGUUAAAGUCCAGAUUGAAGUUCUUACUUCAUCCGGUUAAAGUGUGUCUAACACCAACAGGGAAAAACUCACAAUGAUCCAAUAUUUUGAUUACAAGUUUUUUUCUCCCCAUUAAAGAAACAUGCUAUAUUUAGAAAUAUAUUCUUCUUCCUUUCUUCCAGUUCAUCAAAACCGAUUCAAAGUUUAUCAAGAAUUUUUUUAUUAGAAUCUCUUUUUAGUCUUUCAAUCACACUUCUCUAUUGAGUUACAUCUCUACCAUACAAAAAGGAACCCAAUACUUAAAGAGCUAAAGGGAGCCCACCACCAUAAUUUACAACAUGUUCAGAAAGCACAAUGAAAUAAUCUUUUCACACUGUAUCAUGAUGAAAAGCUUUCAAAUUAAAAAGUUGAAGUGCAUCUUUGGGAUUCAAUGUUGUGGCCAUAUGCACAUCAUCAACUUGGUAAGAUCAAAGCAAAUGUUCGUCUCUUGUUGUUAUAAUGAUUCUACUCCCUAAUCCGAGCCAACCAUGCCUUCCAACCAAGCAUUUUAAGUGUUGUAUGUUAUCAGCAUCAUCAAGAACAACAAGAACCUUUUUUAUAAGACAACCUAUGGCUAAUUAUGUCAUUUCCUUCAUAAACAUUAAAUUCAUUAUGAAAGAUUUGUGAAAGAAGUUGCUUCUAUAAAGAAAUUAGUCCACAUUUGUCUUAAACUUAAAAAUAAUAUAAUAUAAAGUAUUAUAAACUUAAAAACGGGUUAGGCUGGGUUUAAGCCCGAGCUUGACCCAUAUUUUAUUAUAAACUUAAAAAUGGACUGGGCCAGAUUCAAGCUCGAGCCUGACCCAUAUUUUAAACAGGCUUAAAUUUUUUGCUCAACUCCAUUUUUGAACCUAAUAUUUUUAUUCAAACCUUUUUAAAUUUCAAUCGAACUUUUGGAUUUGGACGGAUAACCCGAUCCAUGAACAGAUUUAAUUUAAUGUUAUGAUAAAAUUAAUAUAUAAUAGUAUCAAGAAUUCCUUCAUCUAUUAAUAAUUGGAGCCAUUGAUUACUUUGAGCGAAUUUCCGUACUGAUGUUCCCUCAAGUAAGUUACAAUUAUGCCAUGGUUUCAAAUACGCUCCGAUCACUUGGACACAAAGGUUGAAGAUCAUCAAAGACCGCGCUGUUCUAUCUGCACCAGCAAUGGGUGACAGAGAUAUCAUCUUCAAAUUAAUAAAUGGAAGAUUAUUUUAAUUGAUAAUAUAAUAUUUUUUUAUAAUUAUGUUGUAUGUUAUUUAUAUUAUAUUAAGCAAAUAUUUUUAAAAUCUAUUGAACUUUGAAAAAAAAUCAAUUAAUUAAAAGAGCUGGUGCUAAAAAUAAAUGUCUAAAUAUAAAUACUUUAUAAAAAAAAUAUAAAAUGAAGAGUUAGAAUAAUAAUAUUUUUACUUCAAGCUAUAAAAUUUAAACGGUAUACUUUUAUUAGGAGGAAUUAAACCUAUUUAAGCACUUAUGUUUAAUCUUCCAAAUAUAUAAAAAACAAUUUUGAUAGAUUAAAUUGAAUACAUAAGUUGAUCUCAAAUAAAAAUUAAAUGAUUUUUAACUCAAUCGAAAUUAUGAUCUAAUCCUCGUUAAAUGAUUUUUACCUUAUUAGCAUCUGCUUUGAUAGAAAUACUAUCUAUUUUUCUCCACAUUUCUAUAUAAUGAAAAUAAAAUUUUGGUAAGUAAAAAAAUAAAACCAACCAAAAUGUACACAUUUCCAUUAUGUAAAAAGAAAUGAAUUAAGUGACUAAAAUUGUAAAUGGUAUAAAUAUAUAUAUAUAUAUAUUAUCAACAUUUGGGAUAGGUAUAGAAUAUAAGUAUGAAUAAAAAUUUUAAAUUUUUUUAAUAUAUAAAAGGGAUUAUAUCUCAUACGCAAAUUACAAAUAAGUCUUGAGUGGUUACUUCAAAUGAAAUAAAAGAUGUAAAUAAGGUAUAUGUGUAAAAAAAAAAACUUUAAUCGGACAAGGUUGGUUAAGUAGUUUACCAAACUUAAUGCUUCUUAUCCGAUUGGCCCAUUAUAAAAUUGAAAAAUUUUUGCAUCCGUCUUGGUUGUAGCCCUUCUUCCUCUGCUUCCUCGUAGAUAUUACGUUUUCGUUUUAUGUGAGAAGUGCUACCUAGUGAUUCAUUGUCGUGAGCAGAGUGUUGGAGGAUGUGUUCAAAAUUUGGAGAAGAUUGAGUGCUAUGACACUGCAACUCUUUGUUUUCUUCCAAAUCUUUCUCAUACACUAUUCUAACACCGCACUUCUUUGCCAUAAAACUAUAGUUACCUGAAAAAUAUAUCUCAAGCUCAUCGCAUUCUUGAUCCAAGCAAUCUGCUGUUAGUAAAUUCUUUGGUUCACAUUUAUCCCCCAAGGAAGAUGGAUAUAGUUCAUCACGAGACCAAUAAUGAAGAAAAAGGUGGUCCUUCUUUAUGGGUUGGACAUAUUCCCGACCUAAAGAAAUUAUACUCGAAUGGACCUUUCGAGAAUUUUUACAGCCAGAUUGUCCUGCAAUUUUACUAUGGAUAUUAGCUUUACAGCCGAAAAUCUUAUCCCCAGAAGCACUACCAUUGACAAAAAUGCAGCACACAGCGACUCCAAUCCAUUGACUGUCAUUCUGAAUAUUGAGAGGCAGAGGAAUUUCAAUUCCAGAGCCACCUCUCUGUUGGCUGAACCAUUCUGGGAUUUCAUUUCCAGGUAUAAUAACAAAAAACUUUUUUCUUGAAUUUGCAAAUGCCUGCAGAGUAAAACACCUGUAGUUCAGUAAUGAAAAUCAUAAAAUUUCAAGUAUGAGAUUCUAUAAGGAAAAAGAAAAGAGAGAGAUUUACUGACCUUAGGAUGUUUUUUUAGCAAUGUUAAUGCAUUGUUGUUCUCCGCCAAAUUGUAGCAGUUAAUGGCUGUAAUGUAAGCAGAACCCGAUAAAUUGCAUACUUUUGAUGGACUUGCAACUACUUCAAGUGAAGAACAACCAUCUAUCCACACAUCUUCUGUACUCGUUGGUAGCUCAGGCAACGAUUUAAGCAUCUUGAAAUCUGACAAUCUAAUAUAAUUAAGCUUGGAAAGUCGAAUAAUAGAUGCAGGUAUGCUGAUGAAAUUGUUACCCUUAAGAUCAAGGAAUUCCAAAGAGGAUAAACCAGAAAUAUCACUAGGAAUAUCUCCUUCACAAAGACAGCAGUCCCUUAGAUUCAACUCUCUUAAUGAACUCAAAUUUGACAAUGAAGGUAACGUCGGAGCCAUGGAAUUUGUCCUUCCUCUUCGGAUUAAAUUGAAAAGAGAAGGAAGAUUUUGUUGUAACUUAGAUGAUCUUUUGCAUCCAUUGAAAGACAGAACUUUAAGAUUUUUAAAUUGAAAAAUGAAGGAUGGUGGUUCUGUUAUGGCUGUUUCACUCAAGUCGAGCUUUUCCAAAAACUUCGCUUGCUGCAAAUUCUCCGAUAAAUUUUCUACUCUAUAACAACCGGAAAGAUCUAGAGUUUUUAGACAUUCCAUUUUCCCAUCAAUGUCCGGAAACCUUACAAGAUUUCUGCAACCCGAAAGAAUUAAUGUUUCAAGAGAUUCCAUUCCAAUUUUGGUCGGAAGAGUCUUAAGACUUUUGCAAUCUCUUAAAUUCAAAAGUUUAAGGCUCUUAAGCACUCCGAUUGAUGGAUGAACAUCCACUAAUUUGGUACAACCUUCCAAAAUCAGGACUUCAAGAUUUGGUGCUGUUGUGAAGUCUGGUGUCUUAAUCAGGUUUUGGGAUCCUUCAAGGUUGAUAAUUUUCAACUGAUAGAGGGGCUGUUGAAGAUCAUAAUAAAUUAGAAACAAAUCAGAAAACAUAAUAAUGCUCAUUUUUUUUACCUUAAUCAAAGUUUAAUAAUUUUUAUUAGAAUAAGCUAAAACACAAGGAUAAGAUGAGUUAAUUCUUACUCUAUUUCCCUUCCAUAGUUGUUGAAUGUGAAUAUAUGGUAAAAGAAGUGCAACAAGGUUGUCCGGUUGGAAGCUUGAAGGCAAUGAUCUUAAAGGGCAUCCUUUCCAAUCUAAAAGCCGUAGCUCAUUAGAAAGAAAUUUGAGAUCAUCACAAUUUAAUAGACAAAGCACUUUGAGUAAUCUCAAUUUUUUCAUCUUUGAGAAGGCAUGGAUACUUAAGUUAAGCAAAAUUUUGCUCGAUUCCCUAAUAACCAUGAACAAAACAAAAUUGAGCUUUAAAAUAUACAAAAACAUUCAAUGUCUAAAAGUUAUGUUGCAUCGACAUUGUUUGUUUAAGUACCUAUAUCCGGUACUUAUAUAUAAUGCAUAUCCGAUACUUAUACUUUAAAUACAUGAAUUUGUUUUUAAAAUUCAACACACCCAUAUUAAAAACAUAUUUAUAUCUAAUCUUAAAAAAAUUUUAAAUUAAUAUUUUGAUUUAUAUUUGUGCCGCAAACAAUGCAUAAUUCUAUAUAAGUUAAUAAACCAAACAAUGGUACAUAAUUUUUGAAUAAAAUACUAGAUAAUUGUCAUUAAAAAGGUAAGAGAUGGGUAAUGUGCAUGAAUGCCACAUGCCCUAAACCGUCACACAUCACAAAGCGAUGGGUGGUCCUAAUAAAUGAAAUAUAAAAUAAACCUUAAAAAGGACUAUCCAAAGAAUAUUAAUCGUCCAAAAAAUAAAAUCAUUUCUGCUCAUCAAAGUAGAAUCCUAAAGACACAUAAAUAAAAAUGAAACCAUUUUCAUUAAAAGAAAAAGUUUUUGAAGAGACGUUAUAAUCUAAUCCAUUGAUAUAUAUAUAUAUAUAUAUUAUUAGUGCAUAAAUAGAUACCAUUAAUAUUUCAAAAAUUCAUAAAUUUCCUUAUUGAUUCUUUUGAAAGAGUAAUACGUUGCUAGACAAAUUUCAUAAUUAAACAUUUACAUAUUGAGCGUAUAAAUUUUUUUCUAGAGUUUCUAAUCAUAUUUUAAAUAGAAUAAAAUAAUUAUUUAUAGUACACAUCGAUACAAGUUUAUGCGUUUCUUCUUACCUUUUAUUAUUAAUGAUCAUGCCUUCAAUCAUUUCUGUAGCCUGAAACAAUCAAAAAUAAAAAAUAAGAAAACAAAAUAAAUGGUGUACAGUGUAAGAUAAAACUUUUGAAAAUUUACAUUUUUGUUUAACAUUAUUAUACUCGAAUUAUAAUAAAUAAAGCAUUUUAAACAAAGUAAAAUAGCUUCUAAUGAGGGUAAUGCAAUGCAAUGAAAUUAAAUAUUUAUUUUUACAAGUUCUUAAUAUUGUAAACAUCAAACAUACAUUUAUCUCAAAAGGAUCGUUCUAUCAGCUAAUUAGACUAAGCUUUGAAUUCAUAUCAUAUAUUGAUUAGAAUUUUAUACAAAAAAGAAAUAGUAUGUAGCUUUUGUUGAAUGAUUUACAAUGUUUUUUGUUAGGAUAUGAUAGAUGUCUGUUUCCUCCCACAAUCGGCAACGCUUUCCAGGUUCAUCAAGACAUUUUUCUCUAACAAUUUUUCUUUCCAUUUCUUGCAACAAGUCAUGCAUCUUCAAAUAUUCAUUGUGUUUAUCGAUUUUUAUGAGAGAUUUUUUAAUGAGAACAUAAAUUCCGAUAUCUGGAAAAAAAUCCCAACCAUCCAAUACUUUGAUUACAAAAUCUUUCUUCUCCCCAUUAAAGAAACAUGUUAUAUCUAGAAAUAUAUUCUUCUCCUUUUCUUCUAGUCCAUCAAAACUAAUUCGAAGUUUAUCGAGAAUUUCUUUAUUAGAAUCUCUUUCAAGUCUUUUAAUCGAACUCCUCCACUGAGUUGCAUCUCUACCGCACAAAAAGGAACCCAAAACUUCAAGAGCUAAAGGGAGCCCACCAGCAUAAUUUAUGACAUGUUUAGAAAGUUCAAUGAAAUCACCUUUCGGCAUUGUAUCACUAUGGAAAGCUUUCAGAUUGAAAAGUUGAAGCGCAUCUUUGGGAUUCAGUGUUGUGGGCAUAUGCACAUCAUCAACUCGGCAACAUCGAAGCAAAUGUUCGUCUCUUGUUGUUACAAUGAUUCUACUCCCUAAUCCGAACCAAUCAUGCCUUCCGACCAAGCAUUUUAAGUGUUGUAUGUUAUCAACAUUAUCAAGAACAACAAGAACCUUUUUGUGAGAUAAUCUAUGGCUAAUUAUGGCACUCCCUUCAUGGACAUCGAAAAAGUUGAAGCACUCACCAUGAAAGAUCUGUGAAAGAAGUUGUUUCUGUAAAAAAACUAGUCCGCAUUUGUCUGAAACUUCUCGAAUAUCAGCAAGAAAGCUUUUACCUUCAAAAUAAGGCAACAUUUGAUCAUAAGCAACUCUUGCGAGUGUUGUUUUACCGAUGCCACCCAUUCCGCAAAUCCCUAUAAUGCCACCCAUUCCGCAAAUCCCUAUAAUGCGGACAUCAUCUUCCCCUAUGUUUAUUUUCAAAUAUAAAUCCUCCAAGGGUACAGUAAUUCCAACCAAGUCACUAUGAGUAAUUGAAUAUGUCUGACAUAAUUUUGCCGAUAUCUUCUUAACAAUGUCUCUAAUAAAUUCUGAUUCAUGCCUACAAAGAAAGAAAUUUUGAUUUUUUGAAUAAAAUUUUGUUGAUAUGUUUCAAAUUAAAUACACUUUUUUUUCAAUAAAUCAUGAAACAUAAUAUAGUUUGGAAGCAAACAAGAACCAAGAAUAAGAAAGAAAUAUCUGUUGCGGAACUAGAAUACAAAAUUUGCUCUUUUAUUGAAAUAUGACACUUCUCAAUUAAACUAGAGAAGAGAAAAGAAAAGAAAGAAUUACCUGUUAUUUAAAUGCCAUCCCUUGAUGUUUGCCACUUGAGUCAAAGCAUUUCGCCACCUUUGGAUCUUGUCUCUAUCUUCCUUGUAUCUCUCUUCGUGUUUGGCAAAGGCCUCCUCAACUUUCUCUUUCUGUUUUCUUAAAUCGGAUGGAUCCACAUUGUAGAAAAUUGGAAAUACCUUAUGUCCCAUGUCGUUUUUUUGCUUAACAAUCUCAGCAAGCUCCUCCAAGCACCAACUUGAAAAGGCAUAAGUUUGUGAAAAAACGAUGACCGAGCACCAUGAUUGCUGAAUUGCUGUAAAGAGUUCUGGCGCGAUCUCUUCGCCGACCUCCAGCUUUGAAUCAUCCCUGAAAGUGACGAUCCCACUCCUACUUAGAGCAUCAUAGAGAUGAUCGGUAAAGUUGUUGCGGGUAUCUUCACCUCUAAAACUCAAGAAAACAUCAUAUUUCUUUCUAGAAAUGGACGAAGAAGUUGAAGGUAAUGACAACAUGAGGAUGUAUGAGAAGAGAAGAAUAUCUCAAUCUGGUGUUCAAAAUCAGAAAAUAGAUCGCCCAAUACCCACAAAGAAAAUAGAAAAAGUAAGUAUAUGAGCAUAGGGGCGGAAAUUAGGGGUCCAAGAUGAGCUAUGGACCUUCUUUCCAAGAAGGUGAGAGUUGGCAAAGUGGAUGCUAGUUUAAUUAUAAGUAAUAAUUAAAAAUGUUGGACGGUUUGUAUUUUACGUAUUUAAUUAUAAGAUUAUGACAAUAAUAAUUAGAAUAUAAUUUUAAAGCAUGUGACUAUCAGUUUGAAUACACUCUUUACAGUGUAGGUUGUUUAGUAUAUUAGCAUGUGACCAUCAGUUUGAAUACACUCUUUACUGUCACCUUUAUUUCUAAGAAUGACAUCUAUGUAAUAUUUUCCUCAAACCCAAAUUAAUUCAUAAUCAUUUAAAAAAUUCAUAACCCAUAAUAUUUAAACUUAAAAAGUCUAAGUUUCAUAUCUAAAAUUAUUUAAAUUUGAAUUGAUUUUAACUAUCAUAUGAAAUUUUAACUUAAGUUCAAAUAGAAAAUAACUCAACUUUAAAUUGAAUUAAAAAAAUACUCAAAACCUGAAUUAAUUCAUUCUAAAUAGAUUCAACUCACUCAAUGGAGAGAGCUACUUCUUAUUACACCUUAUAUUGCUUGGGAAAAAUAAAGGAGUUAGUGGGAAUGAGCGAUGAAGCCAAUAAGAAUUUUGUAUAGCAUGGGAAAUUAUAAAUGUAUACUAGAGAAUGAAUUAUAUAAAACUGUGAUUCCAGGUCAUCUUUAUCCAUUUUUAAUAGGAGGAUCACAAAUCAAAUUUUUACUCUUAAUUUUUAAUUUUUUCAUACAGAUUAUUUUUUACUUAAACAAAUUUUUUUUUGUAUAUAAUUUAAUUCAAAUGUGAAAGCAUUGAAAGAAAGAUAAACGCUUUGCUCAAAUAAUUUUAAAAGAUUAAAUUAUACACAUAUCACAUUUAAUAUAUAAGUUGGUCUAAAUUGUGACGAUCUUAAAUAAAACUAUUAACCAUAUAAAGAUAUAUAUAUUUAUAUAUAUUUUAACCAUCAUAUCUAAUACUUGUAUUAUGAGUAAAGAUAUCCAAAAUGAUUAUUUUUUGUGUAAAAAAAUAAUUAAUAGGACAAGGUUGGUUAAGUAGUUUACCACGGUUAAUGCUAUUUUUUCCAUCUAUAUUUUUAAAAUUAUUUAAUAUAUGUAUUUAAAAAUACUUAUAUAUAUCAAAUAAAUUACAUUGAAUAAAUUCCAAAUAUAAAAUAUUCAUAAAUUAUAUAAGAUACUCAUCAAUAAACUUCGCAAAUAAAAAGAUAUUGCUUGUUCCACUUUAUCAUUGAAACGGUGUACAACCGGAACCAGUGCAGAACCCACCAAACCCACCACCAUGAUUCUACCUGCUGAACAACUAGGUAUUCAGGCAUGGUGCUAGAGAGGUGUCAGUUGAGUCAACUUUUGCAUUGUUAGCUGUCAUGUUUAUUCUGAUAGCUGCGUUGGGAAUCCCCUACAGGUUUUUGGGAUUUAUAGUAGAUUAGACGAGUACUAGAAUAAGCUAUUAAUAUUAACUACGAGAUAUUUUGCAGAUUGGAUCAGUAUGUCAUUGCUAAGUUUGCUGAAAAUUUUGAAUAGAUAGCAAGAACCCUGGCAGAGAAUGCUGGACUGAAUCCAAUGGAUAUCAUUUCUAAGUUGUAUGAAAAGCAUGCAUCUGGAAAUGCACUGUGUUGCGUGUAGAUCAGGUAAUUUAGUAGAGGCAGAAAGCUUGAAAAUGAAAAUCGCACUUAAAAUAGUUUGUUGAUGGGAUUAGGUUCUCAUGCAAUGCCAUUGAUUCAAUGUUUGCAGAUUAUGAUGGCGAAACCAGCUGGAGGUCCAGCGAGGAGAGAUCAACCUGCAGGAAUGGACGAGGACUGAUGAAGGUUGGUCAGCAUGCAGCACCAGGAGCAAUCAAGAAGCUGGCCAAAAAGCCCGAGCCAUGUAGGAGCUGCUGGAGCAUGUGCAGCUGUUGAAUUUAGUUCAUUUUAUUGUUUUUGAUUAAUGUAAUUUAAUUUAGUUCAUUUUGAACAAUGUUAGGUAGAAGUUUGACGUAUUUGUAAAGUGUUUGAGAUGUUAACCAGCUUUGUUCAUGUGUACAAGCUUAGUUUUCCAAGUUCCAAUGUAUUAGUUGUAGUUGGUAUAGAUUAGUUGACCUUAUACUGAUUUUAACAAGCUAAAUGUUUGGUUUUAUGUAUUGGCAUUAAGCCAUUGUUUAAUCUUAAGGAAAAAUCAUCAUCUUUUCAUUCAAAAUAACUUUCCAUCUUUUCUUUGCUUUUAUUUUUUCUGUUCUUGAACUCUGCUUGUUUCUUCAGCAAGUAUCGAGCCUUACUGCUUAAGUUUUUGCUGAACCUUAGUUGCUCUUUUGUUCUUAACACCAACAAUUGGUAUCUAGAGCUGUAAUCUCUGUGGACCUGUUCUAGUUAAGCUUCAAAACAAAUGGCUUCAUCAGGCUUUUCACCAGCUGCACCACCAGUCUUCAAUGGUGAGGGCUAUCACAUAUGGGUGGUCAAAAUGAAGACUUAGCUGCAGGCAUUCGACCUAUGGGAGGUGGUCAACUCAGAUGCUGAACCAGCAUCACUUCGAGCCAACCCAACAGUGGCUCAGAUCAAGCAACAUGCUGAUGAAAGGACCAAAAGGCACAAAGCCAUGUCUUGCAUUCAGAAUUGUGUCUCAGAUGUGAUUUUUAUAAGGAUUAUGGCCUGUGAGACACCAAAACAGGCCUAGGAUAGAUUGAAGGAAGAGUUUCAAGGGACAGAAAGGACAAGGCAGCAAUAGCUUCUAAACCUGAGAAAGGAUUUCGAAAAUUUGAAAAUGAAAGAGGAAGAAAUUGUUAAGCAGUAUUCAGAGAGAAUUAUGGCUAUGGUAAAUAGCAUAAGGCUCAUUGGAGAGCACUUUAGUGAAGCAAGGAUAGUGGAGAAGGUGAUCUCAACCUUACCUGAGAGGUAUGAGGCAAAAAUUUCUUCCCUCGAAGACUCAAGGGACCUAACCGGCAUCUCACUGAUAGAGCUGAUCAAUACUCUUUAUGCACAAGAACAAAGAAGGGUCAACAGACUAGAGGAACACCAAGAAGGUGCCUUCCAAGCCAAAACCAAACCUGCCUCAAGCACCACUGCCUACAAAGGCAAGAAGAAUUGAAGAGACAAGCCUAAGUCAGAUGCUCCAAAAAGAUGGGAUCGACCCGCAAGCAUUGUAAGAGGCCUGAUCAUCUAGAGGCCAACUGCUGGUUUAGGCCAGAUGUGCAGUGCCAAUGCUGCAAAAAGAUGGGCCAUGUUGAAAAGGUUUGCAAAACCAAGGGCAGACCAAGGCAAGGUCAACCACAACAGCCAAAGGCUAAAGCUCAAAUAGCUGAAGAAAGCAGUGACCAUGAGGAGCAGGUCUUUGCAGUUUCUUGCUUAACUGUACAGGUGAAAGUCUCAAAUGGAUGGCUCCUAGACAGUGGUUGCACCAACCACAUGACACCAGAUGCUGUCAUCUUCAAGUCAUUAGACAGAAGCUGUAAAACCAAGGUAAAAGUUGGGAAUGGUCAUUUCAUUAAGGCAGAAGGCAAGGGAGGUGUCCUGAUAAGGACUCCCAUAAGUAACAAGCUCAUUUCAAAUGUUCUAUUGGUACCUAAGAUUGACAGAAACCUGCUCAGCAUAGCUUAGUUGCUUGAAAAGGGCUAUAUUGUGGUGUUCAAGGGAAAUGAGUGCCAAAUCAAUGAUCUAAGUGGAUCUAAGCUCAUGACAGUAGCCAUGACAGACAAAAGCUUUGUUGUGGACUGGAGCAAAGGUUUAGAUAGUGCCUACACUGUUUCUUUAGAUGAAUCCAAGCUAUGGCAUCAAAGACUUGGCCAUGUCAACUUCAGAUCAAUGGAUCAGAUGGUCAGGGAGGAUUUGGUUGAAAACUUCACUAACUCAGUUGAGAAAGAGGAGGUUUGUGAAGUAUUUCAACUAGGAAAGCAGGCCAGACUGCCAUUUCCUUCAAACAAAGCCUGGAGAGCCUCAGAAAGAUUACAGCUUGUGCACAUUGAUGUGUGUCACCCAUGAAGACUCAGUCACUAAAUGGAAGUAGGUAUUUCAUUCUGUUUAUUGAUGAUCAUUCAAGAUUUUGCUAGAUUUACUUCUUGAAGCACAAAUUAGAGGUGGCCUUUGUGUUUUGGAAAUUCAAGGCUGCUGCAGAGACUGAGACAGGUUGCAAACUAAAGUCUUUAAGGUCUGACAAUGGAACAGAGUAUACUUCAGCUCAGUUUCAAGCCUUUUGUGAUAAGGCGUUAUACUUCAGCUCAGUUUCAAGCCUUUUGUGAUAAGGCAGGUAUCAAACAUUAGCUCACCAACACCUAUACUCCUCAGCAAAAUGGAGUCAGUGAAAGAAAGAAUAGAAGCUUGAUGGAUAUGGCCAGGUGUUUGAUGUUCGAGAAGAAUUUUCCCAAAACCUUGUGGGCUGAAGCAGUUAACACUGCUGUUUACAUUCAAAACAAGCUCCCAACCAAGGCAUUGAGUCACAAAACUCCAUUUGAAGCCUAGUUUGGGUUCAAGCCAUCACUAGCUCAUCUGAAAGUCUUUGGCUGCAUAUGCUAUGCACUUGUCCCAACUGUAAAGAGGGACAAGUUGUCCAAGAAGGCUCAACCUGGUAUUCUGGUAGGCUACAGCACAGUUAAAAAGGGUUAUAGGAUCUUAGAUCCUUCAACAAACAAGGUAUUUGUAACAGCCUAAUUUUCAGUGGUGUCGGAACAGUGAUUCGAGAUCACUAAAUCUGACAAAUGAGUAGGAAAUAUUAUUAAUUUAGUGAGUAUAAGUUAAAUGUGAAGUUAGGAAAAAUUUUGAAAUAGUGAAAUAUACUAAAAAUAUAUAUAUUAAAAUAAUUAAAAUUGAAAACGAGGUAUCGAGACCUCGGGAAUUUUAAAUCGAGCCAUAAAUAUUUUUAUAAAUAUUUAUGGAGUGUUAAUAAGUUAGUAUUAAAGUUUCGUCAAGAAAUUUUAAAGUACUGAUAGCUAAUUGAACAAAAAGGACUAAAUUGUAUCAAAUGCAAAAUUGUGGGAAAUGAUUAAAUAGCUUAAAUGAUAAAAGAAAGAGGGUUUAAAAGGCAAAUAGACCCAAGGUCUAUUUGGGCUGGACGGCAAGAGCAUGAAAUCACCAAGAAAAUAAGGGGAAUUAAGGGCAAAAUUGGAAAAUUGCAAAAUUUACUUAAUAAAGCUAGGACUAAAGUGGAAUUAUCUAGAUUUCUCUUUAUUUUUCUGCAUUCUCAUCAGGAAAAGCACCAUGGAAGAGUUCCCUUAAGCUGGUUUUUCAUAUUUUUAUUGCAAGUAAGUUCAAUUCUUGAUUAUUUCUUGAAAUUUUUGUGUUUUUGUGACUUUUACAACUAGGUCCACUUGUUGAAUUCAUUAGUUCUUGAUUCUAUGAAAGAAAUUGAAAGUUUCUAUGAAUAUGUGCUGGAAGUAUAUGAUGAUUUGGCAUGGAAUUAGAGCUUUAAAUUGUUUAUAUGCUGAUUUUAUUGAAAGAAUUGAAUAGAAAGUGAAUGUUUGGGACCUAAAUUGUAAAAGAGUUUGAGGUUAGAGUUUUAUGUGGAAAUUCUGAAUUUCAAUAGUUAUGAAAUAACUUAUAAUGUCUAGGAAAAGUAUUAAUUGAGAAAAUUAGUUUAAUUGAUGGGUUAAUUAAGUAAGGACUGAAUUGUAUGAACUGUGAAAUUUGGGGCAAAAUGAAAAUCAACAUUUUGCACUAAAACAGUUUUGGACAGCAGCAAUAGUCUAACUUUGAAAAAUAUCCAAAAAUUUUAGAAAUCUAAUUAGAGUAUGAAUAAAAUAUGAAAUUAAAGCUUAUUGAGUCUAGUUUCUUAUAGAAGAAACGGUGUAAGCAAUGGAAUUAUAAAUCAUGAGAUAUAAUAAGUUUUGUGAGACAAUGUUAGAAUGAUUUCGGGUUCCCCUAUUUUGAAUUUGGAAAAUUAUCAAAAAUUGAAGAAAAAUAAUUAAGGGAUUAAAUUUAUAUUUUUAAAAUACUUAAAGAGUCUAUUUUCAAUAGAAAUAAGCGGGAACAUCAUCCGAAACUCGUACGAUGAGAUAAUUAAUUCUUAGUGAAGAAGGGUCGGAACUAUCAGACAGCAGAACAGGGGAAAAUUUAAAGAAUAAACUGUACUUAUUGGCUGAACCAAAAAUUCUAAAAAUUUUAUGGUAAUAAGAUAAGUAAGUCUAGUUUCAGGUAAAAUUUGUGGAUCUUAAUUUCGAGUUCUGUAGCUUAAGAUAUAAAUAAUUUAGUGACUAUGACACAAAUGGACAGUUUUGAAUAUACAUAAGUAAAUUGUGAAAUCGUACUUACAAGAAUGUUAUAUACAUUAAGGGUGUGGAAUGGAGAGGAGGAUGAGGAAAAAUAUAUAUGAAUAUUCAGUUAGCAUGGCUAAUUUGCAUGUUUUAAGCGCAUGGACUAAAUUGAAUAAAAGUAAAACUUUAGGGGGCAAUUUUGUAAAAAUGUCAAAAAUGACUAAAUUGAAGGGAAUAAAUUGUUUUAUUAUCUAAAUUAAUAAAUUGAAUGAAAUUAUCAAUUUAAGAUUGGGUGAAAUUUGGGAAAAUGGUAAAUUACCAAUAUGCCCCUAAAUCUUGGUAUUUCUGUAAUUUAGUCAGGUAGGUUCGGAUACCCUGAAUGAGCAUGUAAAUAUGAAAAUUUAAGUAUUGUAUCGUAUUUUAUAUGAUAUUUUGAAUUGAAUAUAUGAAAAAGAUGUUACAUGAAACAUGAAAAUGAAUACUAAAUAAUAUAAAUUAAUUGAAAUUAUUCUAAAAAUUUCGGUAAUGCCUCGUAUCCUAUCCCGGUCUCAGGUACGGGUAUGGGGUAUUACAUUUAAUGGUAUCAGAACUAAGGUUUAGUCGGUUCUCGGACCGAACGUAGCAUAUGUGAAGUCUAGAAAUACAUGCCAUUAUGUAACUUGUGAUACGAUAAUGUAAUAUCUUCCAACUCUGAUGAGAUUUAUUUUACUUAAAGAUAGAGAUACUUUCCCAACCGAGCUAAUUACGAUAAUAUUGAAAGCGAUACUCAAAUAUAUGAGCAAAAGUAGAUUAUGAUGAGUCGGAACUCAUAAAGGUAUGAAUAAAUGUUAUAUUUAAAUUUAUGUGUAUAGUAAGUAAAAUUUUAAGGUAAGUAUUAAUAUUGAAUUGAAUUUGUAUGGAUAUAUGUGAUUGAUGUGGAAAUAGAAUUUUGGAUAUAUGUUAUAUUUGAAAAUUUUAUUGAUUGGGAAUGUGACGAAAUUGAUAUGAAUAUGUGAUUAAUUGAAAUGUGUAUUGAUUGGAAACUGGAAAGUGAAUCAAAUACCCUAUUAACAGUAUCGGACCAGAUUGGAUACAAAUGGCAGGCCAUUGGGUUUGUGAUGUGAUGAGGAGAUUUGUAGUUCGGCCGAGAAGAUGGUUAUGUUAUUAUAUACUUCGGUUUAUCCGAAGAGGCAUUUAAUGCCUUAUUGGUGUGUUUGGGAGGAUAUGAUAUACUGGUGUGUUAUGGAGGAUUUAUAAUAUUCCGGGUGUGUUUGGGUUGGAUAUUCUGGUGUGUUUGGGAGGAUUAUAUGAUACUGGUGUGUUUUGGAGGAUUAUACUGGUGUGUUUUGGUUGGACAUUUUGGUGUGUUUGGAUGGAAUCCGUGUAUCCGCCAAAGUCCGAGUCUUGUUAAUAGGGGUAAAUAUGAAUAUUAAGUGAAAUUGAAAUGAGAAUUGAAUUCCCUAUUAACUUGUCAGACUAGUCGAAUAUAAUUGACAUGCCAUAGGAACUGGAAGUGUACGGGAUUUGUCGACUUUACUGAUCAGGCACUUUAUGUGUCGUAUUUCAGGCACCUUGUGUGUCACAGCAGGCACCUCGUGUGUCAUUUCAGGCACUUAUGUGUCGUAUUCUGAUCAGGUACUAUGUACCGUUUUAGGCACAAUGUGCCUUACUGGUGUGUUUGGUUGGAUCUGUGUAUCCGUCUGAGUCCGAGUUAUGUUAAUAGGGUUGAAUAAAUGAAAUGAGAAAAUCGAAUGAAUUUGAUCGAUUAAACUAUUGAAAGUGUGAAAAAGUGGAAUUAUGAAAAGAAAUGUGAAUUGUGAAUUGAAAUAGAGAUAUGAGAUUGAAAGCUUGAACCAAAGGUUCAUGAAUUGAUUAAAGAUAAUAUAGAUGAUAUAUGAUGCCAUUUGAUGAAAGACUAUUGCCGAGAUAUGAAAUUAAAGCAUAAUUAACACAUAUGACUUAUAUUGUUACAUGUUUGAUGUCUAUUAUUUAUUAUAGUAUUUAUAAUUUGAAUUAUGGUAAUACCACUGAGUACAAACAUACUCAACGUACGAUUGUAUUGCUAUAAUUCAAAUUAUUUAUUAUUAAAUGUUAAAUUUAAAUUAUGUAUAUGGUAAGAGAAGUAUGAGUUAGUGAUAUUGAGAUAUUUGAAAUGUGUUUAUGAUGAGAAGGAACUUAGAAAUGUAAGAAUAGAAGUUCAUGAUAUGUAUGUGAUAAUGUAUGAAAUGAGAUAAUCAAAAGUUGAGAAAUGAUGAAACGUGAAUGAAAUGAAAGUUUAUAUUGUGAUAAACUUAUCUAUGUUUGUGUGGCAUUCAUAUGAUAUUAUGUGUCUGACUUGUUUGGUUAAGUAAAUGCUAUGAGUAAAUUUACUCAAAAUUCAUGGAAUGUAUGUUUAAGUACACUAGUUUGAAAUGAAUAAUUGAAAAGUUCGUGUAACAUAAUCAUGUAUGUUAAUUUGCUUGAAGUGAAUUAUAUAAUUGUGAAGAUAUGAUGUUGAUGAUAAACGCUAAGUUAUAUGUGUGAAUUUAUGAUAACUCAGUUAGAGGCUUUACGACCUCACCCUCUUACCAAUGUAGUAUUUUAUAAUGAAAAUUUACAAAAAAAAAUGUUGAAUAAGUUCACAAAUGUGAAACUAAUGAGUACAGUAAUGGAAUAAUUAAUAAUGCAGACGAAGUUGAAAAUAGUUUGACAAGUGAAUACAAUUUUGAAAAAAAAAGAUAUCAGAUUAUUCUAAAGAUCAUUCAGAUUACAUAAUGUCACGGUUAAAGAAAAAGUUAACCUUGGAUAGUCGACUUAUUCAGAUACGAUGUCUGAAGUAUGUGUUUGCUGAAAUUUUUCCCGAAUUGGUUUUCGUUAGUGAAUGGAAUGAUGCGGGGUUCAUGAUGACAGAAUUAGUAAAAAAAAUGAUAAUUGAGUAGUAAAGAUGUCUGUGUGUGAUAGUUACAGUUGAAACGAAUAUGAUCAUCUUUUCUGGGUAUUCUAUAUAUUCUUUUAUCCUCAGAGAUAUGUGUGUGGUUGUUCAGUCUCUGGUGGAGUUCUGAUGUUUUGAGAAUGCUAGUUAAUUAUGAUGUUAGACGAAAGCCCUAUUGGUUUGGUCGGUUUAUGAUUGUCAUUUCUUCAUCUUCUUGGAAUUCUAUUUUAAUAUGUUGGAAAUGAAGUUAAUGGUAAAAAUUUAUGUGAGACUAUUCUUAUAUUUCUACUGAUUAUGAUUUUGUUUUAUACAUGCGAGAAAUAUAUUAUCUCUGUUAUGAUGGAAGUCUAGAGUCGGUAAACAGUGUUUUUCUUUUGGCUUUCUUUGAGAAAUUAUCAAGAUCUUUAUUAUCUUCUUGUGAGUUAGAUGUACUAGUGAUUGCACGAGCGUUACAUAAUAUCUUUGAGUUCAUGUUCAGAUGUCUAUUUGUUAGCAAGUAAGCCGAACAUUAAGAACAUUUAGGAUUAUUGCAGUCAAUGAUAAUACUAGUGUGUUAUGAGAUAGAAUGACUAUAGAUUUCGAAUUGGGAUUGUCAUUAACAUCAGAAAAGAAAAUGUUAUUUAGUUUAUGGUUGUUCAUUUGACAAAGAAAGAUCUGUAUGAUCAUUUCAGUAGGUACAGAGUUUUCAUUUGACAGAUCAGCUGAAUAUAUGUAUCCCUGAGAGGGUAAUUUAGAAUUUUGACAGUAUAUUCCAACAUUGUGUUCUAGAGUUCAAAGGUGAAUGGAAAAAGAUAUUCGAGGUUAAAUCAAAUUGUGAUUCUGAGAAGUUAGUAAAGGUGUUUUAUGAGUGUUGAAAGCAACUUCUUCUGGUAAGAUUUUCGGGGACGAAAAUCCCUAAAGGGGGGAGAGUUGUAACAGCCUAAUUUUCAGUAGUGUCGGAACAGUGAUUCGAGAUCACUAAAUUCGACAAAUGAGUAGGAAAUAUUAUUAAUUUAGUGAGUAUAAGUUAAAUUUGAAGUUAGGAAAAUUUUUGAAAUAGUGAAAUAUACUAAAAAAUAUAUAUAUUAAAAUAAUUAAAACUGAAAACGAGGUAUCGAGACCUCGAGAAUUUUAAAUCGAGUCAUAAAUAUUUUUAUAAAUAUUUAUGGAGUGUUAAUAAGUUAGUAUUAAAGUUUCGUCAAGAAAUUUUAAAGUACUGAUAGCUAAUUGAACAAAAAGGACUAAAUUGUAUCAAAUGCAAAAUUGUGGGAAAUGAUUAAAUAGCUUAAAUGAUAAAAGAAAGAGGGUUUAAAAAGAAAAUAGACCCAAGGUCUAUUUGGGCUGGAUGGCAAGAGCAUGAAAUCACCAAGAAAAUAAGGGGAAUUAAGGGAAAAAUUGCAAAAUUGCAAAAUUUACUUAAUAAAGCUAGGACUAAAGUGGAAUUAUCUAGAUUUCUCUUUAUUUUUCUGCAUUCUCAUCAGAAAAAACACCAUGGAAGAGUUCCCUUAAGCUGGUUUUUCAUAUUUUUACUGCAAGUAAGUUCAAUUCUUGAUUAUUUCUUGAAAUUUUGUGUUUUUGUGACUUUUACAACUAGGUCCAUUUGUUGAAUUCAUUAGUUCUUGAUUCUAUGAAAGAAAUUGAAAGUUUCUAUGAAUAUGUGCUGGAAGUAUAUGAUGAUUUGACAUAGAAUUAGAGCUUUAAAUUGUUUAUAUGCUGAUUUUAUUGAAAGAAUUGAAUAGAAAGUGAAUGUUUGGGACCUAAAUUGUAAAAGAGUUUGAGGUUAGAGUUUUAUGUGGAAAUUCUGAAUUUCAAUAGUUAUGAAAUAACUUAUAAUGUCUAGGAAAAGUAUUAAUUGAGAAAAUUAGUUUAAUUGAGGGGUUAAUUAAAUAAGGACUAAAUUGUAUGAACUGUGAAAUUUGGGGCAAAAUGAAAAUCAACAUUUUACACUAAAACAGUUUUGGACAGCAGCAAUAGUCUAACUUUGAAAAAUCUCCAAAAAUUUUAGAAAUCUAAUUAGAGUAUGAAUAAAAUAUGAAAUUAAAGCUUAUUGAGUCUAGUUUCUUAUAGAAGAAACGGUGUAAGCAAUGGAAUUGUAAAUCAUGAGAUAUAAUAAGUUUUGUGAGACAAUGUCAGAAUGAUUUCGGGUUCCCCUAUUUUGACUUUGGAAAAUCAUAAAAAAUUGAAGAAAAAUAAUUAAGGGAUUAAAUUUAUAUUUUUAAAAUAAUUAAAGAGUCUAUUUUCAAUAGAAAUAAGCGGGAACAUCAUCCGAAUCUCGUACGAUGAGAUAAUUAAUUCUUAGUGAAGAAGGGUAGGAACUAUCAGACAGCAAAAUAGGGGAAAAUUUAAAGAAUAAACUGUACUUAUUGACUAAACCAAAAAUUCUGAAAAUUUUAUGGUAAUAAGAUAAGUAAGUCUAGUUUCAGGGAAAAUUUGUGGAUCUUAAUUUCGAGUUCUGUAGCUUAAGAUAUAAAUAAUUUAGUGAUUAUGACACAAAUGGACAGUUUUGAAUAUACAUAAGUAAAUUGUGAAAUCGUACUUACAAGAAUGUUAUAUACAUUAAGGAUGUGGAAUGGAGAGGAGGAUGAGGAAAAAUAUAUAUGAAUAUUCAGUUAGCAUGGCUAAUUUGCAUGUUUUAAGCUCAUGGACUAAAUUGAAUAAAAGUAAAACUUUAGGGGGCAAUUUUGUAAAAAUGUCAAAAAUGACUAAAUUGAAGGGAGUAAAUUGUUUUAUUAUCUAAAUUAAUAAAUUGAAUGAAAUUAUCAAUUUAAGAUUGGGUGAAAUUUGGGAAAAUGGUAAAUUACCAAUAUGCCCCUAAAUCUUGGUAUUUCUGCAAUUUAGUCAGGUAGGUUCGGAUACCCUGAAUGAGCAUAUAAAUAUGAAAAUUUAAGUAUUGUAUUGUAUUUUAUAUGAUAUUUUGAAUUGAAUAUAUGAAAAGGAUGUUACAUGAAACAUGAAAAUGAAUACUAAAUAAUAUAAAUUAAUUGAAAUUAUUCUGAAAAUUUCGGUAAUGUCUCGUGUCCUAUCCCGGUCCCAGGUACGGGUAUGGGGUAUUACAGUAUUUUCUAUUUUGAAUCAGUGCCAACUACUUCAACACCGACACAAAAAAAAUCAUUUUUUUUAAGUUUUGAACCGGUGUCAGCCACUUCAACACUAACACCUGAUAAAAUAUUUUUUUCUUUUUCUUUUUAAAUUGUAGAAUACCUAUAUUUUUUGAAGGUGUUUAAACAAAAAUACAUUUGGAUGUUUGCCAUUACACUGCUGACACAAAAAAAAAUAUCAUUUUUUAUUGUAUAGGGCAAUCAUUAAGGCAUAAUUAGGGAAUGAUGGAGGUGGUGCCAAUGGUGAGAUGGUCGACACCGCCCGACAUUGUAGAUUUCAGGUUAUAUAUGUCAUAAUUUUUCAUAUAGGCUCAUUUUUAUAAAUAUUUAUUUUCUUUGAGGUUAGUUGGGCAAAAUAGUCAGAAGAAAUGAACGAAAUAAAUGGAUGUUGAAUUGUUUCUUUCUUUCUCAUUUUCUCGAAUUUGGCAUUGUGGAGUUUCGACUAUUUUACCCAAAUGACACAAAAAAUAAUUAUUUAUGCAAAUGACCCUGGUUCAAAAAUAUUACCUAAAUCACUUAAAAUGAACAAUAAAAUUGGGUAAGAGAGACUAAAUGGCCGACAACAGUAUUUUUUCUGGCACAACCAUUGCUUUAUGAUUGUGUUAGGUGUUAAAAAAUAAAUUUUUGGGUGUCGAGGACUAGAUGGUCGAUAUCGUUGUAUUUUUUUCACCCGUAUCAUAUUGAUAUAUAUUUAUACCAAUAUUUGAAAAAAAAUUAUCUUUUUGAAAUGCUAACACAUUAAUAGCCGACACUCAUUUUACCCAAAUUAAUCUCAAAAUCCACGUGACCACUGAGGCCUCUUUAUUUUAAAUCGUAUUUUGAUUUAUGAUACUAAUAAAUUAUAAUUUUAUUACUCCAUUAAUGGUUUUGUUGGCAACUAACAGUUUAUUUGGAUCCCAGUAGAACAUUGUUUAACUUUCUAACUUUUAUAAUUUAAAAUUAAAUAUGGUUGUAAAAACCUGACAUUCGGCUUGUGAAUGCCGGCACCUGCUCAGAAGGUCACAAUUUGGCCAUUAAGUGCCGGCACCUUCUCUUUUAAAUUUGGUGUUGGUGUGUAGAUAAUUAGUAUUUCAGCACUCAAAAUUCCUUUUUUUUUUUUUAAAUAUAGACCAUUUGUGUGUUAACACUCAAAAAAAAUUUAAUCAGAUAAAUGGGGUGUUGGUUAUCAAUGUGCUAACACUCAAUAAAAAUAUUUUUUUUAAUUUGAUAAAGAGGCGCCAGUCUUUAGUGUGCUAGCACUGAAAAAAUAAUUUUUUUCAAAUAAUAGUAUAAACGUAUACCACUAUGAUACGGAGUGAAAAAAAUAUAAGAGUGCCAUCCAUCUAGUUCUCAGUAUUUAAAUAUUUUUUAACACUUGACACAAUCAUUAAGUAAUGAUUAUGUCAUAAAAAUAGGUGAUCUCAACAAUUUAUUACCCCCAAUUUAAUUUUAUUAUUUAUUUUAGAUCAUUUGAAUAAUUAUUUUUUUAAUUAAAAUUAUUUACGUAAAUAAUUAUUUUUUAGGGACAUUUGAUUAAAAUAACCGUUAGAACUAAGUAAAUAGGCAUGCUUUGGAACCAUUCUCUUGGAUAAGACAAUAAAAUUUUCUUUUCAUAGCAGGUUUUUUUAUUUUGUCAACUUAUUAAAAUUAAGAUGAUGUCCAACAUCAAAAAAAAAAUAUUUCUCUCCAUUUUUUUUUGUGUAUUUGAAAAUAUAGAUAUUUUUAAAAAAGUUUUAACCGGUACUAUCUAAACAACGGUGACAUACAUUAUAAAAAUAUUUUUUUAUUGUGAAUAUUCAUAUUUUUUAAUAAUAUUUUAAAAAAUACAUACAAUAUUAUCUAACACAAUGUUGACAUAAAAAAAUUUCUUUUUGUUUUUUAAACACUGAUGAUUAGGGGAAAAAUGCGAAUAAUUUGAUUAGUGUGUCAAGUCGUACUGAUAAAUACUACAACUCAUAUUCGUAUAUAUUUGUUUUCCCAACUCAUUUUUAUAAUGAAUUAAUUUUUAAGGAUUAUUUUUAUAAAAAUCUACUUCCGAAGUGAAAUAGAAAUACCAUUUUACCCAAUAUUGAGCUCGCUUUUCAGUAACUAGAAGCCCAAUAAUUAUUAAAUAACUUUUUUGGAAUAAUAUUUAUUCAAUUUAGUGUUUAUAGACCUAGUGAAAUUGGUUUGGAUGAAAUUUAUACAUAAUAUUAAUAUAUUUUGUCUUCCGUAUCUCAAUUCGACUUAAAUAUAGAACUAAAUUUUUAUCUAAAUUUUUUAUAUUUGUACCUAAUUAAUUCAAGUUUGUUUAGAGACUAGUAUAUAUAUAUAUAUAUUAAAAUGUUUUAAUUUAAAUUAAUAAUUUAGUUUUUUUAGUAAAACUAAAAUAUAAACAAAUUAAUAUAUAUUUUUAAUAUUUACAUAGUAUUUAUAUUACUAUAUAUUCUAUUUUAUGUGAUAUAAAUUACAUAAUAUGUGAAAAUAAAAAUAAAAAUAUAUUACAAAAAGUAUAAAGAGGGUUGAGCUAAACUUCGACUUUAAAUAUUGGAGUUCAAGCUUGGUCCAUAUUUUAAAUAGUUCUAAUUUUGGCAAGCUGAUUUUGGGGCCUUAUGCUAUUAUCUCAUUCCUUUCAUAUUUUAAGUGAACUUUUAAACUUUAAUUUAACCUUAUAAUUUUAAGUUAAUAAAUCCUUAUAUUUCUUCGAUUUAGUAAUGUUAACCGGACGUGACAAGUUAAUUAAGGUACAAGUGAUGAAGUGAAAUAUUUUGUCUAUUUCAUCAUUAAAAUUUUAAAUGGAUUUAAGACCAAUAUUUUUUUUGAGUAUUUUAAGUUUUUUAAAUAACAAUAGUUUAAUUUAGUCUAUAAUUUUAAGGCGAUAUAUUAUGUAAUAAUGUUGGUCCAAUUUUUACAUGUGUUAAUUUUUCUUCUAGUGAUAUUGAGGUCAAUAUUUUUAUAUUUAAAUCGAUAAUUGAACCAGUCAAAUCAUAAAUUCUCACCUUUAAAUUGAUUUUUGAUCAAUAUCCUUUUCAAUUAUGAGUUGAAUUUGGUUUCACUUAAAUCAAAUGCAAGUAAUUGGGUGAAAUACUUUGGUUAGAAUUUAAUUAAAAGGAGGUAAUGUUAAUUAGUAAUGUGUACAAUAAUGAAGUGAUUGGGUGUAAAUAGUCUUUAGAUUUAUAUAAGUGUUUUUAUAUUAUGAUAUUUAAUUUUAGUCAACUUUUUUUAUGAUAUGAUAUACAAGUGAAUCACAAGAUGAGGUGUAUAUUUUUAAUCACGUUUUAGUAAUAAUGGUUUAAAUUAAAUGAAAUUCAAUUAAUUAAUAUAUGUAUUUUUAAGUGUGGAAAUGCUGGCCUCAUGAUUGAAAGUGUGUUUACUAAAUAUUAGUGUAAUGGUUGUAAGUAGAAGUCAAAUAUGUACUAUCAUAUAUGACAAUUUCUUUGCAAGCUUAAUAUCUUAAACAUUCUUUGUAAGUCAUCUUUUAUUGUGUUAACUAAAUUUGUAGAAAAAACAGUUAAUUAUCUAAAUAGGAUGAAGGAAAGCAAGAAUUAAAUGAUUUUUUUUAUUGAAAUGGUAAGUUUCAUUGCGUUUCAAGUUUUUUUAUUGAAAGGAAAGGAAAGCAAGAAUUAUAAUCAUUAAGUUUUUUUUAUUAAUUUUUUAAAUACAUAUAUUAGAGGUAAAGAAUUGUCACGAAAUUUAGAGUGUUUCAUUAUCAGAAGAUAUCAUCAGGUUUACCAAAUAAUCUCAUCUUAUCGUCUUAAAAGGAGAGCAAUUUCCUUCUACUGACAGGUAAAAUCCCGGAAAUUUCUUUGAGGUCUUAAUCAAAUCGAUUAAGACAAUGGUGUUUUGGUUUCUUUGUAUUUAUAUUGGACUGAUGGUGCAGAAUAACUUGUGUACACAACAAAACUUACUAGAGCCCAUAAUCACUAUUGCUGUAAUUUUGUGUGUAAUAAUGUCUUGUUUGAUCAUGCUUGUUGUUGCGCGGAAGCGUGUGAAAGAGUAAAAUUAUUGUACUGAAAAAUCACACUAAGUUCAAUUCUUAGGAAAGAGAGGUAGAUCACGAAGAUCACUUAAAUACCAAGUCUUUCCUAGCCAGAAUAUCCCUCUAUUGUAAUUUAAUAGCACAAUAAAUCACUACAAUCACAUUCACAAAAUAUGCAAAACAAAUAAUAAAGAACACCAGAAUUUUAACGAGGUUCAGCAAAUUUUGCCUACGUCCUCGGGCACUACCAAAUAUAUUUCACUCCAAAAAUUACUAGUGAAAUUUACAAAUAGAGAGAGAGAAUAAUGCCUUAAGUAGAGAAUGGCAAUUAUGGGAUGAAGAAAGUAAGCAAUGGUUAGGCCUAUUUAUAGUUGAGGUUCAAGGAUCAACUUGCAAUGUCCCUAUACAAUUAGGGACCAAAAUUGCAAUUAUCCCAUGCCAACUUUUAACCCAACUUGCCAACCAAUAUUACUUUCUACUUUCGGUGAACACCCCAUUUGACUUUUCAAACAAUGGUGGGUUCCAAUAAUCUCCACCUUGAAGAUUUGAUUACGAUAAUCUUAUCUUCACACAAUUCUUUCUGCUUUUGACAACAAUACUUGAUAGUGCCUUCUUCAACUGUUAAACUUGCAGGAUAUUAAUCAAGUUCAAACAAUGUUCGAACUUGGUUGCUGUUACCACCUUGGUCAUCAUAUCUGCGGGAUUAUCUGCAGUCUUGAUCUUCUGAAGACAAAUUUUCCCCUCUUCAAUAAUUUCCCGCACAAAAUGGAAUCGUACGUCGAUAUGUUUUGUACGUGCAUGAUAGACCUGAUUCUUUUCUAAAUGAAUAGCACUUUGACUAUCACAAUACACGUUAAUAUGCUCCUGAACCAACCCCAAGGUUUUAGCCAUACCUUGUAACCAAAUAGCCUCCUUUACAGCCUCUGUUACAGCCAUGUACUCGGCUUCUGUGGUUGACAAUGCAACUGUAGACUAUAGUGUAGACUUCCAACUUAUUGGUCCUCCAGCAAAUGUAAACACAUAACCGGUGGUUGAUCUUCGCUUGUCCAAAUCACCGGCAUAGUCAGAAUCAACGUACCCAAUAACACCUUUACCAAGUGUAUUAUCCUGCUUGAACAGUAAUCCAACAUCCACGGUCUUCUGAAUAUACCGUAGAAUCCAUUUCACAGCUUGCCAAUGUCCUUUUCCAGGAUUAUGCAUAUACCUGCUCACUAUACUAACUGCCUGUGAAAUGUCGGGUCUUGUACACACCAUUGCAUACAUCAAGCUACCCACUGCAUUAGAAUACGGAACUUGCAACAUGUAUUCUCGUUCCGUAUUCGUCGAAGGAGAUAGUUGUGCAGAAAGCUUGAAAUGAGAAGCUAACGGGGUACUUACAGGUUUUGUCUGCUCGUUCAUGCCAAACUACUGUAGUACCUUUUUCAAAUACUGCUUCUGAGACAAGCUAACUCUAUCAUGAGCUCUAUCUCUCCAUAUUUCCAUGCCGAGAAUCUUUUUAGCUUCUCCUAGAUCUUUCAUCUCAAACUCGAGAUUGAGUUGAGUCUUCAAUCUUUCAAUCUCAACUUUGCUCUUAGAUGCUAUUAGCAUAUCAUCAACAUAUAAGAGCAAGUAUAUGAAAGUUCCUUCUUGUAGCUUCUGAAAAUACACGCAAUGAUCAAAUUUACUUCUUGUGUACCUUUGCCCUUUCAUGAACUGAUCAAAUCGCUUGUACCACUGCCUCGGAGAUUGCUUCAAUCCAUAAAGCGACUUUGUCAGUUUGCAAACCCAAUUUUCUUUUCCAGCAACCUUGAAUCCAUCUGGCUGAGUCAUAUAAAUUUCCUCUUCCAAAUCACCGUGUAAAAACGCGGUCUUCACAUCAAGCUGAACUAGUUCAAGAUCAUAUUGCGCAACCAAGGCUAGCAAAAUCCGAAUAGAUGAAUGCUUCACAACUGGAGAAAACACUUCAUUGUAGUCUAUUCCUUCUUUCUGAGCGUAACCCUUUGCUACUAAUCUAGCCUUGUAUCGAAUUUCAUUUUUAUCUGGAAAUCCUUCCUUCUUUGCAUAUACCCAUUUGCAUCCAAUUGCCUUCUUUCCCUUGGGUAGUGUCACCAACUCCCAGGUCUUAUUUUUAUGAAGAGACUGCAUUUCUUCAUUCAUUGCUUGCUUCCACUUUACACCAUCAGGGUUACUUAUUACUUCUGUGUAAGUAGAAGAAACAUCAUCAUCUGUAAUUGGAAGUGCAUAGGCCACUAUAUCAUCAAAGCGAGCAGGCUUACGAAUCUCUCUUCUUGGCCUUCUAUAUGCAAUUGAAUCUUGUUGCUGUAGAGGUUCUUGGGUAGGAACCUCUUCAUCAUUUGUCCCUUCAAUAUUAGCUGGAUCAUCGUUAACCUUUUCAAGCUCCACCUGCUGCAAAGUACUACUGGUUUUGUCAUCCUUUUGUGAAUCCUUGUACUUCAACAUGGUUGAUUCAUCAAAAGUCACAUCUCUACUGAAAACAAUCUUCCUUGUAUCAGGACACCAGAGACGAUAUCCUUUUACUCCAUCAGUUAUACCCAAGAAUAAUGCUUUCUUUGCUCUUGGGUCUAACUUAGAUUCUUUUACAUGAUAAUAUGCAGUGGAACCAAAUACAUGCAAAGAAUCAUAAUCAGUAGCAGAUUUACCAGUCCACAUCUCCAUAGGAGUUUUUCCAUUUAUUACAGCUGAUGGCAAACGGUUAAUUAGAUGGCACGCAUAUGUAACUGCCUCAGCCCAAAAUUCUUUGCCCAAUCCAGCAUUGGACAACAUACAUCGAACUUUCUCUAGUAUAGUUCGAUUCAUUCGUUCUGCCACCCCAUUUUGCUGUGGUGUAUCCCGAACAGUGAAGUGUCGUACAAUGCCCUCAUCUUGGCAUACUUGUAGAAAUGGAUCGUUUUUGUACUCAGUACCAUUAUCUGAUCGAAGUCGUUUGACCUUUCGACCAGACUGAGUCUCCACCAUCUUCUUCCAUUUCAGAAAUGCAUCCAAAACUUCACUUUUUCUUUUCAUUAGAUACACCCAUACUUUUCUUGAAUAAUCAUCAACAAAAAUAACAAAAUAGUGCAUACCUUCCAAAGAAGCUACUUUGGUAGGUCCCCACAAAUCACUGUGAACGAGUCCAGAAUUCCUUUCGUAUUAUGAAUUGCUGGACCAAAUUUUACCCUCUUCUGCUUGCCCAGAACACAAUGUUCACAGAAUUCCAUUUUGCAAGAAUUUGCACCUUUCAAUAAGCCUUGCUUCACCAAUGUCUGCAAAGCUUUUUCACCAGCAUGUCCCAAUCGCAUAUGUCAUAAUCUGGUAGCCUCUGAAUCUACAUCUUUUGUAGAAACUAUUGAUGUUGAUCCAAUAACUGUACUUCCAUUUAAAAAAUACAAGUUAUUUCUUCUUGUGCUUUUCAUCACCAUCAGUUGCCCAGCUACUACUUUUAGUAAUCCAUCUCUCAAAGUGAUUGUGAGCCCUUUAGAUUCUAGGGCCCCUAAUGAGAUAAGAUUUUUCUUCAGGCUAGGUACGUAGCGAACAUCUGUCAAGACUUGGAUUGAGCCGUCGUGAUUCUUCAAUUGGACUGUACCCACUCCCAUUGUCUUACAAGCACUAUCAUUGCCCAUAAGAACAAUUCCACCUUCUAGCUCUUUAAGACUAGAAAACCAGUCCUUGUUAGGACACAUAUGGUAAGUACAUCCUGAAUCCAAAAUCCACUCAUCCGUUUGACAUGCCAUUGCUAUGCCAACCAAGCUAAAGUCUGACUCCUCAUCAUGCUCUGCUACAUAUGCAUUAGAAAUAGCCUUGCCCUUUUGUAGCUUAGGACAAUUCUUUUUCCAAUGCCCUUUUUCACGGCAAAAGGCACAUUCAUCUUUGGCGGGUCUCCCUUUGGACUUUCCCCUUCUACCAGAUUUGCUGCUGUGUGAACGACCUCUUACUGUUAAGACUUCUGCGGUUGUAUCUCUGUUAUCUCUUUUAUCUUUCUUUCGAGUCUCAAAUCUAUACAACGCACUACAGACUGCAUCAAGUGUGAUCGUGUCCUUCCCAUGAAGCAAUGUGGUGGUAAGAUGAUCAUAUUCAUCAGGAAGGGAAUUCAACAACAAUAAUGCCUUGUCUUCAUCUUCAAAUUUCUCAUCCAAAUUUAGCAAGUCUGCUAAAAUUUUAUUGAAUAAGUUCACAUGGUCAUUCAUCGACAUACCGGGUGCAUACGUGAAUCGAUAAAGUUUCUUUUUCAUAUAAAGCCUAUUUUCAAGACUUUUCGUUAGAAACUUUUCUUCCAGUGUAUCCCAUAACUUCUUCGUUGAUGUCUCCCUCAUGAUAGAGUACUUCUGCUCUUUGGCCAAACAUAGGCGGAUUGUACCACAAGCCUGUCUAUUGAUCUUGGCCCACUCCUUGUCAUCCAUCUUGUCAGGUUUUUCUUCAAGGGCUAUAUCUAGCUCUUGCUGACAUAAGACAUCCAGGAUCUCACAUUGCCACAUACCAAAAUUAUUAGUACCGUCAAAUUUCUCUACUUCAAAUUUUGCAUUUGUCAUAGUAGUCCUUACUGAUGACGAUGCUGCUGCCAUUUUUCUCCUCAAUCCCAACUACUGUAUACGUGAACAGUACCGUAUAUGUGAAUAGUACUGUAUACAUGAAUAGUGCUGUAUACGUGAAUAGUACCGUAAACGGUCGUAUUCCCCAAGUACGAACCUGGCUCUGGUACCAAUUGUUGCGCAGAAGCGUGUGAAAGAGUAAAAUUAUUGUACUGAAAAAUCACACUAAGUUCAAUUCCCAGGAAAGAGAGGUAGAUCACGAAGAUCACUUAAAUACCAAGUCUUUCCUAGCCAGAAUAUCCCUCUAUCGUAAUUUAAUAGCACAAUAAAUCACUACAAUCACAUUCACAAAAUAUGCAAAACAAAUAAUAAAGAACACCAGAAUUUUAACGAGGUUCAGCAAAUUUUGCCUACAUCCUCGGGCACUACCAAAUAUAUUUCACUCCAAAAAUUACAAGUGAAAUUUACAAAUAGAGAGAGAGAAUAAUGCCUUAAGUAGAGAAUGGCAAUUAUGGGAUGAAGAAAGUAAGCAAUGGUUAGGCCUAUUUAUAGUUGAGGUUCAAGGAUCAACUUGCAAUGUCCCUAUACAAUUAGGGACCAAAAUUGCAAUUAUCCCAUGCCAACUUUUAACCCAACUUGCCAACCAAUAUUACUUUCUACUUUCGGUGAACACCCCAUUUGACUUUUCAAACAAUGGUAGGUUCCAAUACUUGUGCUGCUACUUUUCCUUCUAAACCUUGCAUCUUCAGAUAUCAACCAGGGUUGGUUCAAUUUCAAUGGUUACUUGGAUGUAGAAGGAGGAGCAGGGGUAGAUUCUAAUGGGCUGUUUAAACUGACUAACUCUACAAGCCUAAUAGCAGGUCACAUCUUCUACAAGAAUCCAAUCCAAUUCAAGAACUCCAAAAAUGGUAGUGUUUUCUCCUUUUCUACCACAUUCAUUUUUGCAAUUAUACCGGGACACUUCCAUGGCCAUGGAAUAGCCUUUGUAGUCUCGCCUAACAAAGAAAUUCCCGGGUAUUAUCCAGGCCAGUAUCUUGGUCUUUUCAAUAGAACAAAUAACGGUGACAGCUCAAAUCAUAUUGUUGCGGUUGAACUGGAUACAGCUUGCAGCCUUGACGUUAAUGACACAGAUGACAACCAUGUUGGCAUCGAUAUCAAUAGCGUAAACUCGGUGGCAUCUGCUUCUGCGGGGUAUUUCACUGAUGAAGGUAAGUUCAUCAGUGUCAGCCUUGUAAGCGGAGAUCCAAUGCAGAUAUGGAUAGAAUACAACGGGGUUGAGAAGAAACUCAAUGUUACGUUGUAUCCCAUCAAUCUACCAAGCCCAAAAACCCCACUUUUAUCCUUGAAAAAGGAUUUGUCUCCUUAUAUGUAUGACUCUAUGUAUGUCAUCUUCUCGUCGUCCACCGUUUCUAUUUCAGAUACUUCAUCCUCGCACUACAUAUUGGCUUGGAGUUUUAAGAUGAAUGGCUCAGCUGAUGAGCUAGACUUGUCUCGCCUGCCAAAGAUUCCACGACAUGAUAACGGAGGAAUCAAGCAACUGAAGAAGAUUUUGGCUAUCACCUUUUCUUUCACAGGUCUCACUUUAGUCCUCGUAUUGGUUUUCGGGUUUGUGUUGAUCUCAAGGAAGAAGAGAUUCAUAGAGAUUCUCGAGGAUUGGGAGGUUCAGUUCGGGCCUCAUAGAUUCUCUUAUAAAGAUCUAUUCAAAGCAACAAAGGGGUUUAAAAAAAGGGAAGUUCUAGGGAGAGGUGGAUUUGGUAGGGUGUAUAAGGGUGUUUUACCCUCUUCCAACAUACAAAUUGCCGUCAAAAGGAUCUCUCAUGAUUCAAGGCAAGGUAUGAGAGAAUUCGUGGCUGAGAUUGCAACCAUCGGUCGCCUCAGGCAUCCGAAUUUGGUUCGACUUCUCGGUUAUUGCAGGCGCAAGCAGGAGUUGCUUUUGGUUUAUGACUACAUGCCUAAUGGAAGCCUUGACAAGUUUCUUUACCACCAACCUAAUAGCAGCCUUUAUUGGACACAAAGGUUUAAGAUCAUCAAGGACGUAGCUUCCGCGUUGUUCUGUCUGCACCAGCAAUGGGUGCAAGUCAUCAUUCACAGAGAUAUCAAGCCUGCCAAUGUGCUGAUAGACAGUGACAUGAACGCUCGACUAGGAGAUUUCGGGCUGGCAAAGCAAUGCGACCUUGGAAAUGAUCCUCAAACCUAUCAUGUAGCAGGCAUGCUCGGUUACAUGGCUCCUGAGCUCGCAAGAAUCGGGAAAGCAAACACAAGCACUGAUAUAUAUGCAUUUGGAAUAUUCAUGCUUGAAGUUACAUGGCUCCUAUCUCUUGUAUCUCACCACCCAUGUUCGGACUAUAACACAUACCAUUUAUCUAAUUAAAAAAAAUAACCCAUCAGCCGAAUACAUUACAACUAACCUACCCAAUUUUAACCCAACAAAUAAACCCAAUACAUUAAACCUCUUAAACCAUCUAACCCACCCUCAGCCCAAAUACAUUUACAACCAUCAGCCCAAUACCCAUUAGCCCAACUACCUAAAUCCACUUGAAACCUCAAACCCAAAACAGAAAAUACCUAACCCUAGCAUUCGACGCCGAAUUAGCCUCCCCACUUGCCCACCUGCCCUCUGACACCAGCACCAUUCCCUGCACCACCGGUCAACUCCCAUGCCCAUCCCCUGCAAUCAGUAAGGCAGACAAGACAGAAAUAAUAGGAAAAUAGAGAAAAAAGGGUUAUAAAACCCGAAUCAAGAAUUGUAAAAAAGGUUCGGGAGUUUAAAAAAACGAAAAGAAAUAAGAAUAACAUUCGAUUCCAGAGCAAAAAUAAGCAAUCCAAUCAGCAUUUGAAUACAAGAACAACAUCCAAGCAAUUCGAAUACCAAAGAUUGAAGAAUCAAAAGUGAGAAAAGUCUAAGGUGAUUCUAUAAUUUUAGUUACUGUUUUAGGUUCGUUUUUGCAUACACAUAUAUUAAAAAGACAACAAAUAUACAAAGAUAUAAUAUAAAAAAUAUAACAAAAAAUAAAUAAAUAAAAACUGUUUUAGGUUCGUUUCGGAAUCCUUCCCCUCUCCCUCCUCUCUCUUUUUCUCUCUUCUUCUCUUUCUUUUUUUUUUCUUUUUUCCCCUCACAAAUGAUUUUUUUCUAAAAAUAGGCCUAUUUAUAGCCCUCCGAAACGCCGUCGUUUUGGUGGCUGUACUUAAGCCCCAAAACGACGUCGUUUAAGCCCUUACCCGAUCCGACCCGACCCGUCCGGCCUAGGGUCGGCGUGUUUUUUAACGGAAGGGCUAAUUGCGCAUUUAGCCCUUCUGCUUUUUUAUUAAUUUACAAUCAAGUUUUAAUUUAAUUUAAUUUGGACCUGAAAGUUGUUGCGUGAUUCGAUUUAGUCCCUUUGCUGUUGUGCGUUUUAAAAUAGUUCAGAAAAUUGCAGUUUUGGCCCCCCACUGUUGCACGCGUGUUCAAAUAAGCCCUUUUUCUUGCUUUUUAUUUCGAAUUCGCCCCUAAAUUUUGUUUUACCUUCGAUUUAGUCCUUUUUUGUGUUAGUUUGCUGUUUUAUUUUCAAAUUACUCAUUAUUAUUUUCUGAUAUUUACUAUUAUUAUUAAUUAUAAUCUCUGUAUUAUUAUUAUUAUUAUUGUAUUUAUUAUAUGUAGUAGUGUACAUUUUAUUAUACACAUAAACGAAUAUAUAUUCAUGUAUAGCAUCAUUUUUAUUACUUUACUUUAAUAUUUUUAUUAUACUUAUUUAUUAGCAUUUCAUUACUAUUAUUUUUUACUUAAUACCUAUGUAUAUUAUAGUAUUAUUAAUAGUUUUUGAUAUUAUUGUCUUUUGUUAAUAUAUUCGUAUGUCAUAUACAUUCUUUUAAUAUAUAUAUUAUACUCUAUAUUAUGCAUAUUUUUUUAUAUAUCAUAUCAUUCAUAUAUUUUAUUAUAGUAUGUAUAUAUUUUAAUAACUAUAUCAUGUAGGUAUUCUUAACACUAUUAUGUGCAUACUUUUAAUAUUAUCAUUAUUAUUAUCAUUGUAUAUCUAGUUAUAUUUUUAAAUAUUUCGUUUUUACUAUUAUAAGUAUAUAUAUAUUAUUACUAUUAUUAUAUUCAUUAUCCAUAUUAUUGGUACUAGUAUUGAUGUUCACUCAAUGUUAAUAUACGUAUAUAUAUGUGUACAUAUUUAUGUAGUAUGUUAAUAGUUUUUUUUAUUUAUUAUUAUCAUUUCUAAUAUAUAUAUACCGUAUAUGUUUCUAUAUAUAUUAUGUAUAUAUCAUUAUUUUAUUUAUAUUUAGUUUUAAUCUUAGUACAUAUAUUUUAUUAUACGUAUAUAUAUAUUUAUAUAGUAUCAUUUUCGUAUUAUUUAUUAUUAUACUUAUUUCCACUAUUGCCAUUUAUUAUAUUAUUUUAAUAUUAUGUAUUAUUUGGUGUACAUACAUCUUUUUAUUAUUAUUAUUAUUAGUAUAUAAAUAUAUUUCCUAUGUUAUUAGUAUUCCUAAUAUAUAUUGUAUAUGUUCUUAUCAAUGUUAGUAUGUGUUCUAUUUUGUGUAUAUAUCUUUAACAUAUAGGUAUGUAGUUAUGUAGUAAUAUUAAGAGUUGUCUUUUAGCAUUAUUUUAACAUUUUUAUAUAUUGUGUGUAUGUAUCUUUAAAUAUUGCAUUUUUAUAUAUGUUAUGUAUACACCUCUAAUACCAUAUUAUUUGUAUAUUUUUAUUUUUCAUAUCUUCUUGAAUACUAUUACAUGUAUAUAUAUACAUCUUUUUAAUACCACAUCAUAUAUAUACUAUUAUUUUAUUUAUUUUUAUUCCUAGUAUAUUUAUUAUUAAUAUUAGUAUAUGUAUUUUAUUAUAUGUAUAUAUAUAUACUUUUAUAAAUAGUAUUAUUUAUAUCCUUAUAUUUAUUAUUAUAAAUUUGUGUAGUAUUGUUAAUGUGUAUAAUUUUUAUGUUAUUAGUAUUUAUAAUGUAUCUUGCAUAUGUUCAUUUUAUAUUAUGUAGGUAUAUAUUACGUAUGUAUUUUAGUAUUACUAUGUAUACACUUUUCACUCUUAUCAUUACACAUACUUUAAUAUAUACAUAUAUAUAUAUAGCACUAUUAGUAUUUUUAAUAUUAUGUUUACGUCACUUCAUUUAUUAUUAUUAUAUGUUCACAUAUAUUCAUGAUUUUAUUUCGUGUUUAAUGCUAUUACUAUCAUGUUUAAUACCAUAUGCAUUAUUAUUGUUUUAUACUAUUACUAUUGCAUGUAUAUUGUUAAUGUUCUGUAUACUAUUUAUUUCGUAUAUUCUUAACUUUUUAUUAAUAUUUGUUUGUUCCGAGUUUAGCAUUAGUAGUUCAUGCCAUAGUGUAACAUCAAUUUUAGUUUUCUUUUACUUUUAUUUGUUUUCAUUCAUGUCUUUAAAUUAAUUUCAAUAAAUAAGGCAACGUGCCGAUUUAACAUUAAGUCGUUGAUUUCAUCGCUAUGUUGGGUGAACAUCAAUCGACUCGUGUUAAAGACGGAACACUCUUCUAAAAAACCCGAAAAACUAAAAUUUCUUAUCUUUUCAACCGGAUCACGAUUAAAUCUUACAUUAAACUCAUAUUUUUGGAAAUCAAGACAACGCGUGUUUAUAAGAUACCAAUUUUGGGCGUCGCGAGGGAGCUAAUACCUUCUUCGUGCGUAACUGACUUCCAAACCCUAUUUUUCUCUGGCUUAUGACGUAGACCUAAACUCGGCCUACUUUUGUUUUAAAAAAAUAAAUUUAUUAGGUAUCCGAUCACACCUAUAAAAAAGAUCGGUGGUGACUCCCUCUUUAUUUUAAAAUUAAACUUCAGUUUUUAAGUUUUCACUAAUCGCCACAAUUAGCGACCAAGCUAAAAUUUUUACGUCGCUACAGCUGGCGACUCCACUGGGGAAAGAUUUUUGAGAGUCGUGUCUGAAAUUAAACUCGCAUUGUCAAAAUUUUCAAAAUCCUUUGUUCAAAUUAACAUUUAGUCAUGAUCCUCAAAUCUUUGUUUUCAAAAAGUCAUGCAUUCGCAUUAUGUUGUAAACGUUUUUCUAACUCGCUUUGUCCUUUUUUUGUUUUUCAGCUUUAAGUUUUAUGGUUUUAGUUUUGUAGUUUUUUUUAAAUAAAACGUAAAGGUUUGUGAGUUUCUCCCCACACACCGUGCACCUGCAUUUUGCAUAACAUGAGCUCUCUACCCGAGCUCCGUCCGUUUAAGUGAAAGUAAACGUUAUGCCUUCGUGAGUUAACUCGUCCCUCCGCACAGGCUAGUGAAUACUUUCGGAUUACAUAUGACUUAUGCUUUCGUGAGUUAACUUGUCCCUCCGCAUAGGCAUAAGUGAAUGUAAUCCCUCGAGUUGAACUCGUGAGCCUGUCAUGGGCUAUGACCGAGGCUUCGUACUAAUCUUAGUAGAUGACAGUACGGACAAUUCAAGUACAUGUAUAGAACUGAAAUCACAUAUAGUAAACCGUACGAGCCACCUAAUUAGAGCCAUGCCGAACCUCCGUCCAUUAAUAGUCACCAAAAUAAGUACAUGGGAGAAACGCCUCUUCCCUUUUAUUUCUUUGACAUUUACACUUUCUAUUUUGAUUUUUCGUAAUUCAUGUUUAUUGUACUAACCAAGAUAUUUGUCUGUGUUCUUAUUUUGCAUCAUGCAUUAUAGGCAUCAUAUUAGAAAGGUGUUGACUAGAGAUUGGUUGCCAAAAAAAUGGGUUUCUAAUGGAAGAGUCAAUUAUACAAACAACCGAAAAGAAUGUCGUGGUUCGGGACUGGUCUCUAAAAACUCAGAAAGAAAAAGGGGAUAGUCUAGUGGAGGGAUGUAUUGCCAACCUGCCCGAGCACAUAACUGUAAAUGUUCACCAGAAUAACCUUGAAGAUUUGGUUCGGGUUUGGAAUCAGUGGGACUCAGACACUAGGGGUAUCUUCACUGAAAGAUAUGGGGACAUAGCCAACUUGAUCGGUGUCAAUGUAGAUGAACGAUUGAUCCAAGCCAUGGUCAGAUUUUGAGAUCCGGCUUACCAAUAUUUUACCUUCAAUCGAGAAGAUAUGACUCGGACUAUAGAAGAGUACGUUGCUUUGCUUCGUGUUGAAAAUGUGUAAUUCUAUAAAGUAUAUGUGAAGGAGCCUAAGCCGAUGACCUUUAAGAAAAAAUUAGUGAGAUUGACAGAAAUGACUGACGCAUGGGCUGAAAAAUAGAUAAAGAAGAAGAAUGAAAAUAUUUGCAUUCCAUGGUCUUCCCUACGAGAUUUGGUUUUCAACCAUCCCGACAUGUUGAAAAGGAUAAAUCUAUUCACUUUGGCCAUUUAUAGUUUGAUCAUCUUCUCGAAAGUCCUUGGACACAUAGAAGUUACGGUGGUGGAUUUCUUCAAAAGACUAAAGCAAGGGAUCAACCCUGUCCCAACUAUCUUGGCUGAGACCUUCAGAUCUUUAAAUAAUUGUAGGAAAGUGGGGAAGGGACGAUUUAUUGGAUACGCGUAGUUGCUCAAUGUUUGGAUUUUGAGUCACUUCUUGAAAGUAAAGCGCACACCGUUCCAUAUGUUUUCAAAAACAUUAACCCUGUUGGAAGCUUAUCUCAAGAGAGAAUGGCCAAAGGAUGUUACCGAAGAGCAUUGGGUUUCAGUUUUUCAGAACCUUCGAGCUGAAGAUGUAACCUGGAGAGCACUAUGGAUCCCCCCUUCGGUUCUGUUAUGCAAGGUGGGAAAUCAAGAUUGGGUACCACUACUCGGGCUAUGGGGAGGAAUUGGAUACGCUCCGUUAAUGGUCCAGAGACAAUUUUCUUCAUGACAAUUCAUAUCCGCCACUGGAGGAUUGGCACAGUCCGAGUUCGCUUUUGCAGGUGAAGGGUAUAUGAAGAGGGUCCGAGAUAUUGCAAAGUCUUGGAAGAAAAUUCAUCUGAUGGAAUUGGCUCUAUAUGCUGAUAUCCUCACCCAAGAUUACGACAUAUGGAGGAAGCAACGGGUGAAUAGUCAGCAAAUCUAGUCAACAUACUACACCGUCCAGAAUUCUUUCUCGGAGGAAAUGCCGUCUGAGCUAGAAAUGGCAAGACAAGAAUUUGAACGAGAAAAAGCCAAGAUGUCUUGGGACCUUAGUGCUUUUCAAGAGGAAAACUACCAAUUAAAGAUCGACGUUCAGAUUGAAAGAUCCAAAACCGAGAAAGUGCAAAGAGAGGCUGAAGUCGUAAGAAAUGACUUAAGAGAUCUCCAUCUGGAAAAUAAAAAGUUAAGAGGCACAAUAAAAAAUAGUGGGCUGGGCAAGUCGUCGACAGAAUGGAAAGAAGAAAUAAGCAACAUUAAAGGCAGAAUGGAAUUUUGGAAAGGAAAAGUGAAGAAAUAGGAGGAAAAGACUGCUCGGGCUAUGAUAGAACUAAGGAGGAAGAACGCCGAAUAUGAAACUGUGUCUGCUGAACUUACGAUUAGUCAGUCCGAACACCGAAAGUUAAAAGAGAGAAUACAUGAAUUAGAAGAUAUGCUGCAAAAUCAUCAACAAUAGUUAGAUACUCUCUUGGAGGCUUUGGAAGAAAAGAAUAGUCAAUAUGAUAGAGAUAUUCGUGCUUACGAAGAGAGCCUCCAAGAAAAGGAAAUGCAACUUAGCUAUUUGAUCAAUGAAAUUCAUGGGGUAGCCAUACACGUGGUACAAUUAUCGGAAGAAGCUAAAAUUCUAAUUUGCCAAUUCCCUCCAACUCGAAGAUCAAACAUAUCAGAUUUCUUAGCACGAGUAAAGAAAUAUGGCGAUAUAGCUAGGAAGUUUGUGUAAUGGCUGAAUCGAAAAUGGAAAAAUAUUUUGUAAUGGACUCUUUUGAUAAAUGAAAUGCCUAAAAUAGGGGUCGUCUUGAAAUCAACACUAAAUUCUCACAUAUUCAUGCAUGACUAACAUUCAUUUUACAUUUAUGCAUUCAUUCAUUCAUUCAUUGCAUAUCCCAUAAUCGUUCGCUGAGGUUAAAACAUGCAAUUCGCAGUUGUAAUACCAUAAGACUGGAACCACGUCAUUCGUAUAGAACACGCCGACAAGCUAGAGUAAUGGAGGCCGAAUUCAAUGAAAGGAUUGAAAGGAUAGAAAGAAUUCAAAGAGAAUUACAAGAGUAGUUGGCCAAGUCGCAGCAAGAGACAAGAGACUUAAUGGUGAGAUCUCAAGAAGAAUCACUCGAACAAAGAGACCAAAUGGCUAAGAUGAUAGAAAUGAUGUCAGCUCUAGUAAAAGGAAAGGGACCUAUGAACCCUAAAGUUGUGGAACCACAGUCAAGGGUUAAUCACGAUCAGGAUCCGCCCCAUCCGCCAGGAUUUACUCCACCACACGCCCACGCAACACAAAGAGGGUACACUCAAUGGGAAUCUACAGGCCUAGAGCAACGACCUGCGCCACCUGCUAACCUGGGGCAAGGAAUGUUCGUAUCAAACCCGGGGGCUAGUCCUGCUGAUCCACUCUUCCAGAUUUGGACGAUCCAGCAGAGAUAGCCAGGUUGAAAUCAGAUAAUCACGAUGCAAAUGAGAAAUAUAGAAGCCUAGAGGAAAGACUCAAAGCGAUAGAAGGCACUGAAGUCUUCUCCGCACUAGGUGCUAAAGAACUCAGUUUGGUGCCCGAUCUAAUCCUGCCUCUGAAGUUCAAGGUGCCUGAUUUCGAAAAGUACGGUGGGACAAGAUGCCCAAAAGUGCAUCUCAUCAUGUUCUGCCGGAAGAUGACAGGCUAUGUGAACGAAGAUAAGCUACUCAUACAUUAUUUUCAAGAUAGUCUAGUAGGAUCGGCUCUUCGGUGGUACAACCAGCUUAGUAGGGAAAAGAUUCGAUCCCGGAAGGACUUGGCAUCAGCAUUCUGUGAGUAGUACAAGCAUGUAUCGGAUAUGGUGCCAGACCAGAUGACCUUGCAAAUGAUGGAGAAAAAACCGUCAGAAACUUUUAGACAGUAUGCGCAGAGAUGGAGGGACGUCUCGGCCCAAGUGGAACCCUCACUAACAAAAAUGGAGAUAACCGUUCUCUUUAUCAACACUUUAAAGGCGUCGUUCUAUGACAAGUUGGUAGGAAGUGCCACAAAAGACUUUGUGGAUAUUGUGAUAUCCGGGGAACUUAUUGAAAAUGCCAUAAAGAGUGGAAGGAUGAAGGUUCUGACAGUUCAAGAAGGACAGCACCCGUAAAGAAAAGAGAGCCAGAAACCCAUAUGGUGGGAGCUGGAAGCCAUUACACUCCAAACCCAUAUCCAAACCAACCCCGACCUCGAAAUUAUCCACCUCCGAAUUUCUAUUAUCCCCCUCAAACCCCUUAUUACCAAGCACCACCUCCUUCCUACCCCGUAUACGCCACAAACAACUAAAGACCCGUCACCACAUUCCCACAAAACACUGUACCUGCUCAAAGCCAAUCCAGAAAUGAACCAAGACCCGCAAGGUCCAAUCUUGAGAGACCGCAAUUUACUCCUAUCCCUGUGUCGUAUGGGGAAUUAUACCCAAAACUUUUGGAGAAACAACUAAUAUCUCCCCAUUACAUGGCACCCCUUAAACCUCCAUACCCGAAGUGGUAUGAUUCAAACGUUAGUUGUGCAUACCAUGCUAGGAAUCAGGGGCAUUCCACGGAGAAUUGCCUAGCCUUUAAGAGAAAAGUUCAAGGACUCAUUGAUGCAGGCAUCCUACGAUUCGAUAGUGCCAGUAAUGCAACUGGGAACCCGUUCCCUAACUAUACCGAAGGGAAUAUGAGCGCAGUGGGGAAAGAGGAUGAAUGGCAAGUCAGAAGAUAUGUUUUAGAAAUAAAGACGCAUGUGCAGAAAAUUUGAGAGGUACUAUUUAAGAAAGGAUUACUCUGUCACCCCGAUAGAAUUUUCAGAGAAGAAGGUCAAAGUUUUUACGAUUUCCAUGGAAUUGUAGGACACGAUAUUCAAGCGUGUAAGGAAUUUAAAAGGGUGCUCAAGACCAGAUGGAUAAUAAGGAGAUUAAGGUCCUUAACAAAAAGGUAGAGGCCAACGAAAGAUAAGUAUGCGCCUCUGACAGCCAAUCAUCAGGUCUCCAUUAUAGCACUGAUCAGCCGUUAGUAAUUUAUUACGACGCGAAGAAGGAGCCGGUGAAAACGAAAGUGAUAAUCGAAGUACCAUAUCCUUUCCCUUACAGGGACGACAAUGCGGUACCGUGGAAAUAUGACGUCAACAUUGUCACACCUGAAGUUGAAAAGUCCGAAGCCACAACUGGAGAUGUUGGGGAGGUAGGCCAUUUUACCCGCAGUGGGCGAUGCUAUUCUAAAGAAGUCAAGCUGAAAAGAAGAAUAGUGACUUGAAACAGAAAGAAAAAGCACCAAUGCAUGUGACCGAAGAUGAGCAUGAAACUGUGCCUGAACAAGAAGCUAAAAAGCUUGUAGACGAGGAGGAAGCACAGGAAUUCUUAAAAUUUAUUAAGUACAGUGAGUACAACAUGGUGGAACAAUUGAGUAAGCAGCCAGCACGAAUCUCGGUAUUAUCUCUACUGUUAAAUUCAGAGCCACACCGGAAUGCCUUGUUAAAUGUGUUGAAUCAAGCUUACGUGGCAAACAAUAUAUCCGUUGAGAAGCUUGAUAGAUGGGUGAAUAACCUAAACGUGGAUAAUUUCAUUUCUUUUAGUGAUGAUGAAAUACCACCUAAUGGUAGAGCUCAGUGAAAGCAUUGCAUAUCACAACCCGUUGUAAGGGUUACAUAAUACCGAACGUGCUUAUCGAUAAUGGGUCGACACUCAAUGUCAUGCUUUUGGCCACGCUUUCCAGAAUUCCGAUGGAUCUGUCCUAUUUAAGGCCUUGUCAUUCCACAGUAAGGGCAUUCGACAAGACAAGGCGUGAAGUCAUGGGAAAAAUCGAAAUCCCUCUAGAAGUGGGUCCCUACAUAUAUGAUGUCGAGUUCCAAGUCAUAGACAUUACACCCUCAUAUAACUGCCUUUUGGGAAGACCUUGGAUCCAUUCCGUUGGAGCGGUCCCAUCAUCCCUCCAUCAAAAGGUGAAAUUUAUCAUGGAUGGCUGUUUGGUCACUGUCGAGGGAGAAGAAGACAUUGUAGCAUCUAUUUCUACCGACGCACCAUACAUUGAAGUGAGUAAAGAUGCUAUAGAAUGUUCCACAGCAACUUCAGGGAAACAAGAUCUACAAUCUUCAGCCUACUCCACUACAACUUUAGGGAGCUAGGAUGGUGCUUAAAUCUGCUUCACUGCAGCUUCAGGGAAACAAUAUCUACAAUCUUCAGCCUACUCCACUACAACUUUAGGGAGCUAGGAUGGUGGCUUAAAUCUGCUUCACUGCAACAUCAGGAAGCCUAGAUUCACCGUCUUCGAUCUGUUCCACUGCAAUCUCAGGGAAACAAGAUUUACAAUCUUCAACCUACUCCACUACAACUUUAGGGAGCUAGGAUGGUGGCUUAAAUCUGCUUCACUGCAACAUCAGGAAGCCUAGAUUCGCUGUCUUCGAUCUGCUCUACUGUAAUCUCAGGGAAACAAGAUCUACAAUCUUCAGCCUACUCCGCUACAACUUUAGGGAGCUAGGAUGGUGGCUUAAAUCUACUUCACUGCAACAUCAGGAAGCCUAGAUUCACCGUCUUCAAUCUGCUCCACUACAAUCUCAGAGAAACAAGAUCUACAAUCUUCAGCCUACUCCCCUACAACCUUAGGGAGCUAGGAUGGUGGCUUAAAUCUGCUUCACUGCAACAUCAGGAAGCCUAGAUUCGCCGUCUUCGAUCUGUUCCACUGCAAUAUCAGGGAAACAAGAUCUACAAUCUUCAGCCUACUCCACUACAACAUUAGGGAGCUAGGAUGGUGGUUUAAAUCUACUUCAGUGCAAUAUCAGGAAGCCUAAAUUCCCCAUCUUCGAUCUGCUCCACUAUAAUAUCAGGGAAAUAAGAUCUUCUAUGGUGACUUCAAUCCAUCCCAUUGCAUCUUCAAGGGUGUAGGAUUUUUAUUUCUUUGGUCUAUCACGCUGUUCUUUGGAGAACAUGACCUGUUGAAUCUAUUUCAUGGGCCAAUUUAUGCCAAAUGAUUUAGGAUUUCAUGACUCGAAUGAAUCAGAUGAUCCUAGGUAGAUGUGUAUGAAUGACGUUUGUAUGAAUGCAAAAUGUUAUUUUUAAUGCUUGAUUUGAUAUUACUCGUCGUUCACCGAGGUUUGAUCAUUGACGUAUUAUUCUGUCGUCUUGUUUAGCUGGCAUUCUUAAUAGAAAACUCGAAGAAACAAUCUCAUCUACUCGACAAGCUUGCCCCACUUAAACUUUAUGGAGUUUUUUGCUUAUUCAACCCACUACAACUCAGGGUAAUUAAUUUGAUCUGUUACACCAUUCUCUGGGUGUAAUGACUCGUGGUAUAUGCUCGAUAUUUGUAUGAAUGUAGAGUAUCAUUUUUUUCUCGAGAAUGACCCUCUUUUACACUUAGGUUGACAUUGCUCGUUAUUUGUCGAGGUUGUAUCACCAACGAAAUACCUUGCUUCUUUAUUCAACUGAUAUCUUUGACAGAAAAUUUGAAGAGAUAGUCGCAAUUUAGACUCCUCUUUCUCAAGCAAUUUCAACCCUUAGGCUUGGUGAGUUCUAAAUGAUGGUCCUGUUUCAGGUUCUUAUACUGUUUAGAAGCCUCCAGAGUAAUAUACAUAACUUCUUUUGUGAAAGUUUUAUUAGUCCAUUAAUCAUUAUUUCAAUGCUUGAAAAAGAUCAAAACAAUAGACAAGAAGGAGAUUGAUUUAGAGCGUAGCCCGAAAUAAAUAAAUUAAUCAAAGAUUGCAAAUGCAAUAAGGAGACAAUUAAUUAAACGUGAAUAAGUUAAUCAAAGAUAGUAAUGCAAUAAGAAAGAGGUUUAUUGGGAUGUAUCUUGAAAAGAAUAAGGUAAUCAAAGAUAACAAAUUUAAAAAUGGGUAGAAUGGAAAACUAGGUGCCCCAGAUAUCGCCGCUUGAGCUUCUUUGUACCAACUUCUUUGAGGACCUUUCUAACCUUAAUAUGUGUUUAAGGGAUCCGGAGUACUUUGUCGAUGCCCCAAGACGUAGUAUACUUCGUUAUUGUUAAUUUAGGCAUAGCAAGACUGUUGUAUGCCCCACUUUGAUCCAAAUUUGAGCUGCCCUUUUCGGGUUUUCAACUCAAGUCCCCUUUGGUCUUAAGGCGCCCUUUGUGGGUUUUUGCCUUGGCCUCUCUCUUUCUUUUCUUUUCUUCUUCUUCUCCCUUUUUUUUUAGAUCUUAAAGCGCCAUUUGCGGGUUUUCACCUUGGCCUCUCACUUUCUAGGUGAAAUACUUCUUGUCGAAAUCCGAAUUCACCGAUUUGGGCAAGUCUUUGCCAUCCAUUUCUGCUAAUAUUAAUGCCCCUCCAAAAUAGGCCUUCUUUACUACAUAAGGUCCUUCUCAGUUUGGCAUCCACUUUCCUCUUAAGUUCUUUUGUAUAGGAAGGAUCUUCUUCAAUAUCAAGUUCCCCUAGAGGAAUUCUCUAAGAUGGACCUCUUCAUUAUAAGCUCAUAUCGUUCAUUGGACCAUAACAGAUGGCUUUCAACCUUUUUUCUUCAAAUUCAACUGAUCAUAUCGGGAUUGGAUCCAUUUUCUUUAUCCAACUUCAACUCUAUCAAGACUCAGAGACAAGGCAUCUCCUCUUCAAAAUUGUUUUUAUCCCAUAGACUAAUGAAAUAUGCUGCCCCGGUGAAGGUCUUGGUCAACGUUCGAUAAACAUGGUGACUUCUUAUGCUAAUCUUUGCAAGUCUCGAUCAUCUGCCCCAUGAUUUUUAGUUUGUUGUUGGGUUCCUCUCUCUCUCUCUUUUUUUACCUUUGCCUUUGCCUUUGCCUUAGCAAUAUAGCGCCUAAUCUUUGAACAGACUGCAAACUUUUGACAUUGUUUAGUUAUGUUGGACAUGAUCUUCUCUGGUAUUUUUUAGUACCUCUUUUGGAACUUGAUGAGUGUCGACUUAGUGAUAUUGGCAUAUGAAACAACUUUCACCCUUUUCGCGGAGUAAUCGACGACCCUAAAGACGAAUCAGUAUCGGUUAGAAGUUUUCAAAGAGAUCGGCCCAUAACUUCCAUGCCCCACAUAGAUAAAGUUUACGAAGAAAUGAAAGGGUAUAUGAAUCUUGUCUCCAUAAAUUUAGCAUUUGCGGCAUAAUUGAUGCAAUUCCCUUCUACGUUAGACCAGUAGAAUUCGAAUAUCAUGAUUAGCCUGGUCAUUAUAAAAACAUUAGCAUAUGCUGUUCAAACAUCUUGUAGCAUCCUCAUGUCUUAGUAAGCCAAGCAUAUCUUGAUGCGAUCAUGUGAAAACAUAUUUAACUUCUUGGAAUGACUCAAUGAUGUCUUGUUUUGUCUUUGUGGUAAUGCAGGCUCCAAUAUUUGCCCUUUUCUCUUGUUUUAGGCUUGCCAACCACUGACUCUUUCUAAGGUGGAAUCCCCUUUUUCAAUCUUAUUCUACCGUCCUUAACAAAUCAAGAGAUAGGCUACAUCUCUGUCAUCUUUAAAGUGCUGAGAUUCCUUUAGGCCCAUAUUUCGCUCAAAAGGAGACUCGGAGUUAAUGACAUCGUUGCUCACAUCAUUGAUAUCCGGGGACCUGCUGAAGGCAGAUUCCAAAGAAUAAAUGAUUCUAAGGAUGAUUAUUUAUAUAGAAUGAUCAUGAAUGAAAAUAUUUGAAAGAUUAUCCAAAAUAAAAGAAUUUAAAAAUAAUUGUUUGUACGGUAUGAAAUUGAAAGAAUAAAAAAAUAUUUACUCAAAAUGAUAACAAACAUGCAUUUUAUUGAAAUAAAGAUUUUGGAUAUAAGCCUAUUUCACAAAAGGAUUCUCAUUGCUUCUAGGCUUAAAACAACAAGCGUGUUUUGAAUAUUACUCUAGAUUAGCCCUAAAAAUACAAGAAUUUCCUCCACAGUCCCAUUUUUCAAAACAUUCCCAAACAUGUCAAGGGCAGAUACUUGAAAAAAAAAUUAUUCCCGGGUUCCCUCUUCUGAUACGUCUUUAAUGUUCGGAUUUCCCAAUACCAGGUCUUACACUAGAGUUCUGAGCUCAAUGUGUCAUUGGAUCUCAUACCCCUAUCCAUCAUGGAACUCGUAAUGUCCACCCCUUUAACAGAAAGGUUGGAUAACAGGUUUCCUACUCCAGAGGGAUCAUCGAAUUUCACGAUUCCCAAUUUGAUAAAUCUUUCGAUUAAAAUUUUAAAGGUGAUACAGUUUUCGAUGGAAUACCCCGUGAUUCCCGCAUGAUAUUCAUAUUAGCUACUUACAUUAUACCAUUUAGGGUAUGGAGGCUGUAUUGGUUCUAUGUAAAAAGGGGAUACGACAUGUGCAUCGAACAAAAUAUGGUACAACUCCCUGUACGUGAUUGGGAUGGGCGUGAAUUGGGGUUUUUCUGAGUUCGUUCUUCGAUUGAACCCUUGUCUUGGGGAGACUUGAUGGCUGGUAGUUACCUUCGAAAGGCCCUUGUUAUACCUGCUCGCGUCAUUCUAUUUAUUUUUCUUCUUCUUCGAGGCCUUUAGAGUCCACUAUCCCUUUUCCUUCAUUUUUGCCAGAACAACUGGUUUGGCUCUAUCAUCUUCUGGGUUAAAACCUGAACCCAUGGGGAAGUUCAACAGUGCCAAGUAUUAGUUUGAUAUUGGGGUCCGAUAAUGACGGGUACCCCUUGUAUGUUUGGUUAGGUCAGGACGUUUGUCGGGGUAAAACCUGAGGAAUAGACGAUGUCUUCAAUAUCAUCUUCACUAUUGACCACUGGGCCAUUCCUUUUUUCAAGUUCUCCGGCCAGUAAUUGGGUUAACUGGCCUAUCACAUUUCUUUGGACUUCUAGCAUUUGUUAUCGCAUAUCUCGUUGAAUUCUGAUCAAUUGCUCUUGCAUCUGUAUUUGCCUUUGCUCUAUUCUCUCCAACAAUUGGUCCAUAUCCUUUAUCGAUUCUGAAAUAAUUUCACCUAAUUAGGGCCCUUUAGUAAAAGUUUAAUGCAAACGAUGUAAUACAAUGCAAAUGCAUGGAAUGAAUGCAAAAGAAAGGAAUGCGUUGAUUCUGAAUUCAAUUCCAUUAGAACAACUUUUCUAGAAAACAAAUUCCCUUACAUAAAAUGAAUUACAUAUACAGCCUUUCUCUCAUGUUCCAAGCGAAGACACCUAUCUUCCUCUUCAUAUCCAGAUGUUAUGGUUGAGUCUUGCGAAUUCUCCAAAAGAUGUCUUUAUUAACUCCUUUUUACUUGAUCUAGGCUGCUACUCAUUGAUCACUUAUCCUCGCGAUACUCGUCGGCUCCUUUAAGAAAGUUAAGACGUGGCGACUCUCGAAUAAUCUUUGUCAGCUUGAAUCCUCGGGCAAUGAAACAAAGUUUUGUAUUACUCCAUUACAUAUGCAGUCUUGCCCUCAUAUUCUAGGCGAAGACACCUAUCCUCCUCUUAAUAUCCGGAUGUUAUGGUUGGAUCUUAUGAAUUUUCCAAAAGAUGUCUCUAUUAUUUCCUUUCUGCUCAUUUGGAUUGUGGCCCAUUGCUCACUUAUCCUCGCGCUGCUUGUUAGCUUCUUUAAGACACGACGGCUCUCGAAUAAUCUUUGUUAGCUUGAACCCUCAGGCGAUGAAGUAAAGUCGUGUACUUUUUAUCAACCUUCCUUCAUUGUGUUUACUUGAACCAUAUUUAACAACCGAGUUAUAAUCCACUUUAUCAAGAAAUUCGUUUUCUUAUGACAAACUAUUCUAUUUAGCAAUCGAAUAUGAAUCAACACCUCCUUUCUAUGAUGAUGUAAUGCAAUGCAGUUAUAAACAAAAAAAAAACAAAACACGUUAGUAGAGAAGAAAUAAAUAACAAAUAAAGCACCUAUUCGGGUGACUGCUAGGGGUUCGGAGUGGCUCUACCUAAGGUAAGCUCCUAGGUCCUCUAUAUGUGGUUCGGUUCUAAAGUAAGGGUACCUGAACUAGCAGAUUCCUCGAUCCUUACCCAUUAUAGGCUCAUAUGGGCCGAGUUCAGUUCAGGGGGAUACAUUUCCCUAUGGCUGCACGGAGAUGAAAAUCUCACGAAGACAUAGGUACUGAUGUAUCCCGAAAGCAAUCCACUAGCCCAUGCGGAGGUGAAAACCUCACGAAGGUAUAGUUUCUCACUCCCACUUAAAAGGUGUGACCACAACAGUCAUGCAAUGCAAUGUGCGAGGAUAUAUACAUAAGAAAACCCGAGGCAAUAAAGAAAAUAGAACUAAAACAAUGAAAAUCGUAAGAAAAAUGGAUGAAGUGCAAUGAAGGGAUCGUAGGUUUAAAACAAAUUUUCAAUUUCGACCAAAGACAAAAAUUAAUUAAUUUAUGGCUCGACUCUCAAUUCCCCAGUGGAGUCGCCAAGCUGUCGAAACCAUUUUUUUGAAAACGGGAAUCGACUUUGGUUUUGAAAAUGGAAACGAAAAUUGGGAGUCGCCACCAAUCUUUUUUGUUUAGGUGUGAUCGGAUCACCGAGAAGUUUGGUCAUUUUAAUAAAGCAUUUUGGUUUACUAAAACAAUGAUUUUGGUCUACGAAAUCUGAGAAAUCGGGUUCGGGAGUCGGUUAAGUGUGAGGAAGGGUUAGCACCCUCGUCACGCCCAAAAUUGGUACCUAAUCGAUUAAUUAACGUUUUAAUGUCGAAAGUUGAAAAGACUUUAAAAUAAACUUUAAAAUAUGAUCCCUUUUUAUGAAUGUUUGGAUAACUCAAAGUGGGUAUUAAGAUUCUUUUUGUUUUGAGGAGAUAAAAUAUCACAUCCAGCACGUAGGACACAUCGUUUCAAACCUUCGAUGCCAAAACUAUCUCAUGAUUCCCAAAACUCAUGCAUUGAAAUUUUAAAAAGGAUAUUUGGUUGUUCGGUCAAAUGAUAAGUCGAAACCCAGCACGUAGGGCACGAUUUCUCGAAAUUUCCAAACACGAAAUAUUGCCUUAUUUGCAAAAAAUCUUAUCUCGAGGUAAUAAGAUGUCAUAUCCAGUAAGUUAGGGCACAAUACCUCAAAUCUCAGAGAGUAAGCAUUUUAUUUAAAACUCGUAGCAUUUUAUUUAAAACUCGUAUUGUGAUUUAAAAGGAAUAUGUCGUUAUUUAGGUUAAACGAGAAAAAUCGAAACCCAGUAAGUUAGGGCACGAUUUCUCAAAUUUCCCAAACACGAAAUGUUGCCUUAAUUAGAGAAUUUUCUUUUUAUGAAAUAAUAGCAAAUAUGAAAUUUAAAACGAUGUGUAUUUAUGGUAAUAUGCGAAUGAGAUCAUUAUGUUGAUAAGUAAUGAGAAUAUGAAUAUACUAAUAAGAAAACAACUCAUAAUAAUCACAUAAUUUUUAACUAUUUGAUAUGAACGACUAAAUAAGAAAAUAACUAACAUAAGAUAAUGACAUAAAAAUAAUAAUAACAAUGAUAACAAUGAUGAAAUCUAAAUUAAUAACGAUUAAAAUAAAUAAACACAAAGGCAAAAUAAAAGAAAAUAAGAAGCAAUUGUAAAACAUGAUGAAGGAAAUAAUGUAUGGAAACGCAAAAUAAGGUAACCAAUAUGGAAAAUGUACAUGAAUAACAUAUUAUACAAAUUAUUGAAAAAUACAAACAUGAAAAUCAAAACAUUCCCAAUGAUAAUAAUCUUUACCACAUACACUAUUUAACAUUUCUAAAUAAUGAUUAAAUAAAAAUCUAUCUUAAGAAAAACUUUUAAAAGGUAAUAAGCAAUGUUAAAACAAAUGAACUUGAAAUAGAUAAUGUAAGACAAAGAAUCCAAAAGUAAUUAAAUUAUAUGUAUAUAAACAAAUGAUACAUGCAAAAAUUUGAAAUAAGUCAUAAAAGGAAUAAAUACUACUUAAAAUAUAAAGUUUAACAUAUAAACAAAUUUCAAACAAGUAAGAAAUUUAGAUUAGUGCUAUACAAAACAAUUUAAAACAAAAUUUACAAAUAUAACAUAAAUUAUACACACAAAAAUAAUAAUGUAUGCUCAUAUAGAAAUUUUGAAGCAAAUUAUGUAUAUAUUAGAAAAUUUUAACAUGAAUGAAUAAUAUACAAAGGAAUAUAUGUGUGAGUAACAAUCUAUAUAAGAUAAAACCAAUAAUUACACAAAAUAAUUUGAAACAACGUUUAUUAAUCAAUAAUUAAUCAUGUACAUAAAGGGAAAUACUUAGUAUAAAUAGUACAUAUAUAAAAAUACUGAUGGAUGAGAGUAUAAAAAAACAAAAUAUAUAGUAGAUAAGAUAUUUGACAAGAAUGAAUUAUAUAUAUAAAUGAAUUUAAAAAGAUAAUAUAAAUAUCAUGAAAUUAAUAACGUUCAUAAAAUAAAACCGAUUUUGAUAUAAACUAUAUAUGUAUUAAUUAAUAUAUAAGAGUAAUUAAAUUUAAUAUCAUACAAAAAUUUAAAGCAAUAUGAUAAUAAAUAAAGUCUUAAAAUAAUAACUAUAAUAAAAAUAAUAAUAAUAAUAAUGAUAAUAAUAAUAAUAUAAAUAUAUAUGAAAAAAUAGUAAUAAUAAAAUGAUUUAAAAUAAGUUAUAUGUAUAUAUAUAAAACUCAAAAUGAAUAAUAAUAAUAGUUUUUUAAAAAAACAAAUAAUUAAAUAAAUUGAACAUAUUAAGGACUGAACUGCGAUCAAAAUAGAAUUAAGGGUACAAAAAAUAAAUAAAAAAAACAAAUAAGGACCGAAAUGGGGCGGACUAAAACAACUGGGGAUCUGAUGGAAAAAUAGACCAAAGUUCGGACACGUGUCCAUUUCUAAGAGUUCAGCAUGCCAAUGGACUAAAUCAAAACAUACGAUAAAUAUUUGGGCAAAUUUAAAAAACAAAAGAAAACUAAAUCAGAGCAGCCCAUAAAUCAGAGGGACUGAAGGGAAAAAUAUCCCAAAGAAGUAAAACGCGCGGAUCCCCCUUAGUAGCGGGUCGGGUCACGUGUUAAUAUGCCCCAAACGACGCCGUUUCGACGCUGGGGGCCCUGGUCUCCAAACGGCACCGUUUUGUGCCUGUAUAAAAAACCGUUUUUUUGUUUUAAAAUUAUUAUGUUGCUUCAACAAAAAAAAAAGCAGAAAGGGCUCUCCUUUCUUCUCUGCUAGGGUUUCAAAACCCUAGCUUUUGCGCCACCAUCGCCUAUCCACGCUCCUCCGCCAUGGACGGUGGUUGGAGUUUUACAAAUCAGGGCCUUUAGCCCUUGUUUUAGCCCCGUUUGAAAGCCAGGCGUACUUAGCCCUCGAAUAAAAAAAGAAAGCUCUCCCCUUGUCCUCUUUUGAUUCAGUUUUGAAGACGGAGAGAACUCCGACGACGUAACCGUGAGGUGAUCCAAGUAAAUUUCUUCCUUCUUCUUUUUUGUUUUCGUUUACAUAUCUAAAUAAAAUAUAAAGUAAUCAAAGAAAAAAAGAAAAAAAGAACAAGAAUUUAAAACGAAAGUAAAAAAACCUUUGAAGCUUUUCUCUGUUUUUUUUCUGUUUUCGAUUUCUUUUUAAAAAACAUCUGUAAUACAAUAUUUUUUCUUUUUUUAAAAAAAACCCCUUUACAUUUCUGUUCUUUGGCUAUAUAGCCGAAUCCCCCCUUCUAUUACUGUUCUCUCUACUUUGUAUUAUUUCUGCCUCUGUUCUCUUUUGUUUUGUUUGCUGCUUUGGUUUUGCAAGUGUCAGAGGAGCGAUGGGAUGGUGGCGUGCUGCAAGCAUGGCCAAGAGAGGGGUACGGCGCACAUGGGGCUAGGGAGGCGCGGCGCCAAGGAUGAGCUAGGGUUUUUGCCUAGCUGAAAGUUUGUUUAGGUCUGGGCCUGUUAAUUGGGCUUAGGGUUAAAUCUGUUUUGGGCUUGUAAUUGGGUAAUGGGCUAGGUUUAAUUUGGUUUGGUUUUAUUGGGCCUCGGGCAAAAUUUGGGCCUUACAAUUGUGUCAUAAAAAUAGGUGAUAUUGGCAAUUUAUUAUCCCCAACCCAAUUUUACUAUUUAUUCCAGGCCAUUUGGAUGAUCAUUUUUUAAUUAGGAUCAUUUAUGUAAAUAAUUAAUUUUUGAGGGUCAUUUGAGUAAAAUAACCGUUAGAACUAAGCAACUAGGUAUGCUUUGGAACCAUUCUCUUGGAUAAGACAAUAAAAUUUUCUUUUUAUAGCAGAUUUUUUUUAUUUUGUCAAUUUUUUAAAAUUAAGAUGAUGUCCUACAUCAAUAAAAAAUAUUUCUAUCCUUUUCUGUAUAUUUAAAAGUAUUGAUAUUUUUUAAAAAGUUUUAAUUGGUAUUGUCUAAAUAACGGUAAUAUACAUUAUAAAAGUAUUUUUUCUUCAUUGUGAAUACUCAUAUUUUUCACUAAUAUUUUAAAAAAUACAUACGAUAUUGCCUGACACAAUGACGACACAAAUUUUUUUUUUUAGACAUUGAUGAUUAGGGGGAAAAUACGUGUAGUUUCAUUGGUGUGUCAGUGUAGUUUCAUUGGUGUGUCAAGUUGUACUAACAAAUACUAUAACAAAUGGGUCAUAUUCGUAUUUUUUUUUCAACUCAUUUUUGUAAUUAACUAAUUUUUAAGGAUUAUUUUUAUAAAAAUCUACUUCCAAAGUGAAAUAGUAAUACCAUUACCCAAUAUUGAGCUCGCUUUUCAGUAACUAGAGGCCCAAUAAUUAUUAAAUAACUUUUUUGGAAUAAUAUUUAUUCAAUUUAGUGCUUAUAGAACUAGUGAAAUUGGUUUGGACGAAAUUUAUACAUAAUAUUAAUAUAUUUUGUCCGUGGUUACUCAGUUCAACUUAAAUAUAGAAUUAUAUUUUUAUCUAAAGUUAUUUAUGUUUGUAACUAAUCAAUUCAAGUUGGUUUAGAUUAGUGUGUAUAUAUAUAUUAAAAUGUUUUAAUUUAAAUUAAUAUUUUAAUUUUUUAUUAAAUCUAAAAUAUUAACAAUUUAAUAUAUAUUACUAAUAUUUACAUAGUAUUUAUAUUACUAUAUAUUCGAUUUUAUGUGAUAUAAAUUGUAUAAUAUGUAAAAAUUAAAAUAAAAAAUAUAUUACAAAAAGUAUAAAGCGGGUUGAGCUAAGCUUCGACUUUAUAUAUUAGAGUUCAAGCUUGGUCCAUAUGUUAAAUGUUUCUUAUUUUUUCAAGCUCAUUUUGGGGCCUUAUGCUAUUAUCUAAUCCCUUUCGUAUUUUAACCGAACUUUUAAACUUUAAUUUAAUCUUAUAAUUUUAAGUAAAUGAAUCCUUAUAUUUCUUCGAUUUAAUAAUGUUAAUAGGACGUGACAAGUUAAUUAAGAUACAAGUGAUGAAGUGAAAUAUUUUGUCUAUUUGACCAUUAAAUUUUUAAAUGGAUUUAAGGCCAAUUUUUUUGAGUAUUUUUAAGUUUUUUUUUAAAUAACAAUACUUUAAUUUAGUCUAUAAUUUUAAGGCGAUAUAUAAUUAUUUAAAAUGUUGGUCCAAUUAUUACAUGCGAUAAUUUUUCUACUAAUAAUAUUGAGAUCAAUAUUUUCAGAUUUAGACUAUAAUUAAACCGAUCAAAUCAUCAAUUCUCACCUUAAAAUUGAUUCUUGAUCAAUACCCUUUUCAAUUAUGAGUUGAAUUUGGUUCCACAACGUGACGUUAAACCAAAAUGCAAGUAAUUGGGUGAAAUACUUUGGUCAGAAUUUAAUUAAAAGAAGGUAAUGUUAAUUAGUAAUGUGUACAAUAAUGAAGUGAUUGAGUGUAAAUAGUCUUUAGAUUCAUUUAAGUUUUUAUAUUAUGAUUGACUGGAUAACGGAUUGCUGGGAUAAAGGAGACAUUUUGGCGACUAUUGAUAAGAGGUUGGGGAAGAGAUUUGUGGGACAACAAGCGGAGUUGGUGCUGAAGCCUGGGUUGCUUUGUUCACACCCGGUGACAGCGGCUAGGCCUAGCAUGUCCAGCGUUAUAUCGUAUUUGGACGGUGUUGCUUCAUUGCCUGAUGAUUUCAGCUCUGUUAUCAAAGUUCGAGAAUUCCCAGCAGGAUCAAAUGAAGUGGACGCUCCUAAUGAGUUGACAGGCGAGAGAAACACCGUUCCUUCAUUAACAAUUACAGAAGCAUUUGUUUCUCACGGUAGGUGAAGUGGAAAAAUAUCGGGUUUUUCUUUAAAAAUUAUGAUUGUAAAAUUAAAUAAAAAUUUAAAGCCUUCCGAAUCGAGUAAUAGGGUUUUGUAUAUAUUUUUAAGCAUCAGAAGUAGCAUACUGUGGCUGUUCAUGCAAAUAUCAUUUAGGAAUAUAUUUUGUAACUGAGCAUGUGAUUCUCAAAAUUUUGGAAUUUUUAUUCUUUUUUUAAUUGUUUUAAUUUUUAGAGUUUUUUAUUUUUAUUUUAAUAUUUUUAUAAUGUUUUAUAUUCUAAUAAAAAUAGGAAGGUGGUCACAUGCAUAACAAAUUAAAAAGCUUACUCGAAUAAAAAAGUUUGAUGUAUGUGACCACCUUUCCAUUUUUAUUACAAUAUAAAGCAUCAUUAUCUGAAGUCCUUCAUAUGUUAAUUUCUUAAUUACAUGUACUAUUGGUGUUUAAUGUCAACAAUGACGAAUAUUGUAUAUUAAUCAUUAUUUAAAUAUCAAUUAUUGAUAUUUAAAUAAUGAAUUCAAAUAUAGUGUUAUUUACAUAAUAAUAAUUGAUAGGUAUAUUUGAAUUCUAUCUAGUCUCAUUUAUAUUUGGGAAAGGAAGCUCACUUUAAAAAAUUAUUUUAUGCAUAAUUUUUAUUAUUUUUUAAAUAAAAAGAUUAAAAUAUUCUCGAUAAUUUAUUUAAUUACAAAAUGACAUUUUCAUAAUUUCUUUAGCUGAAUUAGUGCCCGGUUGAUUUGGACACCAACUCAAUCAAGAGCUUAAAUUAUAAGAUAUAGAUAUAUACAAUUGAUGGAGGUAGGUGUGUAUAAUAAAAUUAAAAUGUUUAGAGUUAUCAAGAUAAAACUUUAGUUGAGUGGUAAAUUAAUCUUUAUCUUUGUGAUGCUCGGGUUGAUUGUUUAUAUUAAUUAAAAUGUAUUAUUUUAUUAUUUUAUAAUUUUUAUAAAUAAUAUUAGGGAAAAUUUUUAAAAAUAUUCAUUUUCUUUAAAUUGCUACGACUAUUAGUGAUAAUAUAGGGCAAAAUUAGAUAAUAUAAAUAUUAGUAAUAUUGAAAAUCAUAGCUUUGGAAUGUUAAAUUAAGGAACAGAUUGAAUUAAUUGAAAUCUCAUAGUAAGGACUUAAAUAUAAAAAAAAUAAAAAUUCCAUUAGGAUCUAAAAAACAAUUUAAUUUUUAAAUGCAAUUAAUCCAUGCUUUGUUUAAUCACUACAUUAUAAAACCUUGAAUAAAAAAUUUAGAGUUUUUAGAACAUGCCUUAAAUCUAUAACAAUAAAACUAUAUGCUUUAUUUGUCUUUCUCCGUAUACUCUUCUACCUAUCCAAAUUCUUUUAAAUCAAAUUCUAAACUCUGCGAAUCUAGACUUCUGACUUCUUCCUAACUACAUCGAUACCAGAAACCAUUGGAUGGGGUUGGGACGUCAUUCUUAGCCUUGCCUUGAUCUCUUCUUAAAGCUAAGUUCCCUUUUGCUUGUUGCUUCCUCUCUCUCUAGCAUUGCAGUGGACAAAGUGUAGGGAACAACUAACUGCAAUUUGAUUUAUAUCAGAGGCAACAUAUUAUUGAAAAAUCCCUUAAAAAAUAAAUCACCCAAAAAUCAGCCUACGUUUUGGUAUAAUGACACUCAUUGCAGUUGGCAUGAAGGGGGCAUGAGAGGCUCUUUGAUAGUGUCGCCACUGGGAUGACAGGCCAUUGGUUUCAUCUUCAUCUUUUGGCUUGAAGUUGCUGUUGGGGUUUGGACAGCAGAGGAAGAAAACAGAAGCAAGUAAUCCGGAUAAAGUAAAGUUAAACUUCAAUACUUGAAUAAGCAAUAUGCCAUAUACAUAAGUAAUCCGGAUAACAUAUGUUGGAUUUUGCGUAAAACAAAGAAGAAGAAGAGAAGAAAAGAAAAUGAUGCCAAAAUUUGGACAAGAAGAAAAAUAAAUUUGAUCUCCAAAAAUCUGAUCUUUUUUCAUUAACAGGAGAUGCAUUCAUAUUACAAAGAAAUAUGGCAGUUACCUAAUGUUUAACUGUUCCCAUUAAUACAUGACUUAAGCCUAGCUAGAAUUAGACACAAAAUGUAGCUGACAUAUGAGCCUUUAUAUCACAAUCAAAUCUUUAACAAAUCCUACUAACUUUAAAAGUCAAAUUACAAAGGAACUAAAUCAAGUUACAAAUGAACAAAAUAAACAAAAUGCUGCUACUCCUCUGGUUCAGCUUGAAUGCUGGUUUCCUGUUGCAUUGCAGGCCAAAGUUUAACAGUUGCAACCUUGAGGGUUUUGAAUCGUGGCUUCGAAGCUCAAUGUCGCAACACCCUAUGCUUAGUGUCACAAUCUCCACAACAAACUACUCCAUGUUGAAAUUUGGUGAAGUUCAACAAGCAAUAUGACACACAAGCACUUGUGACACGACCUCCACAACAGUUGAGGUCCUCCUUGAUGUUUAGUCUCAAUCACCUCCCUAUACAAGCCCACUACAGCAAAACUGACUUUUAGCGGCGUUUUUUUAGGCCUUUAGCGGCGUUUUUACAAGCGCCGCAAAAAACACCGCUAUUGCUAACGGUGCUAAAGUUUGCGGCGUCUAUUCUAAAGAUCAUGACUUUUAGCGGCGCUUUUCCCACAAACGCCGCUAAAGGUCAUGACCUUUAGCGGGACUUUUUCUAAAAAUGCCACUAUAUAAUAGACCUUUAGCGACGCUUUUUUGACAAACGUUGCUAAAAAGUAUAAACUUUAAAAAAUAUAUUUUAAUUAAAUAAUAUUUGUUUUCUAUGAUAAAUAUUAUAUUAUGUUUUAUUUUUUAAAUUUGAACUUUAAACUAUACACAAUUUUUAAAAAAUCAUUUAUAUGUAACUCAACAGAAAUUAUGUUCAAAGAUUCGUUGUGUCACUAAACAAAGAAAAAUGAUUUACACAAAUAAAUAAAAGACAAAAGAAAAUGAAGGUUCUAAUGAGCAAACUAUUUUAUAAGCAAUCAGAAAGAAUAGUACAGGAAAUUCUUAGUAUCCUACUUGAAGAAAGCAUCGAAAAAUAUAAAAAGGAUGAGAAUGAGUACAAAGAAGCAUCUUUAAGUUGAACCAUUCUUGAUGUCAGGUUCCUUGCCUGUCUCAAGGAGAAAACACUUGCACACAACAAGGACAUAAUGUCCCUUUCUCCAUUUGACUUAAUCACCUACAUUCUCUCAUACCCUUUCUGCUAAUAGCAAUUGUUCAAGUUCUUCUCUUCUUCUCUCCAUUUCCUGCAUAUAAAUGUCCAUGAGAUUAUGGUAUUUGAUGAGAAAAUUAGUUCACAGCUGUGAUACUUUCACAAUAUUGGCCUGAAAUACCCUACAAAUCAAUACCAUAUUGCAAAAUCUCCAAUAUUCUUAUCAUGUUAAGGUGUUUAUUGAUAAAUUUCUUAAGAGAAAUGUUAACCAAUGCCGUGUAAUUAAGCAUCACUUUUUUCUUGAAUUCAGUUAAAGUAAGCAAUGUAUUAAAUGUUAGAAAAUAUCCUUAAAAUGAACUGUUCAAGACUCCUGAAAGGUUGUGGGUUCAAUAUCUUAACAACAAUCACUUGUAACGCACGAUAAGAAUGGGUUCUUACAGUAUAUCUGUCAACUUAAGAACACUUGAUUAUAAUGUGGUAGGAGAGGUUUGAAUAUAAAAAAAGAAGCAUUCAGAGUAUGACUAGACCUCCAAUUGAUCAAACAAAAGAAUACAUAAAUAAGAAAUCAUCAAGGCAAGAUGUAAACCAAAAGGCCAGCUUUGAACAACUCUCAUAGCUUACCUCCAGAUCUUGAACUGCUUGUUCCCUUGUAAUUUCCUUUUGCUGGCGAGAACAUUUGAGAAAGCCAAUGCAUAAGAUUCCCUGACAAAUUUAUUAUCAGUACAAUCAAGGAGUAAACAUAAACUCAACUCAAAAUCACAGUUCUGAAGCCUUUGCUCAAUUCCACCCCAAACUAUAUUUUACCUCCUGUUGUUUAACGUUAUAUAGAAAUUAUUCUUUACUUCUAGUAUCUAAAAUUACAAGCACAAAAGGCAAUAUCAGGGUCUGAUGAACAGUUAGCUUUGACUAAAAAUACCAGUAAAUCCAAUAAGCCCUAAUUAUAAAUCUAAAGAUUUGAAAUCUAACUUUGGAACAAAUUAUAACACAAAACUAACAACAAAAAAACACAAAAUAGACAAACAAUCACGCAACAAAACUAGAGCAAAUACAAGAAUUUAAAAAAGAAAAAAAAAGAUGAUAAAUAGCAGCAAAGCUAAAAACAAGUAGCAAAAAAAUGAAACAAAUUAAAACAUUAUAUCAGUUAUUCAACGGUAUUAUUCGGAAGGAUGUUCAAAACCAGAAUCCACAAUAGAUCGAAGCAGCUCCAGUUUUAGUAGAAAGUCUCUGAAUCCCGAACUGUGAAUUCCAACAUACCCCCUACACCACAUAAAAAAGCAAUGAAACAAAUUAAAAUAAAAUUGCUUUACGCUAAAACUAGCAGAUUAUAUUAGAACAUUGUUUUCCUUAAAAAUAUUUACAAUAAGUUAAAAAGAAAUAUUUUAAAAUUUGAUUAUGUAUAUAAUUAUAUGUAUUUGCUUUAAUUAUAUGUCUUGAAAUAAAGUUUGUAUGCAUAAAUAACUCCCCAUACACAAACUAUUUCAAUCAGCAUAAAUCAGAUAAUUUGUGGCUUCAACAUGCUGACUUUACCAUAAUUUUGUCUAAAAUUUACAAUCUUUAACAUGGCACAUCACUAAAUUUAAAUAGUUGAUUUCACAAUCAUUAUAUCUACAUUUGGACCUUAAUAAACCUAGAAAUUAUCCAUGCCAAAACACAUUUAAUGUGUCCAAGAAUCAGACAGUAUAAUGCAGCCAUUAAUCAAAUUUGAAUUUGAAUAACAUAAGACAUACUAGACUCUUCUACAAAUGCUGGAAAACUUGUCCUUACCAGGCUGUUUAAACGGCAUAAACAAGGUAAAAUCAUGAGAUUUAAUCCGGCUUUUACUCAUUAAUUUUUUUCAAAGUCGAACCGCAUCUUUCAUGUCCCAAAAAUCAUAAAAUUCAACAUGCAGUAUCAUAAAAUUAGUUUGAGCUCCAACCUUUAAAUUUUCAAAAGAAUAUCACAUCAAAAAUUGGAUAGAAAUAAUAUAAAAUUUCUUAAAACAAAUUCCAUAUGGACAAACUAUAUAGAAUGUCCCUUCAACUAACUAAUGGUUACCUGUAUCACUGCCACACCACCAAAUAAUUUAGCAAUCCUUUUGUUAAGUUUUUCCUUCUCAUAAUCCUGUUCUGCAGCCUGCAUUAAAGUAAUAAUAUAACUAAUUGCAUACUCAAUGUCUGCCACGAAUAUUCAUUGGUAAUUCAUUAUUAAAAGUCAUCAUACGGUUAGGAAAGCUGGUGCAAAGUUUUCGAAGAUUGAAUUUCAAAUGUUACCAUGUUACCAUGCAAUCGGCCCAAAACUAAGCAAUUCAUGUCCCCAAGUUAGAUGGUUGUGGCCAAUACAUGACUAUUUCAGCCCAAAACUCUCUUUCCCUUUUGUCUUUUACAGUUCAUUUUUUUCAUGAAAUAGUUUUUGAUGUCACGAAUUUACGAACUAAAGUUUAAACAACUUUUUUCACUGAUAUCCAAUAUUGACUGUUAAAUUGACUUAGAUUUAAAGUAUGUUCUUUUAUCUAUCAAUGAAUAUUGAUUUACUAUACCAAUCAUUGAAUUAUUACUUGAAGCUUAAUGGCAGAACUUUAAAAAAGAAAAACUUAACAAUCUAGUAACUUAAAUAAAAAAUUUUGUAUAAUUCAGUGAUAAAAUUAUAUAUGUUUUUAAUUUAGUGGUUAAAAUAAAACUCAGUGUUGUAUUUAUAGCAAAAAAUUUAUGAUUAUAUUAUACCAAAUUUAUAUGGAGAUUUUGUGACAAAUAAAUAGUGGAUACUCUUGAUAACAUUAACAUGUAGUUUGGCAAACACCUGAGGAUAUUGUUGUUAAUACAUUUUUCAAAAAAAAUAGAUAUUUCUUAGUGCCGACUUUUAGAUGCUUAUAUUUUGAAAUAUUAAUAAAAUUACAAUUUAAUUUUCAAUAUUCUUUAAUAAUUAUAUACUAGAAUUUUACUGUUAAAAUAAUCAUAAAAACUUGAAUUUAAACGUAUAUUAAAUCUGAUUGUAGAUAGCAAUAGAAAUCAUGUAACAUUAAAUCUGAUUAAUGCGUUAGAUACUGUUCAUCAUUUUCAUAUAAUAAACUGCAAAUUUUGAAGUGCCAAUAAAUAAGUUCAGAUGAAAGCAUAAAAACUUACAAAUACCCUUCCAUUCAAAGGAACCUUUCAAAAGGAAAGGCAACCAAAAUAGAAGGUAAGAUGGUUAUGAGAAAAGGGAAAUUUAAUAAUCAACUAAAUCAAUUGUCCAGAGAAAAAAAAUCCUGAGGUAGUUCAAAAUCAGAGUAUAAUUUCAGGUCAAGUAAUUAUUAAAAAAAUAAUCAAAUUAGUAUAUAAAAUUACAUACCUUCACGUUUGCGUGCUUCCUCUUAUUCUCUCCUCUUUAAACCUCACAUAGAAUAUUUUCUUCCUCUUGAUAUCCCUUUCCUGCUUCCAGGCCUGAAUAAUUUUCUAACAUGCGUGCCAACCUAUUCUUCUCUUUCAAGUCCCCAUCAUGAUGCUGCCUACUCAACUCAACUUCCAGCUACAACAUAGAAAAACAGAAUUACGAAUGAUUAUAUCAAAAAGGUUGACAAUGGCAAAAAUACAAAACAAAACAGAACCUCUCAUAAAGAAAGACUGCGACAUAUAAACGCUGCUCUUCCCUUCAAGAUAUGGAAAUGCAAAUGAAGAUAGAACAUCUGUUGAGGCAGACUUAAGAUAACAAAUCAAAGUCUUUGAUAUGUUUAUAAAACAUGAAAGGUCAUAUGUUACAAGACCUGGAAAGAGAAGCACUCAAAACAAAGUACUUCUUUCAACUGCAAAACAAGGAAUUAAAAUUUUACCUGUUGUUCACGUUCAUGAAGCACCUUCUCUUCUAGCAGUCGUCGUUGAAAAGCGGCUUCAAUCAAAGGUGCUGCUUCCUCUCUCUUAGCUCUUUCCAUAUGGUUCAUUGUUUUCGCAACCUUUUGUAGUCUCUUCUCCUGUUCCUGCCUCUCCUUUAGCUGCUCACUCAUCGCCUGCUCAAGCAAGGUUUGCUUUGUUAAUUUCUCCUGGACACAUGCAUAGUCAGAACUUAAAUAAAAAAUAAAAAUAAAGAACAGCUUAUAGGAGUCGGAAACUUAAUGAAAAUAAAUGGCUGUUCACCCCAUCUAAAAUUGGCUUCCUUUUCCCUCUUUUCAAAUGCUUUUCAGUUUCCUGUAGAAACACCUGUGCUUCUUCAAACUCCUGCUCCUCUAUUUCCUUACAGAUUCUUUCAGCUCGCUGUUGCUCAAAUACAGCAGCAAGCCUCUUUUUCAAGUGCCUAUAAAAUUCCUACCAAGGAUGACAAUCUAGAAAGAACUAUUGAUAUGAACUCAUGAGAGCAAGUUUUGAUUAGGCUAGGGUUCAAGAGUCUUCACAUUUAUCUAUUUUAACUAUAACAUUUAAGCUUUUAUAGUUUAACUCAGGGACAAUACCAUUUCAAGUAUUUAUCAUCACACUUAUUCAAACUCAACAUCUUUAUUAAAAGGCAGACUCAACAUACCAAACAGUUUAACCUCAAAUUUGCAUUGGUUCAGAUGUCUUUACUCACAUCUUUAUUGACAGGUUUUAUGGAGACUAAUUGUUCUGCUUCAAAGGACAAAUAGAAAGUACUCAAUUUAUCACGUAGACUACAUUACUUCAAAGGACCCAGAAUUGAAUACAAAUAGAAUCGCAUGAAAUUCAAAGAAAACAUACAGUAGAACCUUGGGGGGAACAAAUAAGCAAUAGAACAGACACAUAUGUACCAUUGUUGGAGACUAAUUGUUCUACUCCAAAGGUCUUGCACUGGGAAAGUGGGCGGCGGCCGCAAGUGCAGGUUUUGGAGUGGACCUAGAAGAUGCUGAUUUUGCUGAAAUGUUGGAGAGCAUCGACUGACACUUCUCCUGCUGCUGUUUAAAUCUAUCUAACUUCUCUUGUAAUGCCAUCACUCCAGACCUUAACCUUCACAACUCUCAAAUCCCAGAGACACAAAAGAAAGAAAAAUCAAAGCUGAAAAUCAGAAAAGCUUGUCAAUAGAACUACCCAAAAUCGCUAAAUCUUAAGAAUAUUUCUUUACUUUUCCCAGCUUUUGAGAUUUUCUAUCCAACUUUAAUUUCGAGUUAAAACACUUCAAAUCGCUGAAUCUUAAGAAAAUAACCUUGGUAGUUGGUAAGGGAUUUCAACGAGCUUUCGGCUUCAAUUUCCGUUUAGAUGACUGUCCCUUUGAUAAAAGGUUGAGGAGAGAAUGAGAGUCCUGUUAAAUAAUAAGCGAAAACGCAGAAGAAGAGGGAGUAACGAGCGGGUAACAAAAAAAUAGGAUUUUAUCUGUUUGCGGCGUUUCCACUAAAAACGCCAGUAUAGCUUAACUUUUCACAUUUAAAUUUUUGUGGCCUUUUGUCUAAAAACGUCACUAUUGCUUAAUUUUAAUUUUUUUUUUAUUUUUAACAUUUUUUUCUAUUCUUUUUCUUUCAAAAUUUUUAACAUAUUUUUGUGGCGUUUUGUCUAAAAACGCCACUAUUGCUUAAUUUUAAUUUUUUUUAUUUUUAACAUAUUUUUUUCUAUUCUUUUUCUUUCAAAAUUUUUAACAUAUUUUUGUGGUGUUUUGUCUAAAAAGUCACUAUUGCUUAAUUUUAAUUUUUUUUAUUUUUAACAAAAAAUUAGGGAUUUUGAUUUUCCCUUUUUUGCUGUAGUGGUUUAAUGUGUAAUUGUAGACGUGAAAUUCUAAUUGUGGUUUAAAUGUAUAGUUGAAACUUUAAUUUUGAUUUAAUCAUACACAUUUAAAAAAAUAAAUACAUCAAUAUAUUUUUAUAUUGAAUAAAUAUAAAUAUUUAUGUAUCCAUGCAAUUUAUAAAUAUAAAAUGAUGUUAUAUCAAUAAUUGUGUAAAAAAACGAAAAAACGUGAAGACACAAAUAUAUAUUUUAAAAAGAAAAUGAGUUACAAUUAAAAAACAUGGAGACACAAAUGAGUGCAGAGAAUUUUCGUUCGUAUAAAUAAAUAUAUAUUUUAAUUAAUCAGUAUAGAUAAAUAUUAAAAUAGUAUAAACAAAAAACUAUUAAUAAAAUUUAAAGGUAAACUUAUCAUUUAAAACGUUUUCCACAAAUCCCUUCAAUCCAUUAAACAAUAUAACACUUAUUAAUAUAUAAAAAAUAUUUUUUUAUCAAAAUCAAGAUAUCUAUUAUCGAUAAUAAUAAUUAAUUAUAGGGUUUAGGAUUUAAUUAUUGAAUAUGAUUCACUUGAUUAACAUACUAUAUAUAUACCCAUGGCCAUUAAACCUUAAACCAUAAAACCCUAAAUCAUAGACCUUAAACCUUAAAUAUUAAACCGUAAACCAAAAAAUAAAUUUAAUCAAUAUUAAGUAUUGCUUCCAUUAUUUAUUAUGAACAUAAGCUUUUACAUUAAUAUAUAUGUAUAUACACAUCAACAUCCAUGUGAUGUUUUUAGGGGUUUAGGGUUUUAAAAGUUAUAAUUUAGGGUUUAGGGUUUUUAAGGUUUAGAGGUUUAGUGUUUUAGGGGUUAUAGAUUAGUGUUUAUGAUUUUUUUGGGGUUUAAAGGGUUAUAUGACUUUUAGCGGCGUUUUACCAAAAGCGCCGCUAGUGCUCCGACUUUUAGCGGCGUUUUACCAAAAGCGCUGCUAUUGCUCUGUUUUUAGCGGCGAUUUUAGUAAAAUGCCGCUAUUGCUCUGUGUUUUACAAUUUUUGCGGCGUUUUAUCAUAAAACGCCGCUAAAGCCCUAUUUUCCUAUAGUGAAGUUUAAAUUAAUUAUUAGACCUCUAAUGACACAGUUUUAUCAAUUUGGGUUUCAAAUGUGAUAAAAGCUAGCAUUGAAACUAAAACUAAAAUUGAUAAAAAAAACAUAAAAAUACUUUUAAACUAUUUAAGAACAAGCUUGUUAAAUAUACGCGAGAACCUAAUUUAACAUUUCAAACUACGAUAGAUCAUGCUUCGCCACCCUACAAUUAUAUACAAGGAUUGUCAUCGUUUUAUAGGGUGGGGGUAUACCUACUUUCUGGUCGAACCUCAAUGGGUCCUUGUCGAACUCCAACAUCCUGAGAGGCAACAACUUACAGAUCAGUUGCAAGAGAUGGAUGGGAUAUGGCAAGUGAGGAUUGGAAUAGGAUCAGGAAAUGCAAAGGUCUUCAAUGAAUAAGACAUUUUCUUUGAAUUAAUUCAUUUUAAGGGACGUUUGUUAGCGAAUGAGGAGAGAGCUUGAUGACAUGUGACAACUGACACUAGUUACUCAAGAUGUGAGCAGUUUGAGGCAACCAUACAAGUUUUGAGGGAUUUUUCUUUUGCUAAGAAUGUUUGGAAUAAUCUUGUUCCAAAUGAUCUUGGCAGGUUUUUGCAUAUUAAUUAUGGAUUAACUUGUUUGGAAUUUAAAGAAUAUUGGGCAGAUUGAUGUUGAAGGCGUAGACUGAUCGACUUUGUUUUCUAUUAUUUGUUGAUGUCUUUGGAAGUGUCGUAAUGCUUUUGUGUUUAAAGAUGCAAGUAACAGCAAUGGGGAAGUUGUAAUGUCUAGUCUAUCCUGGGCUAAAAGUUCAACUCACAUGGGGUCUUCUAAUAUUUUUGUUACAAUGAUCUCCAGAGCUGCAAAGCAAUGUUGACAUCCCAAGGAAGGUUGGGUUAAGCUUAAUUCGAAUGAGACAACCGACAUUAAUAUUGGUGUCACGACGAUUGAAGGGGUUCUAAGGGAUGUGAAUUCAAAUUGGAGUUUACCUCGUACCAUGCCUCAUGAUUUGUUGAAAAUGUGUCCGUGCUUUUAUUGCUGUCAAUUAUAAUUAUAGUAGUAAUUAUUAUUAUUUUUUCAGGUUGAAAAUCAAAUAUAUUUGUGGAAUACUUCUCUAUGAGCUCCUUAGAAUCGAAAAAAUCGUUCUUGCGAAUGCAUUUUCACUGCAGCUCAGUCAACAAAAGACAGGUUCUACUGUACCCUUAUAAAAUUUCUCUCUUUGUAAGAUCUAAAUGUUGGGUUUGAUGAUUAUGAAAUCAAGGCUGCUCAUUACCUAACUGAUUGGUUAUCUAAAUGUCUAUUGUAUCUAUAUAUAUAUUUUGUGUGUGUAAUGAUGUCUUGUUUGAUCAUACUUGUGUUGCUUUUCCUCCUGAACCUUGCAUCUUCAGAUAUCAAUCAGGGUCAGUUCAGUUUCAAAGGUUACUUGCAUCUUCAGUAGAUUCAAGUGGGUUCUUUAAACUAAUUUUACAACCCAUACAAAAGGUCACAUCUUCUACAAGAAUCCAAUCCAAUUCAAGAACUCCACGGAUGGUAGUGUUUUCUCUUUUUCCACCACUUUUAUUUUUGCAAUUGUACCGGAAUUCCCAACUUUGAGUUAAUGCAUUGAUUUUCUCAGCCAAUUUGAAGCAGUUAAUGGCACUAAUCUCAUCACAACCCACUAAAUUGCAAACUUUUGAUGGACUUGCAACUACUUCAAGUCAAGAACAACCAUCUAUAUUCACAGCUGCUAUACUUGUUGGUAGCUCAGGCAACGAUUUAAGCAUCUUGCAAUCUGACAAUUUAAGCAAUUUGAGCCUGGAAAGUUUGAGUAAGAGCCAAAGGAAUGGUGAUGAAAUUCUUACCAUUAAGAUCAAGACGUAUCAAAGAGGAUAUACCAGAAAUAUCACCAUGAAUAUCUGCUUCACUAAGAGUGCACAUGUUGCAAUUUGACAAUAUAAGAUAUUCAAGCUUGGAUAGUCGAGUAAGAAUGCAGGUAUGCUGAUGAAAUUGUUAUCACUAAGAUCAAGAUGCCUCAGAGGAUAGAUCAGAAAUAUAACUAUGAGUAUCUGCUUUACCAAGAGUGCACAUGUUGCAAUUUGAUAAUGCAAGCAAUUUAAGCUUUGAGAGUCGAGUAAGAGAUGCAGGUAUGCUUAUGAAAUUGUUACCACUAAGAUCGAGAUGACUCAAAGAGGAUAGAUCAGAAAUAUCACUAUGAUUAUCUGCUUCACCAAGAGUGCAUAUGUUGCAAUUUGACAAUAUAAGAUUUCCAAGCUUUUAGAGUCGAGUAAGAGAUGCAGGUAUGCUGAUGAAAUUGUUACCACUAAGAUCAGGAUGCCACAAAGAGGAUAGACCAGAAAUAUGACGUGGAAUAUCUCUGUUAAGCGCCUGGGCGUAGGAUCUAGUCACAGGUCUAGACAAGAAAGAAUUCUUGCUUCGACCUAUGGUUACUCAAAAGGCAGAUUCGUCAUUGACUGAACCCCCUUCCCCAAACUAACGUUUGUGAUGAAAAUAAACUUCUUGGUUUAUUUUAUAUUGGCAGCCUUUUUAUAGGCUGUUGAUUACAAAGGGAAAGUCCUAAUCUAAUUCCUAAUUUAAAGUCCAAAUAGAAUUUUUAAUUUAAAGUCCUAAUAGAAUUCUUAAUUUAAAGUUUAUAAAAAACCUAGUAAAAUUAAAACUCCUAAAGAAAUUAAAUAAAUGUAAAACUCUAAUUCCUAUUCCUUCUUUGAUAUUAUUUUCUAAUGAAAACAUCUAUAUCAUUACUUCCCUUCUCGGAGUUGAGCUUGUCCUCAAGCUCAAAUUCAGGAUAAGCUACUCGAAAACUAUCAAUUGGUUCCCAAAUGGCAUCUUUUUGGGGACAUCCUCCCCAUUGCACUAAUAGUUCCCGUUGACCUCAAUUAAGCCUGGUAUUAAUAAUAGCUUGUGGAGUAGGUAAGGCCUUGCCAUCAUAUACUAAGGGCAAGUCUCCUACCGCAUCUAGUUGAGGUCCUUUGUAUUCUUUGAGGAAAGAAACAUCGAAUACAUCAUGUAUUCUGCUACCUGUAGGUAAUUCAAGCUGAUAGGCCACUGUUCUUAUUUUGUUCAAGACCUUAAAAGGACCAAAAUAUUUUGGCAACAACUUGUGAUGUUUCUGUUUAGUUAUCGUCAAUUGUCGAUAUUGUUGAAGCCAUAACCAAACCCAAUCCUCGACUUUAAAAUUCAACUCUCUGUGCCCCAAAUCAUAAGUGUUUUUCAUUCGUUGCUGAGCUUGCAAGAGUCUAUCCCGAGAAUUUUGUAAAAGUGCAUCCCUAUCUUGUAGAGCUUUAUCCACAGCUUCAAUCCUUGUAGAACCAGCUGAAUAUGAGAGAAAUCGAGGUGGAUCCCUACCGUAUACUAAUUGGAAAGGGGUGGCUAGGGAAGUGUGAUAUGGGGUGUUGUAGCAAUACUUAGCUCAUGGAACCCAAUCGACCCACUAUCGUGGACUAUCAUUAGAGAGGCAUCGUAGGUACAAUUCUAUUGUUCGGUUAACUACCUCCAUCUGACCAUCAGAUUGGGGAUGGUAUGCUGAAGAAAAAGCGAGCUUAGAACCACUUUGACGAAAUAAUUCCUUCCAAAACAGGCUGAGGAAAACUUUAUCACGGUUAGAAACUAUGGAUUCUGGCAAGCCAUGAAGUCGGAAUACCUCUGCAAAGAAGACGGUAGCAACAGAUAUAGCAGUAAACUGAUGGGACAAGGGUAAAAAAUGAGCGUACUUCGAGAGUCCGUCCACAACCACUAUAAGUACCGAUUUCCCUUUUACUUUGGGUAGACCCUCUACGAAAUCCAUAGAGAUAUCAGCCCAAACGUGUUGUGGUAUUGGAAGAGGUUGAAGUAAACCUGCAGGUUGUAAAUUUUGCCAUUUGUGGCAUUGGCAUACUAAACAAUGUUGCACAAAUUCUAAGGUUUCAAGCUUCACUCCUUUCCAAAAAAAAUCUUGACGAAGAUGAUGCAAUGUUUUCAAUCCCCCUUCAUGUGCCAUAGCAUCUAUAGAGGAAAUAAUAGUGGGAAUAAUUGGUGAGGUAGGUAAAAGGUACAACCUCCAUUUGAAGAAAAUCAACCCAUCUUGUAAUACCCACUCGGACCCUAAUUUUCCUUGUAGAAUUUGUUGUUGGAGUUAUGAUAAUUCUGGGGAAGCUUCUAUUUCUUGUCUGAUGGCUUUAAGAAUUUCAACUCGAGGGAAUGAAACAUUCAUGAGGUGUGGUAAGUCUUCGUAUUUUCUAAUAAAGCAUUUGCAGCUCUAUUCAACUUCCCUGCUUUAUACUCCACUCGGAAAUCAAACCCCAUUAACUUGUUGAUCCAAUGCUGUUGUGGGGAUGUUGUAAGUCGUUGGUCUAACAAGUACUUAAGACUGAAGUGUUCAGUAUGGAUGAGGAAGUGCCUUCCCCAAAGAUAGGGCUGCCAAUGAGUCACUACCUUUGCCAAACCAAUUAAUUCAUGUUCGUAGGCCGCCAACUUAAGGUGUCGAUUUGCAAUCUUGCAACUGAAAAUGCAAUAGGGUGUCCCUUUUGUUGUAAUACGGUUCCAAAUCUGCUAUCUGAAGUAUCACAUUCUACCAUAAAUUCCUCCUCAAAGUUGGGUAAUUGAAAGACUAGGGCUACUGAAAGAAAUGUUUUUAAUUGGGUGAAAGCAACAUCAGCUUCCAUAGUCCAGUUGAAGCAUUUUUCUUUAGAAGAGAUGUUAAGGGUGUAGCCACUUGUCCAUAAUUUUUAAUGAAUUUUCUGUAAUAUCCUGCCAGCCCAAGAAAGCCUCGUAGACCCUUGGUAGUUUUAAGAGUCGGCCAAUAGGUGACAUCUUUAAUUCUAGUGUGAUCAACCUCAACUCCUUUACCAUGGAUGACAUGACCGAGGUAGGUUACCUGAGACUCUCCAAAGAAACACUUGGAUUUCUUUAAGAACAACAUGUUAUCCCUCAAGAGUUCAAAAACUAAUCUUACAUGAUGUAUAUGUUCAGUCCAUGUUUUGCUAUAAACUAAUAUGUCAUCAAAGAAGACUAAAACAAACUUACGCAAAUAAGGGCGAAAAAUGUCAUUCAUCAAACUCUGAAAUAUGGAAAGGGCAUUGGUAAACCCAAAUGGCAUAAUAAGAAAUUCAAAGUGUCCAUGGUGGGUUCGGAAGGCUGCCUUUUCCACAUCUAUAGUUGCCAUUCUAAUUUGAAAAUAUCCCGACCGUAAAUCCAAUUUUGUAAAAUAUUUUGCCCCAUGAAGUUCGUCCAACAAUUCAUCAACUACAGGAAUCGGAUAUUUUUCUUUAAUAGAGCAAGCAUUAAGCUCUCGAUAAUCAAUGCAAAAACGCCAUGACCCGUCAUGUUUCUUUACCAAGAGUACUGGAGAAGAGAAUGGUGAUCUACUGGGUCGAAUGAUUCCUUGUUGUAACAUUUGAUCACACUGCUUUUCAAUUUCAUCCUUUUGAAAAUGUGGAUAUCGAUAAGGCCUAACUACAAUAGGUCUCGUUCCUGGUUUAAGAGUUAUUCGAUGGUUACAUUUGCGGUUAGGAGGUAACCCAGACGGUUCUGGGUGCUGCCCUUACCAUAGUAUCUUCUUUUUGUUUACUACAAAUUGCAUAGUUAAGGAGCUGAAAUCCCAUAAUAUUGGACCAAGGGUACAUAACCAUUUAACCCCCCAAAUCAUAUCAAACCCUUCUAAUGGUAUUGUAUAAAAAUCGGCUUGAAAAUUGUCAUUGGCCACAACGAACUGUACUAAUUUACAAAUGCCUAUGCUAGGAACCCGUUCUCUAUUUGCCACAUAUACUUGCAACCCAGAUUUCUUUUGUUUUUUCAGUCCCAAUCUUGGCAUUAGACCUUCACGUAGAAAGUUAUGUGUACUGCCCGAAUCAACAAGAACUAACACUGUUUUUCUUGACACCUUUGCUGUUAGUUGCAUAGUAGAUGAAUUGCAAGUUCUUCCAAUGGCAUGUAAAGAAAUUUCAAGAUCAUCUACCUCAUCAUCUUGCUCAUAUUCAAUAUCUAGUACUUCUAUCCAAAAUAGCCUUUUACAUCUGUGUCCCAUAGAGUAAGACUCGUCACAAUUAUAACACAAUCCCUUAGCCCUUCUUUCUGUCAUUUCUGCUCGUGUCAAUCACUUGAUAAAUGGUGCAGAAGAACCUAUUUUGUUGUUAUUCCCCAUUGGUUUCGUUGUUUGUCCUCCUCCCUUUUCAAAGCUCUUAGUUGUUGGAAUAAUUCAAGUGCUACCAGCAUUUUGGGAAGCUGACCAGUUUAGAUUGGUUUGAGAUAACAUCUUGGAAGAGACUUUUUGUUUACGUUCCAAAGCUCGAGCUAUAUUCAUUGCAACUCCAAGGUUUUCUGGUUGUUGCAUUUCAAUAUCAAUUCUUAGUUCCUCUACUAAUCCAGCAGUAAAAAGGUUUACUUGUUGCCGAGGUUUAAGAUCAGUAGUCCUAGCAAGUAGUGAUUGAAAUUGGUAUUGAUAUUCUUCUACCGUCCCAGUUUGUCUCAGGUUUACAAGUUCCCUCAAGGGGUUAUUACUCAUAGGUGGUCCAGACCUGACAUGACAACACUCUCUGAAGCAUUCCCAAUCCAGAUUUGCCUCCUCUUCUUCGAUUUGAUCAAACCACAUUUGUGCCUCUCCUAAAAGAUGGAAUGAAGCUAGGCCAACUUUGUCUUCUUCGUUGGUCCGUUGAUUGCCAAAAAAAAUUUCGCAUCUUUUUAACCAUCCUAAAAGAUCUCCAACACCACCAUAAGUGGGAAAUUCCAUCUUAGAGUAUCAUGGCACCAUGCCCCAAUCGUGUUGCGAAUCUGAAUUUCUUUUCUUGCCUCCACUGCUGCCCUAUUCUUUAUUAUUCUUUUCUGAAUCCCCUUUCGUUGUCUUUUGGACCGAAAGAGAAAACAUCGCCAUCUGCUCCUUUAAUGCUUGUUGCGUUGUAGCCAUUUGUUCCAUGAAUGCCUCCAGCUUGGCUGUCAAAGUUUUUUCAUCACCCAUGACAGCUGACUCUGAUACCAAGUUGUUAAGCGCUUUGGCAUAGGAUCUAGUCACAGGUCUAGACGAGAAAGAAUUCUUGCUUCGACCUCUGGUUACUCAAAAGGCAAAUUCGUCCUUGACUGAACCCCAUUCCCCAAACUAACGUUUGUGAUGAAAAUAAACUGCUUGCUUUAUUUUAUAUUGGCAGCCUUUUUAUAGGUUGUUAAUUACAAAGGGAAAGUCCUAAUCUAAUUCCUAAUUUAAAGUCCAAAUAGAAUUCUUAAUUUAAAGUCCUAAUAGAAUUCUUAACUUAAAGUUUAUAAAAAACCUAGUAAAGUUAAAACUCCAAAAGAAAUUAAAUAAAUGUAAAACUCUAAUUCCUAUUCCUUCUCUGAUAUUGUUUUCCAAUGAAAACAUCUAUAUCAAUCUCAUUCACAAAGAUUGUAGUCCCUUAGUUUUAGCUCUCUUAAAGAACUCAAACCUGACAACAAAGGCAACAUCCGAGCCAUGGGAUUUGUCCUCCCUUGGAUUACCCUGAAAAGAGAAGGCAAAUUUGGUAGUAACUUAUAUGAUGGUCCCUUGUGCCCAUUGAAAGAAAGAACUUUAAGAUUUUUAAAUUGAAAAAUGAAGGAUGGUGGUUCUGUUAUAGUUGUUUCACUCAAGUUGAGCUCUUCCAAAAUCUUUGUUUGCUGCAAAUUCUCCGAUAAAUUUUUCACUCUAUAACAACCGAAAAGAUCAAGAGUUUUUAGACGUUCCAUUUUCCCAUCAGUCUCCGGAAACCUUACAAGACUUGAGCAACCCGAAAAAAUUAAUGUUUCACGAGAUUCCAUUCCAAUUUUGGUUGAAAGACUCUUGAGACUUUUGUAAUCUCUUAAAUUCAAAAAUUUAAGGUUACUAAGCACUCUAAUUGAUGGAUGAAGAUCCAAUAAUUUAGUACAACCUUUUAAAAAUCAGAACUUCAAGAUUUGAUGCUUGUGUGUAGUCUAGGGAAUUGAUCCGGUUUUGGACCCAUUAUUAUUUUUAUUUUUUGAAAUAUGAAUGGCUGGAUUAUAUUAAUAAAACAAAUUCCAAAUCAUUUAGAGCCCAGACAAAACAGAAAAUAAAAGAAAGCACAGACAAAGCAGAAACAAAAAGACACCCGACAAUGCAACAAACAAACAUUAAAUAAAAGCAGGAUAAUCCAAACACCCAGGCAGACUUUCCUUUUCCCUAAACAUCUGAGAAAGCGAAACCCUUCAGAUGCCUUCUUUGUUUCGUUGAUAACCAUCAAAAUGUCUGCUCUAGAUCUUUCCGAUGCAACUGGAAGAAACCCUUCAGGUCUGGCUAAACUCUGCAUUUCAUCACUUCAAAACACCAAUCUUCCGUCAAAACUGAGAAACCCAGUAGUCAAUCUAUUCUCCGGUCUGUUUGCCCCCAGUAAAAUCCCAUUUUAUCUUCUUUCUAAGGAGUGGACCUUCGACCUGCUGGACAAAGUGAGCCCAACUGUUGACGGUCCUCUUCCGCUGCCACUUUCGCGUAUGAAGGAACCGCACCAACAAGAUAAGUUUCUUCAUCUCUCUUUAAUCCCACUGUAGCCAAUAGAUGUGCAACUCCGUUUGCUUGUUUUGGCACAUGUUUAAAGAAACAGAUUUGAUACCCCUCACAGAUUGUUCUAAUAUUUGAGAUAUAGGCUCCUAUCACUGACCUUUCAAAUCCCUUUGUUUGCAGCUUCCGAAUCACAGAUAAUGAGUCUCCUUCGAUCUCCACCCUCGAGAAUCCCACAUGCAAUCCCAUCUCAGCCGCAUUUGAGGUUCAUUAUUUUUAACUUAUACAAGGGCUGUUGAAGACCAUCAUAAAUUAGAAACAAAUGAGAAAACAUAAUAAACUUAAAUAAGGCUAUUGUGAAAGAUGAUCCAAUUAAGACGAACCUUGAAAGAGUUCACUAAUCAUAUCACGUCAACCGUUUAAUCAGGCAUUUUGCAUUAAAAAAAAUCUAUAAUUUGACUCAAAAUAAAAUCUUAUAAAUGCUAAGAACAUUUUUUUGUCAUUAUACCUUAAAUUACUAUUUAAAUUUAUAUUUUGAAAACAAAAAAUUCAAAAAAACCCCAUUAAAAUAGUAUAAUUUACAUUACAUUACAAGUAAAAAAUAACAGAUUAUAUAAUAACAUAAUCUAUUUUUUGAAAUCGUAAUUUUCUAAAUUCAUCCAGACCUAUAAAUGCGAAGUGUUGACUUCUAUUUCAACUUGACUUUUGUGGAUUGCUUACUUGCAUUAUCCUUUGAGCCAUGCUUCUAUCGGUCUACGGGGCAAACAUAAAACACCGAGAUUAUUGUUUUUGCAUUGACAUCAUUUAUAUCACUGGUAUAUUAACUUAUCUCAAAUUGAGAAAGUUUUGUUGAUAUUACAGAAAACACAACCACUAACAAGAAUAGAAAAAAGAAAUUAGACAAGAACAAAAACUAAAUCUAUUGAAUUUAAAAAAAAUAGAUUGAUUAAGUCUCACACACGAAAAAGAUUUUUCAAUUAAUUAAAAGAGCAUACUUUAUUUUCAUAUUUGAAUAAGUGUUAAAAAUAAAUGUUUAAACAUAAAUACUUUAUAAACAAUAUAAACUAAAGAGUUGGAAUACUAUUAUUUGUACUUCAAGCCAUGAAAUUUAAACGGUAGGAAUUAAACCUAUUUAAGUACUAUUAAGGACUUAUAUUUAAUUUUCUAAAUAAAUAAAAAUAAUUUUGACUGAUUAAAUUGAACACAUAAAUUAGAUUUACUUCAGUAUUAAGUAUUAAGUUGAUUAGAUUUACUUCAACCUACAAUAAAAUAUAGAUGUAAGUGAAUAUAUAUAUAUAAUAAAAUUAAAAUUAAAAAAAAAGAAAUGAAUUGAGUGACUAAAAUUUAUAAAAAAGUAAUGAAUUCACUAUUCAUGUCAUGUCAACACUAUUAACAGUUCAAUAAGCAUUUUGCAUUAAAAAAUCUAUAAUUUGACUCAAAAUAAAAUAUUAAGAGCUAAAUUGCUUUAAAAAAAAUAAGGGUUAAAUUGUCAAAUUUUAUAAACACUAAGAACUUUUUUGUCAUUAUGCCUAAUUUAAAAGGUUUUAUUUACAUUACAAUUAAAUUACUAUUUGAAUUUACAUUAUACAGGCAACAAAUUCAAAAAGUUGAUUUAAAAUACUAUAAUUUACAUGUAAAAAAACAACUAAUUAUGUAAUAACAUAAUCUAUUUCUCUAAAUUCAUCCGACCCUAUACUUGCUAAAGUGUCCACUUUCAUUUCAACUUGAAGACUUUUGUUGGUCCCUCACUUGCAUCAUCCUUUUAGCAAACUUUCAUAUUUCUACUAGCCUAGGGGACAAACAUAAAACACCAAGGUUAUUUUUGUUGCAUUGAAAUCAUCUAUAUCACUGGGGAGAAGGGAUUUUAUAGAACUGUGAUUCCAUGUCAUCCUUAUUACCUUCUAAUAGGAGAAUAACAAAAUAGAUUUUUCCUCUUGAUUUUCAGCUUUUUUUUCCUGAAAAAUUCAAAUUCAACUAAAACUAUUAAAAUUUUGAUUUGUCAUUCUCCAAUUGCAAAGGUAAAAAGAUAACGUGAAAUCACAGUUUCAUAUAAUCGUUUCUCUAUCACUGGUAUAUUAACUUACCUCAAAUCAAGAAAAUUUUAUUAAUAUCACAAAAAACACAACAGUUGAAAAUCUUGCUCAUGUCAAUAAAAAAUCAUAUCUUUAUUUCCCUAAACCCUAAUAUUAGACAAGAACAAAAAAUAAAUUUAUUGAAUUUUAAAAUAUAUAUAUAUUGGAUAUGAAUGUCUCUUACACGAAAAAGAUUUUCUAGCGUACUUUAUAUUCAUAUUUGAGUAAGUCUUAAAAAUAAAUCUCUAAACAUAAAUACUUUACAAAAAAAAAACAUAAACUUAAGAGUUGGAAUAAUAUUAUUUGUACUACAAACCAUGAAAUUUCAAUGAUACUUUUAUUAGGAGUAAUUAAACCUAUUUAAGUACUAGAAAGGACUUAUUUUUAAUCUUCAAAACAUAUAAAAACAAUUUUGACUGAUUAAAUUGAAGAGAUAAGUCGGUCUCAAAUAAAAAUGAAAUAGUUUUUAACUCGGUCCAAAUUAUGAUCUAAUAUUUAUUAAAGGAUUUCACCUUAUUGUUACCUGCUUUGUCACGGAAACUAUCCAUUUUUCUUUACAUUUUUAUCUCAAAUUGAUUAUAUUUAUUUCAACCUCCAAAUAAAAUAUAAAUGUAAGUGUAUAUAUAAUGAAAAUAAAAUUUUAAUAAAAAUGAAACCAAUCAAAAUUUACACAUUUCAGUUAUGUAAAAAGGAAUGAAUUAAGUGACCAAAAUUUUAAAUGAUAUAUAUAUAAACUAUCUUAUCAACAUUUAUGAUAUGUACAGAAUAUGACCUCCUGUUCAAUAUGAGUAAAAAAUUUAAAAUUUUUUGGUUUAUAAGAAGGGUUAUAAAUAAGUUUAGAAUGAUUACAUUAAAUAAAAGAUGUGUAAAAUAAAAAUUAAUAGGACAAGAUUGAUUAAGUAGUUUACCACAGUUAAUGCUUCUUCCCUGAUUGGCCCAUUAUAAAAUUGAAAAAUUUUUGCAUCAGUUUUGGUUGCAGCCCUUCUUCCUCUGCUUCCUCGGAGAUAUUACGUUUUUGUUGGUGGAUGUGUUCAAAAUUUGGUGAAGAUAGAGUGGAUGUGUUCAAAAUUUGGUGAAGAUAUUACCUUAAGGCUAUGACCAUUGAAAAACACAUGAAGCCCAUCACGUUUAUGAUUUAAGCAAUCUGUUGUCCUUAUAUUAUUGGUUUCACAGCCACCAUAUUUAUCCUCCAAGGAAAAUGGAUAUAAUUUAUCACGCGACCAAUAACGAAGAAAAAUGUGAUCUUUCAUUAUGGGCUUGUUGAAUCGUUUACCCACCAACCAGCCUCUCCUCUCAAUCUGUCGAGGAUUUCUACCAUACAUUAACGCUCCACAGUCGAUAAAGCCCACAUCCCUUGAAGCAUCAUUAUUGACAAAAAUGCAGCAGCAAGCAACUCCAAUCCAUUCACUAUCUUCUUGAAGGUUGAUAGGUAAGAGAAUCUUAAUAAAGAAGACACUUUUUUGUUGGCUAAACCAUUCUGGGAUUUCACUUCCUGGCAUGAUAAUAUCAAACAUUUUUCUUGAAUUUGCAAAUGCCUGCAAAAUAAAACACAAGUCGUUUGGUAACUAAAACCACAAGUUCUCAAGUGUAAGAUUUUGUAAGGGAGAAAAAGAGAGAUUAAUUGACCUUAAGAUGUUUUCUCAGCAGUGUUAAUGCAUUGAUAUUCUCAGCCAAUUUGAAGCAGUUAAAGGCUUUAAUAGCAGCCGAGUCCACUAAAUUGCAUACUUUUGAUGGACUUGCAACUACUUCCAAGUGAAGAACAACCCUCUAGCCACACAUCUUCUAUACUUGUUGGUAGCUCAGGCAACGAGUUAAGCGUCAUGCAAUUUGAUAAUGCAAGCAAUUUAAGCCUGGAAAGUUGAGUCAGAGCCAAAGGAAUGGUGAUGAAAUUGUUACCCCCAACAAAAAGAUAUCUCAAACAGGAUAGACAAGAAAUAUAACUAUGAAUAUCUGCUUCACCAAGAGUGCACAUGUUGCAAUUUGACAAUUUGAGAGAAUCAAGCUUUGAAAGUCCAGUAAGAGAUGCAGGUAUGUUGAUGAAAUUGUUACCACUAAGAUCAAGGAAUUCCAAAGAGGAUAAACCAGAAAUAUCAUCAGGAAUAUCUCCUUCACAAAGAUUGCAGUCCCUUAGCUUCAAUUCUCUUAAAGAACUCAAACUUGACAGCAAAGGCAACAUCCGAGGCAUAGAAUUUGUCCUUUCUUUCUGGAUUACCUUUAAAAGAGAAGCCUAAUUUAUUCGUAACUUAGAUGAUGGUCCUUUGCACCCAUUGUAAGACAGAAUUUUAAGAUUUUUCAAUUGAAAAAUGAAGGAUGGUGGCUCUGUUAUGGCUGUUCCACUCAAGUCAAGCUCUUCCAAAAACUCUACUUGCUGCAAAUUCUCUGGCAAAUUUUCAACUCUAGAACAACCACAAAGAUCAAGUGUUUUUAGACAUUCCAUUUUCCCGUCAAUCUCCGGAAACCUAACAAGAUUUGAGCAACCCGAAAGAAUUAAUGUUUCAAGAGAUUCCAUUCUAAUUUUAAUCGGAAAACUCUUGAGACUUGUGCAGCCUCUUAAAUUCAAAAGUUUAAGGCUCUUAAGCACUCCGGUUGAUGGAUGGACAUCUAUUAAUCUGGUACAACAACCUUCCAUUAUCAAAACUUUAAGUUUUUGUGCUGUUGUGAAGUCUGGUGUCCUGAUCAGGUUUCGGGACCCUUUGAGGUUGAUCAUUUUCAACUUAUACAAAGGCUGUUGAAGACAACAAUAAAUUACAGAGAAAUUAGAAAAUAUAAUAACGCUCAUUUUUGUAUUUUUUUACCUUAAUCAAAGUUUAAUCAUUUAUAUUAAAAUAAGUUAAAACACAAGGAUAAGAUGAGUUAAUUCUUACUAUGUUUCCUUUACAUAGUUGCUCAAUGUGACUAUAUGUUAAAAGAAGUGUGACAAGGUUGUCCGGUUGGAAGCUUGAAGACAAGUAUCUUAAAGGAUAUCCUGUCCAAUCUAAAAGUCGUAGUUCAUUAGAAAGAUAUUUGAGAUUGUCACAAUUUGAUUGGCAAAGCACUUUGAGCAAUCUCAAUUUUUUCAUCUUCGAGAAGAUAUCCACACUCAAAUUGAGCAUCUUGCUCGAUUCCCUAAUAACCAUGAGCAAAAUAAAAAUAAACUUCAAAAUAUACAAAAACAUUCGAUAUCUAAAAGCUAUGUUGCAUCAAUAUUGUUUUUUUAAGUACAUGUACCCCAUACUUAAAUCUAAUAUAUAUCCGAAUAGAGUAUUGAGAUAGGAUUGAACAUAUUAAACAAUACUCUAUCUAACACUUACAUUCAUCUUUUAAUUACCUAAACCUAAAAAAAUUAGAACUAAUAUUUUAAUUUAUGUUUGGUGCAAUAAUAUGUAAUUCUAUACAUUAUUGGUGAACCAAAUGAUCGCAUAACUUGGAUUUAUUUUUGAAAACUUUUAAUGACAUGAUAUAACCUAGUUGAUUGAUAUAUUGUCAUUACAUAAAAUAUAAACCAUCAAUAUUAGUAAACACAAUGACAUACAUCUCUUUAUAAUUUCCUGUGAAAGAGUAUUGUGUUUCUAUAUAAAAUAUAAUAAAUAUAUCAUCAAAACAUUAAGUAUUAAGAUUGUGCUUGGUUAGGUGAAAAGUGGAGGAAUAUGAGGAUGAAAUGGAAAAGUAAUAGUGUCAAGAGAAAUAUAUUUUCCAUUCAAUUUCCAUCUUUUCUACCAAACACAUCUAUGGCAAAAAAAUUUAUGUUUUCCAUCCUUUCAGUUUUUUUAUCCUAAUUUCUUUCCACUCUACCAAGAAAAGCCAAAAAAGGUUUUGUCAUUUUUAUUGGAUAUUUUUCAAAAAAUAAUAAAAAUAUUAAUAGUACAUAUUGAUAAAUUUAUGUAUGUAUUCUUACCUUUUAUUGUCGAUGAUCAUGCCUUCAAUCACUUUGGUUGCCUAAAAAGAAUCAAGAAUAGACAAUAAGAAGACAAAAUAAAUGGUCUAAAUUGUACAAAAAAAACUUUUGAAAAAUUACAUACGUGCUCAACAUUAUCACAAUCUUUUGGUCAAAAUAUAGUAAAUAAAAUAUUUUAAACAAAGUAAAACAUUUACUAAUGAGAGUAAUUCAAUAAAAUUAGACACUUGUAUUACAAAUCCUUAUUAAUAUUUAUAAUCAACAAAUGAAAAUUAUCUUAAAGUUACUCAAUGUUACUUAAGGGUUGAUACGUAAAUCGAUUAGAUUAAGCUUUGGAUUUACAUCAUAUAUUGAUAGAAAUAAAAUUUUGUAUGUAAUUUUUGUUGAAUGAUUUACCGUGUUUUUUACUAGAACAUGAUGGACAUCGCUUUCCUUCCACAAUCUACAACGUUUUCCAGGUUUAUCAACACAUUUUUCUUCAACAAUUUUUCUUCCCAUUUCUUGCAAUAAGGCAUGCAUCCUCAAAUAUUGGUUGUCAUCGCUGACUUUUAUAAGAGAUUUCUUAAUGAGAACAUCGAUUCCAAUAUUCGAAAAAAACUCACAACCAUCUAAUACUUUCAUUACCAAAUCUUUCUUCUCCCCGUUGAAAAAGCAUACUAUAUCUAGAAAUAUAUUCUUUUCCCUUUCUUCCAGUCCAUCAAAGUUGAUUCUUAGUGUGUCAAGAAUUUCUUUGUUAGAAUCUUGUUUAAGUCUUUCAAUUGCACUUCUCCAUUGAGCUAAAUCUCUACCGUACAAAAAAGAACCCAAGAUUUCAAGAGCUAAGGGGAGACCACCAGCGUAACGUACAACAUGUUUAGAGAGCUCAAUAAAAUCAUCUUUUAGUACUGUAUCACUAUCAAAAGCUUUCAAAUUGAAAAGCCUAUGUGCAUCGUUUGGAUUCAAUGUUGUAGGUUUAUACACAUCAUCGAUUCGAUAAGAUCGGAGCAAUUAUUCAUCUCUUGUUGUUACAAUGAUCCUACUCCCUAAAUUGAACCAAUUACGUCUUCCAACCAAGCAUUUCAAGUGUUGUACGCUAUCAACAUCAUCAAGAACAACAAGAACUUUUUUGCUAGACAAUCUACAGCUAAUUUUGGCAUUCCCUUCAUGAACAUUGAAAAAGUUGAGGCAUUCAUCUGGCAUGAUUUGAGAAAGAAGUUGUUUCUGUAAAGAAACAAGUCCAUGUUUGUUUGAAACUUCUCGAAUAUCAGCAAAAAAACAUUUACCUUCAAAAUGAGAUGAUAUUUGACUGCAAACAACCUUUGCAGGAGUUGUUUUACCGAUGCCACCUAUUCCGCAAAUUCCAAUGAUGCGGACAUCGUCUUCCCCAAUGUUUAUUUUCGAAUACAACUCCUCCAAACGUAAACUAAUUCCAAUACUCACCAUGAUCAUGAUCAAUUGGAUAUAUCUGAUCUAAUUUUGCUAAUAUCUUCUUAUCAAUGUCUCUGAUAAACUCUGGUUCAUGCCUACAAUGAAAUAAAAAAUCGUUGCUAUCUUUCAAAUGAUCUUUUUCAUUUUUAAUUCAACGAAUCAAGAAAUAUAAUAUAGCUGGAAGCAAACAAAAAGCAAGAAUAAGACAGUAAGAUAUAUUAUAACAUCAAAAUACAGAAGUUGCUCGUUAGAAUUCUUAGUUAAACACGAAAUCAUAAAAAAAUAACAUGCAAUAAAAUAAAAAACAAUCUUUUAGUCAUUAAAACUAGGAAAUAUGGAAGAAAAGAAAGAAAUACCUAUUAUUUAAAUGCCAUCCCGAGAUGUUAGCCACUUCAGUCGAAGCAUUUCGCCACUUUUGGAUCUUGUCUUUAUCUUUCUUGUAUCUUUCUUCGUGUUUGGCGAAGGCUUCUUCAACUUUUCCCUUCUUUUUUCUUAAAUCGGAUGGAUCCACGUCAUAGAAAAUUGGAAAUACUUCAUGACCCUUGUCAUUUUUCUGUUUAACAAUCUCCGCAAGCUCCUCCAAGCACCAACCUGAAAAGGCAUAGGUCUCCGAAAAAACGAUUACCGAGCACCAUGAUUGCUGAAUUGCUUUGAAGAGUUCCGGUGCGAUCUCUUCACCGGCCUCCAACUUUGGAUCGUCUCUAAAAGUGACAAUCCCACUUCUAUUUAGAGCAUCGUAGAGAUGAUCCGUAAAGUUCUUGCGGGUAUCUUCACCUCUAAAACUCAAGAAAACAUCGUAUUUCUUUCUAGAAAUGGAUGAGGAAGUCGAAAGUAACGACAACAUGAGGAUAUAUGAAAAGAAAAAUAUAUCUCAAUCUGGUUUUGAAAUUCAGAAAAAUAUAGAUGGGCCAAUGCACCAGAAAGAAACUAGAAACAUUAAGUAUAUGAGAAUGAAAAAGGAGAAAAACAGAUGAAGUUUCGAGGGAAAAACAAAGGAUUUUUGUAAGAAAUUUCUGUUUUACUUUUCGAAAUGAAUCUACCAUGAAAGGGAGUCGGUGUGGAAAUUCGGGGUUAUAGCUGUUGUUUCCGGGAAGAUUCCAUGAAGGUGAGAGUUGACAAAACGGAGCCUUCAAUGGGUUGGAUGGUUUGUGUUUUACUUUUUUUAUUUUUACAUUAUCAUAUCCACCUUAUAGUCAGCAGCUUCUAAUAUAAGAUAUGUGAUUUUAGAGAACUUUAAUAUUUAAUUAAUUUUUUUAAAUAUUACACUCUUAAUUAUAGUAAUUAUUAUAAGAUUUUUUAUUUAAAUUAUUGAAUAUAAGUAAAGAAUCUUAAUUUAAUAAUUUAAAUAUUAUAAUAAAUAUAUAUUGAAUCGAAUUGGAAAGCGCAUGUUCCAUUAAUGAAUUAUGCUCGGUUGUUACUUCAGAAUGGCUGAUAAAUAGGGGGCAUAGACUGUGGUCUUUACAGAAUUUAUUUGGGGAUAUCAACUGUGGUACUAGGCAGAUGGCUCAAUUUCAGGUUGCAGUUACUCAUCGACAAAGUAAUGGUACGGAAGAUGCUGUAUAUUGAGAUCUUCUUUUUUUAAUUUCUCAUGGUGAAUUGGAUAGAUGUUUUCUUGUACUUGUUGUGUACUGGUUUUUGUAUCUAGAUGUCAGUUGUGAUAUUGUUGUACUCAUGUUGCUCUUGAAAGAGUUGGUGGUUCCAACGUCUUUCUUGAAGUAUUUCUUCGAUUGAGCAAAAAAAAAAAUUUUUUUUAAAAGAUUAUAAUAGAUAUUUUUAAAAAUGAUAAUUAAAAUAUUUUUAACAUAUUUAACAUACAAUAUAAUUUUCCUUUAUAUAACUAAUGUAAAAUAAUAUUAUUUUUAAAUAUAAAUUUAGUAAUAUGAAACAAUAAAAAAUAUUUUCAGUCAGUUAAAAAUCAUCAACUUAAAUAUAAAUUUAGUAAUAUGUGGAUGUACUUGUUAUGAGCACGAGGAAGGAGAAAAACACACGAAACAACAAUCAACUUUUAUAAGAAAUUUGUGUAUACUUUCCCACCUUUUACUUUUCCAAAUGAAUCUAAGUUGACGAUAAUACCUAUUAAAGGGUGUAGGUGUGGAAAUUCCGGGCUAUAGAUGUUUCCUGGAAGACUACAAGACGGUGAGAGUUGGCAAAAUGUAGCCUUUUAUAGACCAAAUUGGGUUGGGUUUAGUCUGAGCCCAAUUAAAAUUUUAGACCCGUUUAUUAAAUUUAGGCUCAGUUUCAUCUAAAAAAUAAAUUUAAAUUUUUUCAUUCUCAAUUCAGAUAAAAAUAAUAAAAUUCGAGCUUGGCUUGUCUAUAUUAGAUUUUUAUAUUAUUUUUACAUGAAUUUUUUAAAAAUAAUAUAAUACAUUAAAAAUACUAAAAAUAUUAAAAUAAAUAUUUUCUAACAAAAUAAAAAUAAAUUAAAAAAUAUGUAUACUUAAAUAUUAAAUAUUAAUGUUAUUUAAGAACGAAAAAAAAAUUUAUUUGAACAAAGAACACUGUUAUUUAAGUUACAAAUAUGUAUUAUAUUAAUCUUAUCCUAAUAACGGUGUUAUAAUAGCAUGCUAUUGUAACGUUUUUAAGUAACAAAUACAAACAAUAUUUUUUUGUUUUUUAACCUUGUGAAGUUCUUAAUAACACUGCUAUUUAUUUAAUAACAUGCUAUAAUAAUAAUGUAAUAAUAUAUUAAUCCUAUUUGAAUCGGAUUUAAUAUAUUAGUAACACUAAAUUUUAAAAUAUAUAUAUGUUUAAAUAACCGUGUUAUUGUAACACUAAGAUAAGUACAACUUAACAAGUAAAUAACUUUAAAGUAGCAACAAAAUUAACAAUAAAAUAAGAGUUAUACAAUAUUCAAACAAUAAAAUAAGAGUUAUAUAAUAUUCAACCAAUAACAACAUAAUAGUAAAAUGGUAGCAAAAUAGUGAGAAAACAACUAAAAAAUAGCAACAAACCAGUAAAAAAUAAUAUUUUUUUCCAAAUUCUGGUCGGGCCGAGCUUAGGCCAAAAAAGCCUUACCUGAGGCCCGACCAAUUUUUUAAACGAGCAUUAUCUUUUUGUCCAAACCCAAUUUUCGGGUCUAUAUUUUUGUCCAAACUCUUCCACUUUUCGGGCAGACCUUUGGGUUGAGACGAGUAGUCCAACCCAUGGACAGGCCUAUCUACAAUUAUUAUUAAGUAAUAAGUAAAGUGUUGGAUGGUUUGUAUUUUACUUUUUUUUUUUUUUUGCAUUAUCAUAUCUACUUUAUGAUUACUAGCUUCUAAUGUCACAUAAGUUGGUCACAAAUGAAAAUGAAAUAGUUUUAACUCAGCCAAAAUUAUGACCUAAUUCUCAUUAAAGGAUUUCGUCUUAUUAUUACAUACUUCGUCACAAAAGUUAUCCAUUUUUUCCACAUUUUUGUCUCAAGUUGAUUAUAUUUACUUCAACCUUCAAAUUGUUAUCAAAAUGUAAAAAGGAAUGAAUUAAGUGACUAAAAUUUUAAAUGGUAUAACAAAAAAACUAUAUUAUCAACAUUUGAGAUAAGUAUAGAAUAUGAGCUCAUGUUCAAUAUGGAUACAAAUAAAAAUUUUAAUUUUUUUUUUGGUAGAUAAGAAGAUUAUGUCUCAUAGGCAAAUUGUUAAAGAUGACCAGCAACGCAACAACAAGGAUGUUUUGGUGCUUAAUCAUGCAGCUGUUUUUUUUUUUCAAACUAGUUUAGUUUAUUUGUAAUCAAUCUUGUUGGUGUAGAAAGACUAGUUAGUUUAUUUGUUUAUGUUUAGGUGAUGAUUUAGCUUAUAAGUCAACUUGUUUAUGUGUUCAAGUUAUGUUUUGUGAGUUUCAAUGUCAUUGGUGGGAGUUGUUAUGUAUUAGGCAAUUGUUUGUAACAAAAGUGAACAAUUGCCUUAAUGAAAAUCAUAUUAGCUACGAGUUUUUGCUAAUCAUCUUUCAUUCUUCUUCAAUUUUCUUUUCUUCUAUAUUUUUCUAUUUUGGUAGCAAAAACUCGACAAAUGUUAUCAAGAGUCUGUCAUCUUUGAGGGCCUUUGUUCUUUGAUGUUUGUUCCUUAUUGUUUGUUUGGAAAGAAAGAAACAUUCAUUGUUGUUUGUUUGAAAAGAAAGAAACAUAAGUUGUUUUUGUUACUAUAAAAAAAUUGAGUUUUUCACCUCUACCACCACCUAUUUUUGCAAGUGAAAACUACCACAUAUGGGUAGUGAAAAUGAAAACUUAUUUACAGGCUCAUGAUUUGUGGAGUGUGGUUGAGGCUGAUGCAGAAUCACCUCCAUUGAGAGCUAAUCCUACCAUAGCUUAAAUUAGACAAUAUAGUGAUGACUGUGCUAAGAAAUACAAGGCAAUGUCCUGCCUACAAAAUGGAGUAUCAGAUGUGAUCUUCACCAGAAUAUGACAUGUGACUUUCCAAAGCAGGCUUGAGAAAAGCUAAAGGAAGAGUUUUAGGGGUUUGAUAAAACAAGGCAACACUAGUUGAUAAAUUUGAUGAGAGACUUUGAAAAUUUAAAGAUGAAAGAGUCAUAAUCGAUCAAGCAAUAUUCUGAUAGGAUAAUGGCCACAGUCAACAAUAUCAGAUUGCUUGGAGAUGACUUCAGUGAUAGAAGAAUUGUUCAGAAAGUUAUCACAACUCUUCCAGAAAAGUAUGAGUCAAAGAUCUCUUCAUUGGAGGACUCGAGAGAUUUAUCAAUUAUCUCAUUGUCAAAGUUAAUAAAUUCUCUUUAUGUAUAAGAGUAAAGAAGGGCUAACAGAUUGGAGCUUUUCAGGCCGGAAGCAAGGAUGGCUCAACAUCAAAUUGUAAGGGAAAGAAACCUUAGUCAGAAAAGAAAGAGAAGCUAAAGAGAGAAGGUGGAAAGAAAAUGUUCCCACCAUGCACUCACUACAAGAAGUCCACACAUUUAGAAAGAUAUUAUUGGUAUAGGCCUGACAUCUAGUGUAAAAGUUGCAACCAACUAGGCCAUAUGGAGUAAGUUUGUAAAAAUAAGGAAAACCCAUAAUAAUAGCAGUAGAAUCAAGUUCAAGCUUAAGCUACUGAUGACAACCAAGUUCAAGAUGAUCAUGUUUUCACUACAUCCUAUUUUGCAACCUCCAGUAGGGUAAAAAAGGAUUGGCUAAUUGAUAGUGGCUGCAUACAUCAUAUGACAUUAGAUGAAAGAAUAUUCAAGGAGUUAAACAUCAGUUUUGUUUCAAAAGUUAGAAUUUGGAAUAGAAAUUUCAUUAAAGUCGAAGAGAGAGGAGAGGUCGUGGUCAACACUCACUAAGGUAUCAAAACAAUCUCAGAUGUCCUUUUUGAACCUGAAAUUGAUAAAAAUUUAUUUAGUAUUGGUCAGCUUAUAGUGAAAGGUUAUUCUCUCAUUUUCAAAAAUAAAGUCUAUGUAAGGUUAUUCUCUCAUUUUCAAAAAUAAAGUCUAUGUGAUUGUGGACUCAUUUGGUUAGGAGCUAGUAACAGUGGACAUGGUUGAUAGAUGUUUUAUUCUAGAUGUAAAUUAGUUAACAACGAAAGUUUAUGCUAGUCUAAUUGAUGAAUCAUGUUUAUGGCACAAAAUAUUAGGGCAUGUUAAUUACAGAUCACUUAGUUUGUUGCACAAGUUGGAUCUAGUUGAAAAUAUGUCUAAGGUUGAUGUUAAAGAUGAAGUUUGUGAGGUCUAGAGCUUGGGAAGCAAGCCAGAUUUAUCAUUUUUAGUCAACACAACUUGGAGAGCUCAUAAUAAGCUUCAACUGGUCCAUAAUGUGGACCCAUGAAGACUUCCUCUCUAAGUGACAAUAGGUAAUUUGUUUUAUUUAUUGAUGACUGCAUAAGGUUUUGUUGGGUAAAAUUUUUGAAGCAAAAAUAAGAGGUAGCUUAUUUCUUUUGCAAGUUUAAAUGCUUAAAUGAAAAUCGGGCAAACUAUAAGCUUAAGGUCUUAAGAUCAAACAAUGGCACUGAGCACUUGUCAGAAAAGUUUCAGAAGCUUUGCGUAGAGGCAGGAAUUUAGCAUCAACUGACUACAAUUUAUACACCUAAGCAGAAUGGUGUUUGUGAAAUAAAGAAUCGAAUAGUGUUGGAUAUGGCUAGGUGUUUGUUAUUUAAAAGCAAAUUGCCAAACACUUUUUGGGUUGAGCCAGUGAAUACCUCAGUGUAUUUGCUUAAUAGGUUACCAACUAAUGCAGUGAAAGGAAAGACACCUUUUAAAGCUUCGUUUGGACACAAACCAUCUAUUUCACAUUUGAAAGUGUUUGAUUGCAUCUAUUAUGCACUUUUACUAGCUAAAAAGAAAAGCAAGUUAGAGAGAAAGUCAAUGCUUGGAUUUUUUGUUGGCUACAAUAGCACAAAGAAAGAGUACAGGGUUUUUGAUCCUUCCACCAAUAAGAUUUUUGUGAGUAGGGAUAUGAAGUUUAAUGAAAAUAGUGGAUGGAAAUGGUAUGGCACAGAUGCAACUUUGCUUGAACAAGAUAAAAAAGAAAGUGGUCUACAGCUAGUUGAAAAUGAAAUUCAUUUUGAUGUAGGGUUUGAUGACAUACCUAUUAGGGGUACAAGGCCAAUCACUAACAUUUAUCAAAUGUGUGAUCUGGCCAUUUUGGAGCCUUAAAUUUUUUAUGAAGCUUCCAAAGAAGCUUGUUGGAAAGAAGCAAUGCAAGCAGAAAUGGACAUGAUACACAAGAAUGAUAGAUGGGAACUGGUUGAUAGGCCAGUCCAGAAAAGAAUCAUUGGCGUAAAAUGAGCAUUCAAGACCAAGUAUAAUGAAAAUAGGUCACGGAAUAAGUGCAAAGCAAGUUUAGCAGUGAAGGGACACAUCUAACACAUGGAGUCCAUUUUUUAGAAACAUUUGCACUAGUUGCAAGGUUAGACACUAUAAGGCUCCUAUUUGCUUUAGCAACUCAAAAAAUGUGGAAUAUAUACCAGUUGGAUGUAAAAUCUACCUUUUUGAAUGGUUUUUCUCAAGGAGGAGAUUUUUGUUGAACGACUAGAAGGGUUCAAAGUGAAUGGUAAAGAAUCCAAAGUUUGCAAGCUUAAGAAAGCCUUGUAUGGCCUAAAACAAGCUCCAAGGGCAUGAUAGAAUUGAUGCUUAUCUGCCACAGCUUGGGUUUUAAAAAAGUGUCGAAACCAUUUUUAAAAUCGAGUUUUAGGAAAAUGGGAAUCGACUUUAAAAAUGAAAACGGGAGUCACCACUAAUCUUUUUAGGUGUGAUUGGAUCACCUUAUAAAAUGUUUUGUUUUAAAACAUUAAUUUUGGUCUACGAAAGUCGAGAAAACGGAUUCGGGAGUCGGUUACGUACGAGUAAGGGUUAGCACCCUCGUAACGCCCAAAAAUUGGUACCUAAUUGAUUAUCAAGUGUCUUUAAUGUCGGAAAUUAAAAAAUUUUAAGAUGUAGUCCUCUUUAAAAUAUUUUAAUUUUGAAAAUUUGGGUUCACCCGUAUCAAAGUAUUGACACUAAGUUAACCUUUUUUGGAAAUUCUUAUCUCGAAACAACAAAACGCUAUAUCCAAUAAGUUAGGACAUAUUGCUUUAAAAUUCCAAGAUAGUGGCUUGCAUUUAGAAAACCUUUAAAAAAACUUAGAAGGGUACUUGAUUAUUCAAACUCAACGAGAAAAGUGGCAACCCAAUAAGUUAGGGCACUACUUUCUCGAAAUUUCCAAACACCAAGCAUUGCCUUUAUAUUUUUUUGAAAACUUUGGAGUCUCAUUUUUAAAAAAAAAUGUUGCAUAAGGAAUCACAUUAUCACUAUAGAAUAGAAUAUUGCAAUAAUAAGCGAAUAAAACAUGCAUUUUAACGAUACAAUAGCAAUAAUACAAAAAUCAUAUACUAGAUGCAUACAUUUUAGAAUUACAUAACAUCAUAUAUACAAAGAUACAUAUAACCUAUAUUGAAGAUGGAUAAGCAAAACAUACAAACAUACAUAGUAAUAAUUAAGAAAUGAUACAUGAUACACAAUUUAAAAGAAAUAUAAUAUCGAUGUACAUGUUCACAAAAUAUAACAUCAAGUAAUAAAUAUAAAAAAACACUUAACACACAUCAUACAUAAUAUAAAAACUACAUAAAAGAAUUAAUAUAUAUAAAAUAUAAUAUAAGGUGAAUAAUUGUUAACAAAAUAUACAUAUAAUACAAAUAAAAAUAUGACAUUUAAUAAUAAUUUUAAAAUAGUAUUUAAUUAUACAAUAUGUAAUAUAUAAUAACAGAAUUUAAAAAUAUAUUGUUUUAAAAAAAUAAUGUAUAAGAAUUUAUAUUUAUAAUAAAAUAAUUUUAGUGUAAGUUUAGCAUAAUAUAAAAUAAGUAAUUAAUGAUGAAAUAUACAUGUUAUACAAAUUAUAAUAUUAUAAUAUCCUCAAAAUAUGUAAUAAUAGAAUAUAAAUAAAGUAAUUAUUAAUAUAUAAAUAAAGAUAAGUAUAUAAUACAAGUUAAAUCCUUUAAUGAUAAUAACAUAUAGAUAAAAAAUAUAUAAUAGUAUAAAAAAAUGACAUAAUAAUAUAAAAUAAUAUAUAAUAUGUAUGUAAAAAUAAGGUAUAGUAUAUAUACAAAUAUUUAAUAUAUAAUAUAAGUAAAAAUAUAAUAACCAUAUAUAAAUAAUAAUGUAAAAUAAUAAUAAUAUAAAAUAACAUAUUGUUAAAAUGUAAGAUAAUAUAAAGAUAAAGAUAUUUAAAAAUUAAGUGGUAAAAAUAUAGUAUAGAUAUAGGAAAAUAAUAUACGAUAAAAAUAUAAGUAGUAUUUUUAAUAAUAAUAUAUGUAUAGCUUUUAAAAAUAAAUAAGUUAUAUAUAAAAUAAAAUAACAAAAUUUAAAAAUAGUAAAAACAAGGGUUAAAGUUGAAUUUAAAUAGACUUAUAAGGCUAAUUUGCAAAAUAGUAUAAGUUCUGGGCUUGAUUUGCAAGAAUUAAGACGACAAAGGACUCACUGGGCAAUUUGCCCUAAUCCUAAGCGACGUUGUUUCCAGAAUGCAAUAACUGUUGGGACUAAAUUAAAACUAAAACAAAAUAAUAGGGCCAAAUCAUAAAUAAAAUAAAGCGUAAUUAUAAACUAAAAAGGGUGGAAGGACCGAUUGGGUAAUUAACCCAAUUCUAAAAAAUACGCGGAUCAUCCCCGGGUAAUCGGGUCAACGCGCGGAUCCUGAGGCCUUUAAAUGACGUCGUUUUUAGGCUUAUUAACUUAAGCUAAAAUGGUGCCGUUCUGUUAAUGCUAUAUAAGCCAAUUUUUAGUUUUUGAAUCAUUUGAAAUCUGUUUUAAAAAAAAAAGAAAAAACUCUUUGAAGGAGAGUUGGGGAGGGGUAUUCGGAGGGUCACCGGACCUCCAUCUAGGGGUCUACAUGCGCUCACGCGCCCCCGUUGCCUCCACCGCACAUGGUGGUCAGAGGUUUAAAUACCUUUGUUCCCUCAAGCAAAACCCAGGUAACCUCUUUGUCUUUUUAACAUCCACAGUUUUUUACUAAAACAGUUCAUAUAUAUAUUCAAAAAUAAAACACGAGACACAUGAUUAAAUCACCUUUUCUAAAAACUGUUGGUAUUUCCUUGAACGAAUCUAUGUAAGUAGAUUUCUAUUCUGUAAAAAAGUCCCUUUACACUGUUCUGAUUCGGGCUUUUAUAGCCACUGUUGCUAUUACAUUUUUGGAAAGAAACCUUUUCUUCCAUGUUUAUUUUGUUUGCUGUUGCGUUUCUUUCCUUCUUUUAUAGGUAUCAUCAAGGAAUCCGGCAAUGACAGUGCUGGUGUGGAUUCUUGGUGUUGGUGAGGCGCUGAUUACGGAGGCAGAGCCUUGAGUGAUGGCCUCGAUUGGAGAGCUGGACAGACGCUCCCCGAACCUUCUAGAACCUGUUGCGGUGCGAGGGGAAAGAGCUAGGGUUGAAAACCCUAGCUGAUAAUUUUGGGUUUUUGGGCCUCUGUUGUUUGGGUCUAGUUUAGGUCUGGGCUUCGGGUGCAUUUGGGUUAAGGUUGUAAUUGUAAUGGGUCUAGGGUGUAAACGGGUUAAGGGAUAGUUUUAGGCCUGCUAGGUAGUAAUCGGUCUAUUUGGGUAUAACGGGCCUGAAGUAUUUGGGCCAAAAGGGUUUGAGCUAAAGGAUAUUGGGUUAGUUUAGGGUCUGUUGGGCUGGUUAUUUUAUUUGGUUUUGUAACCUGGACUGUUUUUUGAAUGGACUUAAAUAAAUAUUUAUUUAUUAUUUUGCUUUUGGGUUUUAAAACCCAGUCAAAUUUGGGCUACUACAGUUGCCCCUCUUUGCUCAUUGCUGUGUAACAGGAAUUGAGCAAAGACUCAGAAAGACCAAAUUUGACCGGUCUUAUCAUGGUCUUCAAUCUGCUUCUCGUAAACUUAUGACUGUCAUGUUGGUAUCUUCGAUCUGCUCUCCGCCAAACACAGAGACGCCAAAUUUGCUUCUUCGAUUGUUCCUUGUAAGCACCAGGGUACCAAACCAUCUUGGAUCUGCUUCAGCAUAAACAUCUGAAGGUGAGAUCUGCUAUGUAUCUGCUCUUCCUCAAAGUGAAGAACCAGACUUUGAUUCAUUCUCUGACAAUACAGAGAUGCCAAAUCAUCUUAGAUUUGCUUCAGCGUAAACACGUGAAAGCCAAAUCAGCUAUGUUUUCGAUUUGUUCCUUGUAAGCACAAGGAUGCCAAACCAUCUUGGAUCUACUUCAGUAUAAACAUCUGAAGGUUGGAUCUGCUAUGUGUCUGCCCUCCGUCGAAGUGGAGAUUCCAGACUUCGAUUUGUUCUCUGACAAUACAGAGAUGCCAAAUCAUCUUAAAUUUGUUUCAACGUAAGCACGUGAAAGCCAAAUCAGCUAUGGCUUCGAUUUGCUCCUUGUAAGCACAAGGAUGCCAAACCAUCUUGGAUCUACUUCAGUAUAAACAUCUGAAGGUUGGAUCUGCUAUGUGUCUGCCCUCCGUCGAAGUGGAGAUGCCAGACUUCGAUUUGUUCUCUGACAAUACAGAGAUGCCAAAUCAUCUUAGAUUUGCUUCAACGUAAACACGUGAAAGCCAAAUCAGCUAUGUUUUCGAUCUGCUCUCCGCCAAUACAGAGAUGCCAAAUCCGGUAUCUUUGAUCUGCUCUCUGACAAUACAAAGAUGCCAAAUCUGCUAUCUUCAACUCGUUCCCUAUAAACACAGGGAUGCCAUGCUGAAAUCUUCGAUCUGCUUCGCUGUAAGCACAUGAGUGUCAGAUCUGUUAUCUUCGAUCUGUUCCCUAUAAACAUAGGGAUGCCAAAUCUGCUAUCUUCAUCUUGUUCCCUAUAAACACAUGGAUGCCAUGCUGAAAUCCUCGAUCUACUUUGCUGUAAGCACAGGAGUGUCAGAUUUGUUAUCUUCGAUCUGUUCCCUAUAAACAUAGGGAUGCCAAAUCUGCUAUCUUCAACUUGUUCCCUAUAAACACAGGGAUGCCAUGCUGAAAUCUUUGAUCUACUUCGCUGUAAACACAGGAAUGUCAGAUCUGCUAUCUUCGAUCUGUUCCCUAUAAACAUAAGGAUGCCAAAUCUGCAAUCUUCAACUUGUUCCCUAUAAACACAGGGAUUCCAUGCCGAAAUCUUCGAUCUUCUUCGCUGUAAGCACAGGAAUGUCAGAUCUGCUAUCUUCGAUCUGUUCCCUAUAAACACAGGGAUGCCAAAUCUUGUUUCUUUGAUCUACAUUGUCCCAUAAAAGACAUAACCUGUAGAAUGCGUAUGAGUUCAUGCCUAAUAAUUAGGAUGCUAUGAUCGAAGUGAGUCAAAUUCUCCUAAUUAGACAUGUUAUAAUGCAAAAUGUUAUGAAAAUGAUUCCUAUUUUGGAUGUCAUCACUCAUUCCUUCAUCGAAGUUUAUCCUUACUUCUCUCGAAGUCUCAUUCCAACUCAACUUGUGGGUUUGUACCAUUCUUCAAAUGCUAUGACCUGCUGAAAAUGUCUGUAAGAUGAUCCUCUCCUAAGAUCGAAUCGUUUGAUUUGUUCAAUCAUCAUUUAGACUGAAGAAGAAAUUUCAGUUUCCCGGAGUACAUCCGACCCUCACAUAUGGGAAUUCCUUAAACAAUUGUCUUGUUUCAGUUUCUUUUAUUAUCUAGAAAUUUCCAGAGUAAUAUGCAAAACUUCAUUUGUGAAGAUAUUUUAGUUCAUCUAUCAUUAUUUCAAUGCAACAUGCUUUAUGAAUAAUAGGAGACAAAUAAAUUGAUCCUGAGGAUAAUUAGAUUUGGACAAAUUAUUGGAAGGAAUAUAAAAAGAUUAACUUGAGAACAUAUCUUUGCGAAGAAAAAGAAUCCAAAGAUAGUAAAUAGGACAGAAAUCAGAUGCCCCAGAUAUCGCCGCUUGAGCGUCUAUACACCAGCUCCAUGAAGGCUUUCUUAAGUUCAACAUGUGUUUAAAAGAUCCAAAGUAAUUCGUUGAUGCCUCGAUAUACUUCACUUCUCUUCGAAUCCGGUAUAGCAAAGUCACUGCAUUACUUUCCAAAUUUGAGCUGCCCUUUCGGGUUUUCAACUGAAAACCCCUUUUGUCUCAAGGCGCCCUUUGCGGGUUUUCACCUUGGCCUCUCCAUUUUUUCUUUUUUCUCUUUUUUAUUUUUAUUUUAUUUUAUUUUUUUCUCUUUUUCUUUUCUUUUUUUCCUUUCUUUUUCUUGAAAUAGAAGUCCCAAAGUACCCUUUGCAGGUUUUCACCUUGGCUUCCCUUCUCCUUCAGAUAAAGUACUCCUUGACCGAGUCCGAAUUCACUGGAUCAGAUAAAUUCUUCCUAUCCAUUUCUUGUCAAAAUCAGUGCACCUCUAGAGAAAGCCCUCUUUGCAACAUAUGGCCCUUCCCAAUUCGGCAUCCUUUUGCAUGGGAAGGAUCUCUUUCAGCACAAGGUUUCCUUUAUGAAAUUCUUUUGGACGAACCUUCUUUGUCAUAAGUCUGUGUCAUCCAUUCUUGGUACAUUUUCUUAGGAUGAAUACUUUCAAGUUAAGUUUACUAGAGGUAUUCAAUUCUUGACUCCAUCAAAUCUUGGAGGAAAAAUCUUGAUUCAUAAACCCAUGAGAAAGGGAUUGCCCUAGCAGCAGUCCUAGCUGUUGUUUGUCAAACCCUACAAAAAGAUGGUUCAAUGAUUCUCAGCAGACCUUGUUGACUUUAUCCUUCAACCUGGAAAGCUGAGGUACAGAGAUUACUCCCUGAGCAUACAUCCCACCAUGACUCAAUGAUGUUUCUGAAACAUCCCUAAUCUUCAUAAAUUGCCCCCAACUGUGAAGCUGCCAAAUGAGCGUAGCAAAUAGGAGCCAUAAAAAAUAUGGCUGUGGUGCUCCUUUGAUACAUAUAGGAUAGAGAAUGAACAAAAUCUUGCAGAUCAUCAGCCGAAAACCUAGCCUGGUCUAAGAGAACAUGAUAGUGGGUCUGCCUCGUGAUUCCAAUCAUUCCAGCAUGGGUACCAAGGUAAAAAUCAUUAUUCUUUGGAUGGCAUACUUUGUUGUCAAUGACAGUACCAUGUAGCACAUUGUCAAGAGAUCCCUGCUGAAAAAAACUUGGUAUGAUAGUUUUUCGUACAACAAUAACCACAAUCUUUAGGGUUCCACUUCUCGUCAAGGAACUUGCAAGCCUCAAUAACUUGAUCAAAACUUGAUUUAAUUGAGACUCGCUAACUCCAUCCCUAAAAAUAAUGAUUUGAUCAGGUUUCCUCUUCCGUGAACUUGUAUAGAAGUCUAAGAGAGCUUCCUUCAUGAUACUGUUAUCCACUUUGUCAGAAACUGGUUUUGAACAAAGAAUCUAUCAUUUUAAUCUUCAGAGAUUGUGUACGGCCUGAUGCCCUAUAGCUGGAAAUCAAUGGCCACCGCUUGGAGCUAACCAUCGCAACUAUUGACGGCACAUCAGACUGCUCAGGAAAGCCAAACAAUGUACCCAUUCCAAGGAUGAUGGUUGGAACCUUUGAAACAACUGGAAUUGAAGGUGUUUUCCCCAGCGUAAGCAUAGAGAGUAGGCUGUAGUUUCUUAUGCCAAUUUUUACCAGUCUCGGUCAUCUUCUAUAAUUUGUUUUCUUUUUCUUUUUCUUUUCUUUUGGCAACUUUUGUUGUCCUGUGGUAUGGCGCAUUAUCUUUGAAAAGACUGCAAACUUUUGGCAUUGUGCAGUUAUAUAUAAUCUUUUUUUUUGAAAUGGAUGAAUUUUGACUUUGUAAUAUUGGCCUAUGAAGCUAUCUCCCCCUCUUAAUGGAGUAGUUGACGUCCACAAAGAUGAGUCAUUGUCAACUUGAAACUUUUGACGAGCUCGGGCCCAUAACAUACAUGCCCCAUAAGUCUUGACUCCUUUAAAUUUGGCAUUCAUUGUACAACUGAUGCGAUCCCUUUCCAUGGUGGACCAACAGUGCCUCAAAACCUCAUGUUUAUCCUGGCAAUUGCAAAUCCUCCUGCAUGCGUUUUUGGACCACAUUUUUGAAUUCCCAUAAUAGUCUCAACAAGGUCUUGUUUUGUCUCCUCAGCUAAUUCCAAUUUCGCAAUCUUUCCUUCCUCUAAGGCUAUAUUUCCUACCACCACCUCAUGGGGUAAAAAAAACCAUUUUCAACAAAUUCAGAAACAAGUCACAAUUUCUGUCACCUUCAAAGUACUGAGAUUCCUCUAAACACAUAUCGCACUCAAAAGGAACUCUGAAUCUGUAGUAUCAUUCCGUGUCAUUGAUAUCUAGGGAUCUAUGAUAGGCACACAAAAGAAUAUACAAGGAACAAAUGAAUUCAAGAAUGACUAUUUACAUGAAAUGAAAAUUUAUAAAGAAUGUCAAAGGUCAAAAGAAUCAGAAUGAAAGAAUAUUUACUCGGAUAAAUAAUAAAAGUAUGUUUUAUUGAAAAUAAAAAUGUCUGGACAUGAGCCCACUUCUCAAAAAAAAUCUCAUUACUCCUAGGAUUUAGAGCAACAAGAGUGUUUUGAAUAUUACUCCGUAAAAUUCCUAAAGAUUACAGGAAGUUCUUCUGCAGUCCAAUUGUUUAAAGAACUUCCCGGUUCGUAAGGGCGAAUGCCCUCAAGGUUUCUUUGUUCAGUCCAUUUCUCAUGUAUGACAUUGAUGGGAUGAUUUUCAUUUCCAAACACCCCCUUCUCCGGGUAAGCUAUCCCUCCUGACACAAAAGUCAGGGAUAUGUAAGGGAACGUCGUUAAUUCCCAUUCAACUUCUUUUUCACUCAGCCGUGACCCUCUUCUCUCUCUCUCUUUUUCUUUCUCUUUUUAAUAACUUUAACUAAUUAGGGUCUUUUUAUAAUUUUGAAUGCAAAUGAUGCAAUGAAAUGCUAUAAGAUGCAAAUGCAUGAAUGCAAAAGGUAUCGAUCUCGAUUCAAUCUCAUUUAGAAAACUUUAUUUAGAAAAAAAAAUAUCUUUACAUAUAAAUGGAUUACAAAUACGCUUUCGCCCUAAUGCCCAAAAUUUUAAAAUAAACUCUUAGCCACGAUCUAAUUGUAUCUCAUAUUGGUGCUCAAUAUGUCAGCCUAUACCACCAAUGUCUGUAAAUAAUCAGCUACCUCCUGAGUUUGAGCUACGACCUCACUUGUGGGGUAAUCCGUGCAGCUAGGGAUACCUCCUCCAAUACCUGUGAAAUUGUUCUGAUUAUCCUGAGAGAGAAAAUUGUGAACAAGCAGGCAUCAUUGUUCUGCAGUAUGCUGCCUUAAAAUGAUAUCCUAUAUCCUCAAUGCUUCUUGAGAGUUUUCAGAUUUCUGCUUCCGCAGAGCAUUGCUUGUAUGGGUAUCCUCAUAGCAUAGCUAAUCUCUAAAGGUAUUUGUAUGAUACGGUCUUUUUUAAUCGCUUUCUUUCACGCUUACUUGAGCUAUCCAGGCCAUCGGGCUUGCAAGUACUCAAGCUUGUUGUUUGGUAGCGGUCCUAUAGUAAACGAGCUUUUUACCAUCAUAGGCAAAAUUCUUUCCAUCCAACUCAUUUUGUAGGUCUCAUGCACUCUAUCAAUCACUUUCCUUCCAAUACCCAUACCAUCCACAUGGCAACCGUCUUCAUAUGAAAGAGAAACGCUAUAAUGGUAGAAAUGUCCAUCAAUACUCCCACACUUAUUUUGAAUUGCUCAUUUAUCCUCCUGUCAAGCAAAUACUGCAAGUCCCCUUAAUUAUUGUAGAACAACUGCUUGGCUUCAUUACUCCAUUGAUCCCAUAUUUCUUUUAACUCCUAGAGAUUAUUUUGAUCCACGCUGAUGCGAGGGUAACCCCAUAAUUCUGAUGUGUAUCCUUCAGUGUUUCCUUUGACCAUUUAUGGACGUUAACGUUGCCCUCCAUUCUAUCAAGAAGUCCGUUCUCCAUAAUAAAACUUUUUAACUUAGAAACUGACCGUGAAUCGAUACCUUUUAAAUGCAAAAUGACAUGCACAAAAGAAAGAAAAUAGUCAGUAUCAUAUGAUAUUAAUAAACAUAAAGAUAACCUAAGUAUAAUUCUAUCUAUAUUGAGCUCUUACGAUUUUUCUAUAUGUGGUUUGUUUCUAAAGUUUGAGGUACCCGAACCAGCAGAUUCCUCGACCCUCACCCAUUAUAGGCUCAUUUGAAUCGAGUUCAGUUCAGAGGAAUACAUUUCCCUAUGGCUACACGGAGAUGAAAAUCUCACGAAACCAUAGGUACGGAUGUAUCCCGAAAGUGAUCCACUAUCCUGCACAGAAGCGAAAACCUCAUGAAGGCAUAGCUUCUCACUCCCACUUAAGGGUGUGACCACAACGGUCAUGCAAAUGCAAUGCGUAUCAGAAUAUAGCAACACAUGCAAUAAUACAAACACAUGUAAUGCAAAGAGGAUUAAAUUUUAAAAUUUUUAAUUUUCGAUAUUAAGACAAGAGAUAAUCAAUUACACGGCUUGACUCUCUUAUUAGUCCCCAGCGGAGUCGCCAAGCUGUCUAAACCAUUUUUAAAAUCGAGUUUUGGGAAAAUGGGAAUCGACUUUAAAAACGAAAACGGGAGUCGCCACCAAUCUUUUUAGGUGUGAUUGGAUCACCUUAUAAAAUGUUUUGUUUUAAAACAUUAAUUUUGGUCUACGAAAGUCGAGAAAACGGAUUCGGGAGUCGGUUACAUACGAGUAAGGGUUAGCACCCUCGUAACGCCCAAAAAUUGGUACCUAAUUGAUUAUCAAGUGUCCUUAAUGUCGGAAAUUAAAAAAUUUUAAGAUGUAGUCCUCUUUAAAAUAUUUUAAUUUUGAAAAUUGGGGUUCACCCGUAUCAAAGUAUUGACACUAAGUUAACCUUUUUUGGAAAUUCUUAUCUCGAAACAACAAAACGCUAUAUCCAAUAAGUUAGGACAUAUUGCUUUAAAAUUCCAAGAUAGUGGCUUGCAUUUAGAAAACCUUUAAAAAAACUUAGAAGGGUACUUGAUUAUUCGAACUCAACGAGAAAAGUGGCAACCAAUAAGUUAGGGCACUACUUUCUCGAAAUUUCCAAACACCAAGCAUUGCCUUUAUAUUUUUUUGAAAGCUUUGGAGUCUCAUUUUUUUUAAAAAAAUGUUGCAUAAGGAAUCACAUUAUCACUAUAGAAUAGAAUAUUGCAAUAAUAAGCGAAUAAAACAUGCAUUUUAACGAUACAAUAGCAAUAAUACAAAAAUCAUAUACUAGAUGCAUACAUGUUUAGAAUUACAUAACAUCAUAUAUACAAAGAUACAUAUAACCUAUAUUGAAUAUGGAUAAGCAAAACAUACAAACAUACAUAGUAAUAAUUAAGAAAUGAUACAUGAUACACAAUUUAAAAGAAAUAUAAUAUCGAUGUACAUGUUCACAAAAUAUAACAUCAAAUAAUAAAUAUAAAAUAACAUUUAACACACAUGAUACAUAAUAUAAAAAAUACAUAAAAGAAUUAAUAUAUAUAAAAUAUAAUAUAAGGUGAAUAAUUGUUAACAAAAUAUACAUAAAAUACAAAUAAAAAUAUGAUAUUUAAUAAUAAUUUUAAAAUAGUAUUUAAUUAUAAAAUAUGUAAUAUAUAAUAACAGAAUUUAAAAAUAUAUUGUUUUAGAAAAAUAAUGUAUAAGAAUUUAUAUUUAUAAUAAAAUAAUUUUAAUGUAAGUUUAGCAUAAUAUAAAAUAAGUAAUUAAUGAUGAAAUAUACAUGUUAUACAAAUUAUAAUAUUAUAAUAUCCUCAAAAUAUGUAAUAAUAGAAUAUGAAUAAAGUAAUUAUUAAUAUAUAAAUAAAGAUAAGUAUAUAAUACAAGUUAAAACCUUUAAUGAUAAUAACAUAUAGAUAAAAAAAAUAUAUAAUAGUAUAAAAAAAUGACAUAAUAAUAUAAAAUAAUAUAUAAUAUGUAUGUAAAAAUAAGGUAUAGUAUAUAUACAAAUAUUUAAUAUAUAAUAUAAGUAAAAAUAUAAUAACCAUAUAUAAAUAAUAAUGUAAAAUAAUAAUAAUAUAAAAUAACAUAUUGUUAAAAUGUAAGAUAAUAUAAAGAUAAAGAUAUUUAAAAAUUAAGUGGUAAAAAUAUAGUAUAGAUAUAUAGGAAAAUAAUAUGCGAUAAAAAUAUAAGUAGUAUUUUUAAUAAUAAUAUAUGUAUAGUUUUUAAAAAUAAAUAAGUUAUAUAUAAAAUAAAAUAACAAAAUUUAAAAAUAGUAAAAACAAGGGUUAAAUUUGAAUUUAAAUAGACUUAUAAGGCUAAUUUGCAAAAUAGUAUAAGUUCUGGGCUUGAUUUGCAAGAAUUAAGACGACAAAGGACUCACUGGGCAAUUUGCCCUAAUCCUAAGCGACGUUGUUUCCAGAAUGUAAAAACUGUUGGGAUUAAAUUAAAACUAAAACAAAAUAAUAGGGCCAAAUCAUAAAUAAAAUAAAGUGUAAUUAUAAACUAAAAAGGGUGGAAGGACCGAUUGGGUAAUUAACCCAAUUCUAAAAAAUGCGCGGAUCCUCCCCAGGUAAUCGAGUCAACGCGCGGAUCCUGAGGCCUUUAAACGACGUCGUUUUUAGGCUUAUUAACUUAAGCCAAAAUGGUGCCGUUCAUUUAAGGCUAUAUAAGCCAAUUUUUAGUUUUUGAAUCAUUUGAAAUAUGUUCUGAAAAAAAAAAGAGAAAAAGCUCUCUGAAAGAGAGUUGGGGAGGGGUAUUCGGAGGGUCACCGGACCUCCAUCCAGGGGUCUACACGCGCUCACGCGCCCCCGUUGCCUCCACCGUACAUUGUGGUCAGAGGUUUAAAUACCUUCGUUCCCUCAAGCAAAACCCAGGUAACCUCUUUGUCUUUUUAACAUUCAUAGUUUUUUACUAAAACAGUUCAUAUAUAUAUUAAAAAAUAAAACACGAGACACACGAUUAAAUCACCUUUUCUAGAAACUGUUGGUAUUUCCUUGAACGAAUCUGUGUAAGUAUAUUUCUAUUCUGUAAAAAAGGUCCCUUUACACUGUUUCGAUUCGGGCUUUUAGAGCCACUGUUGCUAUUACAUUUUUGGAAAGAAACCUUUUCUUCCAUAUUUGUUUUGUUUGCUGCUGUGUUUCUUUCCUUCUUUUGCAGGUAUCAUCAAGGAAUCCGGCAAUGACUGUGCUGGUGUGGAUUAUCGGUGUUGGUGAGGCGCUGAUUAUGGAGGCAGAACCUUGAGUGAUGGCCUCGAUUGGGGAGCUGGACAGACGCUCCCCCAACCUUCCAGAACCUGUUGCGGCACGAGGGGAAAGAGCUAGGGUUGAAAACCCUAGCUGAUAAUUUUGGGUUUUUGGGCCUCUGUUGUUUGGGUCUAGUUUAGGUCUGGGCUUCGGGUGUAUUUGGGUUAAGGUUGUAAUUGUAAUGGGUUAAGGGUGUAAACGGGUUAAGGGAUAGUUUUAGGCCUGCUAGGUAGUAACCGGUCUGUUUGGUAUAACGGGCCUGAAGUAUUUGGGCCAAAAGGGUUUAAGCUAAAGGGUAUUGGGUUAGUUUAGGGUCUGUUGGGCUGGUUAUUUUAUUUGGUUUGUAACCUGGACUAUUUUUUGAAUGGACUUAAAUAAAUAUUUAUUUAUUUAUUAUUUUGCUUUUGGGUUUUAAAACCCGGUCAAAUUUGGGCUACUACAAAGAGCAUCAAUGAGUCUACUCUUUAUGUAAAGAAAUAUGAGAAUAAGACCUUGUUGAUUGUGUCAUUGUAUGUAGAUGAUUUGAGAUGUCUAAUUUAGGGGAGAUGACUUACUUUCUUGGCAUAGAAGUAAUCUAGACUCAGCAUGCCUUUUAUAAGUCAACAAGCAUAUUUGCUUUGAAGAUUUUGAAUAAUUUCUUCAUCGGAAACUGCAAACCUGCUAGCAUUCCGGUGGCACUAAGUGAGAAGCUUUCUAGCAAAUGUGACUAUGAAAAAGUGGACGAGAAACGGAAUAGAAGACUUGUAGGUUGUCUGCUUUAUUUGAAAGCAUCAAGGUCUGAUAUUAUGUUUGCAGUCAAUCUUCUAUCAAGAUUUAUGCGCUGCUGUAAUGUUUCUUAUUCAAAGCAGCUAAGAGGGUCAUAAGAUAUGUCAAGGGAACUCUCAAUUAUGGGGUGAAAUUUGUGAAGACUGAAGAGCUCAAGUCGGUUGGAUAUUCAAAUUAUGAUUGGGCGGGCUUGGUUGAUGAUAUGAAGAGCACAUCAGGGCAUUUUUCACUCUAGGCUCAGGAGUUUUUUGUUGGAGCUCAAAGAAGCAAUAAGUGAUGACACAAUCAACAAUAGAAGCAGAGUACAUUGCAACUACUGUAGUUGUUAAUGAAGCCAUUUGGUUGCGAAAGCUUUUGUUUGAUUUGAAUUUAAGUCAAGGGGAAGCAACAGAUAUCAAUGUUGAUAAUCAGUUUGCUAUUGCAAUUGCAAAGAAUCCAGUGUUUUAUGGCAAAACAAUGCACUUUAAGAUUAGAUAUCAUUUUGUAAGGGAAGCUAAGCAAUCGAAGGAGGUCAACCUGAUUCAUUGCAGUUUAAAAGACCAAUUUGCUAACAUUUUAACCAAGCCUCUUGGGACUACUAUGUUUGAGAGUUUGAGAAGAAGUAUUGGUGUCUGCUGCAUAAAAGCCCAAGGAGGAGGGCUGAAGAUGGCCAACAAUACAAUAACAAGGAUGUUUUGGUGCUUAAUCAUGCAAUUGUUUUUGUUUUAUCUUUCAAAGUAGUCCAAUUUAUUUUGUAAUUAGUCUUGUUGAUGUACAAAGACUGGUUAGCUUAUUUGUUUAUGUUUAAAUGAUGAUUUAGCUCAUAAGUCAGCUUGUUUAUGUGUGCAAGUUAUGUUUUGUGAAUUUUAAUGUCAUUAGUGGGAGUUGUUAUGUAUUAGGUAAUUGUUUGUACCAAAAGUGACCAAUGCCUGGAUGAAAAUCAUAUCAGCUAAGAGUUUUUUCUGAUCAUCUUUCGUUCUUCUUCAGUUUUCUUUUCUUUCAUAUUUUUCUGUUUUAGUAGCAAAAACUCAACACAAAUAACUUUAAAAUAAAGAUGUAAACAUGCAUAAAAAACAUUACUAAGACGAGGUUGGUUAAGUAGUUUACACAGUUAAUGCUUCUUCCCCGAUUAGCCCAUUAUAAAAUUAAAAACUUUUUACAUCCGUUUUGGUUGCGGCCCUUCUUCCUCUGCUUCCUCGUAGAUAUUUCGUUUUCGUUUUAGGAGAGAAGUGCUACCAAUAAAUCCAUUGUUUUGAGCAGAGUGUUGGUGGAUGUGUUCAAAAUUUGGAGAAGAUGGAGUGCUAUGGCACUGCAACUCUUUUAUUUCUUACAAAUCUUUCUUAUACACUAUUCUAGCACCACACUUCUUCACCUUAACACUACUUCCAAUGAAAGACACCUCAAUCUCAUCACAUAUUCGAUCUGAGCUAUUUGUUGUCCAUAAAUUAUUGGUUUCACAGUCACCAUAUUUAUCCUCCGAAAAUGGAUCGAAUCUAUCACGUGACCAAUAAUAAAGAAAAAGGUGAUCUUUCAUUAUGGGCUGGCUAAAUCGUUUACCCACCACCCAUUCUAUCCAAUCAAUCUGUCGAGGAUUUUUACCACAAAAAAUAGAUCCAUUACAAUAGAUAAAUAUUCCACACUUGGUAUCCUGGUUGUCAUCCCUUGAAGCAUCAUUAUUAACAAAAAUGCAGCAACAAGCAACUCCAAUCCAUUCACUAUCUUCCCGAAGGGGUAUCUUAAUUGAAGAGUUAUUUUCUUGUUGACUAAACCAUUCUGGGAUUUCACUUCCGGGCAUAAUAAUCUUAAACCUUUUUCUUGAAUUUGCAAAUGCCUGCAAAAUAAAACACAAGUUGUUUGGUAACUAAAACCAUAAAUUCUCAAGUAUGAGAUUUGUAAGAGAGAAAAGAGAGAUUAAUCAACCUUAAGAAGUUUUUUCAGCAGUGUUAAUGCAUUCAUAUUCUCAGCCAAUUUGAAGCAGUUAAUGGCUUUAGUGCCAACCGAAUCCAAUAAAUUGAAUACUUUUGAUAGACUUGCAACUACUUCAAGUGAAGAACAACCAUCUAUCCACACAUCCUCUAUACUUGUUGGUAGCUCAGGCAACGAUUUAAGCAUCUUGCAAUCUGAAAAUCUAAUAGAAUAAAGCUUGGAAAGUCGAAUAAUAGAUGCAGGUAUGCUGAUGAAGUUGUUACCCCUAAGAAGAAGAUAUCUCAAAGAGGAUAGACCAGAAAUAUCACUUGGAAUAUCUCCUUCACCGAUAGUGCAGAUGUUGCAAUUUGACAAUUGAAGGAACUCGAGCUUUGAGAGUCAAGUAAGAGAUGCGGGUAUUCUGAUGAAAUUGUUAUCACUAAGAUCAAGACGUAUCAAAGAGGAUAGACCAGAAAUAUCACGUGGAAUAUCUCCUUCACAAAGAUUGCAAUCCCUUAGAUUUAGCUCUCUUAAUGAACUCAAAACUAGCAGCAAAGGCAACAUCCGAGGCAUGGGAUUCGUUCUUCUUCCUAGGAUUACCUUGAAAAGAGAAUACAAAUUUGGUCGUAACUUUUCUGGAUGCAAAUUCUCCGAUAAAUUUUCAACUUUACAACAACCGGAAAGAUCAAGAGUUUUUAGACGUUCCAUUUUCCCAUCAAUCUCCGGAAAUCUUACAAGACUUGAGCAACCCAAAAGAAUUAAUGUUUCAAGAGAUUCCAUUCCAAUUUUAGUCGGAAGACUCCUAAGACUUUUGCAAUAUCUUAAAUUCAAAAGUUUAAGACUCUUAAGCACUCCGAUUGAUGGAUGAACAUUCACUAAUUUGGUGCAACCUUCCAAAAUCAAAACUUCAAGAUUUGAUGCGGUUGUGAAGUCUGAUGUCUCGAUUAGGUUUUGGGACCCUUUGAGGUUCAUCAUUUUCAACUUAUACAAGGGCUGUUAAAGACAAUAAUAAAUUAGAGAAAUAAUGCUCAUUUUUUUUUCUUUACCUUAACCAAAGUUUAAUAAUUUAUAUUAAAAAAGCUAAAACACAAGGGUAAGAUGAGUUAAUUCUUACUCUAUUUCCCUUCCAUAGUUGUUUAAUGUGACUAUCUGGUAAAAGAAGUGCGAUAAGGUUGUCCGGUUGGAAGCUUGAAGGCAACGAUUUUAAAGGGCAUCCUUUCCAUUCUAAAAGCCGUAGCUCAUUAGAAAGAAAUUUGAGAUCAUCACAAUUUAAUAAGCAAAGCACUUUGAGUAAUCUCAAUUUUUUCAUCUUUGAGAAGGCAUAGACACUUAAGUUGAGCAUUUUACUCGAUUCCCUAAUAACCAUGUUUAAAUCAAAAAAAAGCUUUAGGAUAUACAAAAACAUUCAAAACCUAAAAGCUAUGUUGCAUAGACAUUGUUUUUUUCUUUUCAGUACCUAUAUCCAACACUUAUAUCUAAUGCAUAUCAAUAUCUGCAUAUUAAGAUACAAUCCUUUAAAAACUCUUUAAACGCAAGAAAAAAGCUUUUUUUUUAAAUUGAACAUACCCAUAUUAAAGACUUGUUGUAUAUAACAGUGAUAUCAAACAUCAAAUUACCUAAUCCUGACAAAAUUAUUGAAUAAAUAUUUUGAUUUAUAUUUAGUCCACAAGCAAUGCAUAAUUCUAUACAAGUUAAUGACACAUAAUUAAAAAUGAAACCCAUUUUCAUUAAAAAAAACUUUUGAUGAUAUGUAAUAAUCUAAUUCAUUGAUAUACACUAGUGCAUUAAAUAUAUACCAUUAAUUUUCUAAAAACACAUAAAUUUCUCAAUUCUUUUGAAAGAGUAAUAUGUUGCUAGAUAAAUUUCAUAAUUAAACAUUAAAAUAUUAAGUUUUAAAAAAGAUAAAAUAAUUAUUUACAGUACAAAAAGAUAUGUUUAUGAGUAUUUUCUUACCUUUUAUUAUUGAUGAUUAUACCUUCAAUUACUUCUGUAGCCUAAAAAAUUCAAGAACAAAAAAUAAGAAAACAAAAUAAAUGGUGCAUAAUGUAAGAUAAAAUUUUUGAAAAUUUACAUUUUUAUUUAGCUUUAUUAUCUCAAAAUAUAAUAAAUAAAGCAUUUUAAACAAAAAAAAAACAGCUUCUAAGGAAGCUAAUGCAAUGCAAUGCAAUGCAAUUAAAUAUUUAUUUCUACAAAUUCUUUGGUAUUUGUAAACAUCAAACAUAACUUAUUUCAAAAGUACUAAAUAUCACUUUUUAAGGCUAGUUGUAUCUACCAAUUAGACUAAGCUUUGAAUUUAUAUCAUAUAUUGAUUAGAUAUUCUAUAUAUAUAUAUAUUAGGUAAUUUUUGUUGAAUGACUUACAGUGUUUUUUGUUAAGAUAUGAUGAACGUCUGUUUCCUCCCACAAUCUGCAACGUUUUCCAGGUUCACCAACACAUUUCUCUCUAACAAUUUGUCUUCCCAAUUCUUGCAACAACUCAUGCAUCCACAAAUAUUGAUUAUCAACUUUUAUGAGAGAUUUUUUAAUGAGAACAUCAAUUCCAAUAUCUGGAAAAAACUCACAACCAUCCAAUACUUUGAUUACAAAAUCUUUCUUCUCCCCAUUGAAGAAGCAUGCUAUAUCUAAAAAUAUAUUCUUCUCCUUUUCUUCUAGUCCAUCAAAACUGAUUCGAAGUUUAUCGAGAAUUUCUUUAUUAGAAUCUCUUUUAAGUCUUUCAAUUGUACUUCUCCAUUGUGUCACAUCUCUACCACACAAAAAAGAACCCAAAACUUCAAUAGCUAAAGGAAGCCCACCAGCAUAAUUUACAACAUGUUCAGAAAGCUCAAUGAAAUCAUCUUUCAACACUGUAUAACUAUGGAAAGCUUUCAAAUUGAAAAGUUGAAGCGCAUCUUUGGUAUUUAAUGUUGUAGGCAUAUACACAUCAUCAACUUGGCAAGAUCGAAGCAAAUGUUCAUCUCUUGUUGUUAUAAUGAUUCUACUCCCUAAUCCGAACCAAUCAUGCCUUCCAACCAAGCAUUUUACGUGUUGUAUGUUAUCAACAUUAUCAAGAACAAUAAGAACGUUUUUGUGAGACAACCUAUGGCUAAUUAUGACAUUUCCUUCAUGAACAUCGAAAAAAUUGAAGCAUUCUUCAAGGAAGAUCUGUGAAAGAAGUUGUUUCUGUAAAGAAACUAGUCCACAUUUUUCUGAAACUUCUCGAAUAUCAGUAAGAAAGCUUUUACCUUCAAAAUAAGGUGACAUUUGAGUGUAAGCAGCUCUUGCGAGUGUCUUUUUACCGAUACUACCCAUUCCACAAAUUCCUAUAAUGCGGACAUCAUCUUCCCUAAUGUUUAUUUUCAAAUAUAAAUCCUUCAAGCGUACACUAAUUCCAACCAAGUCGCUAUAAGUAACUGGAUAUGUCUGACAAAGUGUUGUUGAUAUCUUCUUAAUAAUGUCUUUAAUAAAUUUUGAUUCAUGCCUACAAAGAAAAUAAAUAAAUUUUAAUUUUUUGAAUAAAUUUUUUUUGGUAUCUUUCAUAGUGACGGUGCCUAGUAGAGACCUAGGGGACAUGGUUCCCCUAAAAUGGUAAAUGUUCAACUUAGACCUUUAUAAUUUAUUAAAUUUUAAAUUAAUAAUGGUAAAAUUGAACUUUGGUCCUCCCAAAAAUGGAAAAAAAAUGAAUUUAACCUUUAAAAAUUAUAAAGAUAUAGACUACUAAAAAUGAUGAAAUUACUUUUUUAUUAUCAUAAAAAUAUACAAUUUAAUUCCAGUCCCCUAGAAAAACUUUUCUAGCUCCUCCACUGUUUCAGAUGCACUUUCUUUUUCAAUGGAUCAUGAAACAUAAUAUAGUUUGGAAGAAAACAACAACCAUGAAUAAGAAAGAAAGACCCAUUGUGGAACCAGAAUACAAAAUUUGCUCUUCUAUUGAAAUAUGACAUUUUUCAAUUAAACACAUAGGAUUAGGAAAUGUUAAGUAUGACUCCUAUUUCAGUCAAAUCUGAGAAAUAAUCUUCUAGUUAAACUCUAUUUAUUUGUUUCAAUCAAACAUUGAUUAGUUUAGAUUAUUUUAUUAUUAUUUGACCUAUGAAUUUAGCCUAUAAAUAGACUCUUUUACAACCUUAGAAAAUACACUCAUUAGAUAUUAGAACUCAUAACACAUUUAGAGAAUUUUGUGUUUACGUUUUGAGGGUUCUUUGUUUUUGGGGUUUAGUUUUUAUCUCCAUCUUUUGUACUCUUCGUUCUUUUGUCAUUAUAGUAAAAUUAUCUUUGCUCGUGGUUUUUUAUCCUUUUUGGAGAGGUUUUUCUACGUUAAAUUUGUGUGUUCAAUUAUCAAUUUAUUCUGCUAUUUUUUUUACUUGUUGCUUAAUCGGGUUAAUCCCAACAUGUGUUAUUAGAAAUAGUUCAAUUUUCAUAGAUCAACCCAUCUAGAUAUGGCAGCAACAAGGUUUGAAAUUGAGAAGUUCGAUGGUGAGACAAAUUUUAAUCUGUGGCAAGUUCGGAUGAUGGCAAUUCUAAUUCAAACCGGCUUGCAAAAGGUUGUUACCAGGAAAAAGCCUGAGAAUCUAAAUCAAACAUAAUGGGAAGAGCUUGAUGAAAAGGCCUUGUCUGCAAUCCAGUUGUGCCUUGCGAAUAUGGUAUUGCAGGAGGUAUUUAUGGAGAAAACCUCAUCCAUAUUGUAGAAAAGGUUAGAAACUCUUUAUGCGACUAAGUCUCUGGCUAACCAUUUACUGUUGAAACAAUGUUUAUUUACGUUUCGCAUGCACGAAGGUGAGCUUCUUAGAGAUCACAUUAGUCAAUUCAUUACUAUUUUAAAUGAUUUAAAGAAUGUUGAGGUUCAUAUUGAUGAUGAUGAUCAGACUAUACUAUUAUUGUGCUUUUUACCCCUUUCAUACAAGUCUUUCAGGGAGACCCUGAUUUAUGGCAUAGACAAACUCUCAUUCGAAGAUGUGAAGGGCCAUUUGUUGAAUAGAGACAAACUCGACAAUGAGUUUGGUUUGGAUAGCAAGGCCGAUAAGCAAGCUUCCGUUUUGAUAGCAUCAAAGAAACGAGAUAAAAGGUAUCGCUAUUGUAAAAUGUUAGGUCACGUCAAAGCAGAUUGUUAUAAACUGUAAAAUAAAAGAGUUUUCGAGAGUAAUGAGGAAGAUGUAGCUGGUGCUAAUUUGGCUGAUGAAAGCAAUGAUGAUUUCUUGUUAGUGUCAACAAGUGAUAACUCUAAGCUCAUGUCCGAGUGGAUCCCAGAUUCGGGAUGUUCUUUCCACAUGUGUCCCAAUAGAAAAUGGUUCUCCACAUAUACUUCAGUUGAAGGUGGAGUUGUGCGCAUAGGAAACAAUUCAUCUAGUAAGGUAAUUGGUAUUGGUACUGUUAAAAUUAGGAUACACGAUGGGACAAUUAAGACACUCUCAGUUGUCAGGUAUGUACCUGAUUUACGAAAGAACCUCAUCUCCUUAAGUAUUUUAGACUUGAAAGGAUACAAAAUCAACAUCGAGUCGAGAGAUAUUAAAGUAUCUCGUGGAGCUCUCGUUUUGUUAAAAGGUAAAAGAACCGAUAGUCUUUAUAUUCUAGAAGGUUCUACAGUGACCGGUGAAAUCGGACGUCCCUCAUCCAUUACGGAGUUGAAGUCAACUCGUUUGGAGCGGAGGCAACUUAGUCAUAGGAGGGAAAAAGAUAUGACCGUUUCGUUGAAGAGAGGUUCUCUUUUGGAUGCAGGUUUUGAAAAGUUAGGGCACUGUGUUCAUGAAAAUCAAACCCGGGUUAGUUUUGAUUUGGCAGUGUACAAGUCGAAGGCUAGAAGUCUUCCAGUUUCUAAGCACAGAUUCGACUUAGUUAAUUCCUUAUAUAGUUCAAGAUAGGCUCGUAGCGGGCUUUGGUAAAGAUGGGGUUGUGGAAAUAUGAGUCAAGGUGGAGAUUUGUUAAGUAUGACUCAUAUUUCAGUCAAAUUUGAGAAAUAAUCUUCUAGUUAAACUUUGUUUAAUUAUUUCAAUCAAACAUUGAUUAGUUUAAAUUAUUUAUUAUUAUUUGACCUAUGAAUUUAGCCUAUAAAUAGACUCUUUUACAACCUUAAAAAAUACACUCAUUAGAUAUUAGAACUCAUAAAACCUUAGAAAAUACACUUAUUAGAUAUUAGAACUCAUAACACAUUUAGAGAAUUUUGUGUUUAUGUUUUGAGGGUUCUUUGUUUUUGGGGUAUAGGUUUUAUUUUCAUCUUUUGUACUCUUCGUUUUUUUGUCAUUAUAGUAAAAUUAUCUUUGCCAGUGAUUUUUUAUCCUCUUUGGAAGGGUUUUUCCACGUUAAAUUUGUGUGUUCAAUUUAUCAAUUUAUUCCGCUAUUUUUUUUCUUGUUACUUAAUCAGAUCAAUUCUAACACGAAAAAAAGUUAUAUAUAUCCGAAAAACUAGAAAAUAGAGAAGAAAAGAAAGAGUUACCCGUUAUUUAAAUGCCAUCCCUUUAUUCCAGCCACUUGAAUUAAAGCAUUUCGCCACCUUUGGAUCUUCUCACUAUCUUCUUUGUAUCUCUCUUCAUGUCUGGCAAAGGCUUCUUCCACUUUCUCUUUUUGUUUUCUUAAAUUAGAUGGAUCAACAUCAUAAAAAAUUGGAAACACUUUAUGGCCGUCGUUGUUAUGUCGUUUAACAAUCUCAGCAAGCUCCUCCAAGCACCAACUUGAAAAGGCAUAAGUUUGUGAAAAAACGAUUAUCGAGCACCAUGAUUCCUGAAUUGCUUUAAAGAGUUCUGGCGCGAUCUCUUCACCGGCCUCCAGCUUUGGAUCAUCCCUGAAAGUAACGAUCCCACUCCUACUUAGAGCAUCAUAGAGAUGAUCGGUAAAGUUGUUGCGGGUAUCUUCACCUCUAAAACUCAAGAAAACAUCAUAUUUCUUUCUAGAAAUGGAGGAAGAAGUUGAAGGUAAUGACGACAUGACGAUGUACGAGAAAGAUGAUAUAUAUAUGUGUGUGUGGAUGUAGUGUUGAAAAUCAGAAAACUGAUCGCUCAAUACGCCAGAAAGAAACUAGAAUGAAUAACUAUAUAUGAGCAUGGAGGAGGAUAAAAACAGAUGCAAUUUUCCAAAUGAAUGCGCGUAGGUGUGGAAAUUGGAGUGAUGCAUGUGAAUCCAAGAAGGUGGGAGUGCCUACAAUAUUAUUCAAGUAAAGUGUUGGACGAUUUUUGUUGUACUUACUUUCACAUAAACCUGCCUAAGAAGAUAGAAUGAGAGGGCCCAACGUUGCUUGUUAGGAUUCUAUUCAUGCAUUAAUACAAAUUACAAAGACUUUGACUUACACAAUUUAUUGUUGGACGCUCCUGUCCUUUUCUCAUCACAAAAGAGACUAAAUACAAAGUAUAUGCUUGAAGAAAAGUAUUUUUAUCAAAUUAUAUUUAUUUAUUUCUUAUUUUUUUCAUAAAUUUUCGUUAAUAAUAUGGUUAUGAAAUUAAAUAUUAUUCUUUAAGAAUUCAUGUUUGAAUAGAAGAAAAUGUAAAAACCAAUGUAUACUCAACGCAUGAAAACACCAAUGUAGGUUCAUCCAACCAAAUCAUGUGACGAAUUUUCAAAUAAGAUGUUGGAAAAAGUGGUCAUUCUUUUAAUUCGUGUUUCCUAUAUGGGUUAAUAGAAAGCAACUGGGAGCAACCGUGAAGAAUUAGUCAAACAUGUUUCAAUCAACCAAGGUCAAACAUGUUUCAGUCUCCUUUUUCUGGAUGUGAAAACCUAAGUCUUGCGUUUUUUAAUUUUAAUUUUUUUUUAAAAAUAUUUUUAUAUUUUUUGAAAAUAAAUUAUCACUUUUUCAAAAAUUUUAAGAAUAUUUGUAUAAUUAUUUUUUAAAAAGGUUUGAAUUUUUUUUAUUUUUAUUGAUGUUGCUAGGGGUGUGCAAAUUUCAGAUAAAACCGAAUUAAUUCGGUUAACCGACCGAAUUCGGUUAAUCGGUUGAUUAACCGACUAAAUUCGGUUAAUCGGUUGAUUAACCGAAUUAAUUCGGUCGGGGUCAGUUAAUAAUUUUUUAGAAGUUCGGUUAACAGUUAAUUCGGUUCGAAAUGGGUUAGUUAACCGAAUUAACCAAAUUUAGUAAAUACUAUUAUAAUAUAUAAGUAUUCGGUCUAUUCAGUUCGGUUAAUUUUUUGGAAAUAUAAAUUAAUUGGUUGGUUAAGUCAGUUAAUUUUUUAUAUGCUUUAUACUUAUAUUUAUUUUAACCAAAAAUAAAAAAUAUAUAAAUUUCGGUUAAUUAAGUUAACCGACUGAAUUAACAGAAAAAGUUCGGUUUAGUUAGCGGUUAAGGAUUUAAAAGGGUCGAUUAAUUUGGUUAAUGGUAGUUCGGGUCGAUUAACCGGUCGGUUAACCGAUUGAACACCCCUAAAUGUUGCAACAGUUCCAUGUCAGCAACUAUCGUUGAUAUAGAGCACCACAUCAGCGCUAUAAUGGUCAACAUUAGUCAAAGGAUCUAUUUGACCAGCUUUGUUAGUUCAAGGGCUUAAUUGAGUGCAAAAAGUUCACAAUGGCUUAAUUGAUUUUUGCACCCAAUUGAGCCCUUUAACUAACAAAACUAGUCAAAUAGCCCCUUUGACUGAUGUUGCUCUUUUGUAUUUAAUAGCAACGCUUAUAUGGCUGUUAACAGAUGUUAUGUAUGCAAAAACAAUAAAAAAUUCAAAUCAUAAAAAAUAUUUUAAAUAUAAGUACACAAUGAACUUGGACACGCAUGUGUCUAGAUUCUUUCUACAAUCAUAAAAAAUUCUAAAAAAUAUUAAAUUCGUUAAAAAGUAUAAUAAUGAUUAGAACUUAAUUAAAAUCAAUAAAUUGAAAAAUGAGAAGCAAUAAUUAACAAAUAAAUUGUUAAUCUGGAUUUUAUGAUAUAAGUUGUUUAUGCUUGUUUUCUUUUUUAAAAUAAAAAACAAUAAACUAUUUUUUAAAAAGUUUUAUGAAUCUUAAUUAAUUUCUAUUUUUUUUAUAAUUUUUUAAAACAAUUCUAAUUGUUUAUGUUUUUAAAAUUCUAGAACAUGUAUGAACAAAUGGGUGUUCAGAUUCAAAUGAAUCUGGACAACCAUUUGUUUAGAUUCAUUGUGUGUUUAUUUUAAAAAUAAUUUUAUUUAUUUUUAAAUUUUUUUUGUUGAUAUGGCACUAUCACAUAAUCAAUCAGCAAUGAAGUGGCACUUCCAUGUCAGCAAUCAAUGAUGGCAUUGCACUACCACAUCAGCAAAUGGUGUUGAUGUGGCAUCUAUUAACGACGACAUCAGCAUUGCUGUUAAAUACUAAUGGUUAACCUCAGUCAAAGGGUCUAUUUAACCAAUUUUGAUAGUUCAGAGGCUCAAUUGGGUAAAAAAAGUUCAGGGGGGCUUAAUUGAUUUUUUAAAAAAAUACAAUGGCUUAUAAUACCAUUAAGACUAAAAAUUUAGUAAUCAUUUAUUUCUUUUAGAAUUUUAUAAUUAUCUUUGCUCUAUUUUAAUAAAGAAAUGUAAUUAAAUCUUAUUAUAUUUUAAAAAAUAUAUAAAUUUAAUUUUAUUAACGUUAUUAAUAUAUGUAUUUAUUUAAAAAGAUAUUUUAAGUUUAACAAUUUACUACAAUGUAUGUUUAAUAUUAGAACAUAAAAGGCUAAUUUAAUUAAGUAAAUAUUUUAAAAUAAAGAGAUUAUUUGAUAGUUUGAUGAGUUACUCAUUCAAUAUAUAAUACUUACUAAAUUUAGGGUUUUUAAAAGAAGCCUUAGAAUCUAUAAUAAUAAAAUUAUAUGGUUAACUGUAGAUGUGCUCAUUGGUCAGGUUAGGUCGGGUCCAUCCAAAAUUUUAGAGCCGUUUGUUAGGCCCCAGCUCAGGGCCAACUCGAAAAAUGAGCCUAAAAUUUUGUUCAAUCCCGACCUAGAUAAAAAUGUUAAAACACAGGCCUGACCUAUAUUAAUUUUUUAUAUAAAUUUUUAAAUAUAUAUAAUACAUAAAAAUACUAAAAAAUUAAAAUAAAUAUUUCCCAACAAAUUGAAAAUAAAUUUAAAAAAUAUAUAUUUAUAGUUAAAUAACACUAAGAUAGGUGCAACUUAACAAGCAAAUAUCUCUAAAAUAGUAACAAAAUUAACAAUAAAAUAAGAGUUAUACAAUAACAACAAAAUAAUAGGAACAUAUUAGUGAAAUGGUAAGAAAAUAGUGAAAAAAAAAACAAGAUAAUAGGAAUAUACAAAGUUCUCCUGAAAUUCUCGCAAAACUCUCUCUUAAUUGUGUUGUUGAACCUUGUCUCUCUAAGGAUGCUAAAAGUCCUAUUUAUAGGCUAGAAUUCAUGGCUAAUCAAAUUAGAAAUUCUCUAGAGUUAUUAGAGUUUGAUUGGGAAAAGAUAAUAGAGUUUAACUAGGAGAAGAAACUUGGUUUAGUAGGGAACACGUUGUCACACCGUGAUGUCGCUCAUCGGCUCGUCAGGAUGUCAGCUCUCCCUCAUCAUGACGCCUUCUCUAUUUUAGACUAAAUGUGAGGCACACUCUACAAAUCUCCACCUUGACUCGUAUUUCUAAAAACUCCUUCUUUGUCGAGCCCUGUUAUGGGCCUAAAUUAAUCUUUGCCGGAUACUUAACAAGUCUAGGUAGUGCUUGAACUCCUGAACAAAGUGAUACUAAAUGUCUAUGUGAUUUGUUCUUUCAUGAUGCAUCUGAUCCUUAGUGAGAUGUAUGACACUUUAACUAUCACGAUAUACAAUAGUCUUUUCACUUUUAUCAACCAACUCCCAAAGUAGAUCUCUCAACUAAAUGAUCUCUUUCACAACCUCUAUGAUAGCUAUAUAUUCUGCCUCUAUAGUUGAUAAUGUCAUAGUCAUUUGUAGAGUGGAUUUCUAGCUAAUUGUACAAUUGCAAAAAGCGAACAGAUAACCUAUGAGAAAUCUACUUUUGUCUAAGUCUCCUGCAUAGUUCGAGUCUACAUAGUCUACUAGACCUUUUGAACAUUUUCCAAAUUCCAAAAAAGUAUUAGAUGUCCCCCUCAAAUAUCUAAGAAUCCACUUAACAACUUGUAAGUGUAAUUUGUCAAGUUUGGCCAUGUAUCUACUUACUGCUAACAACAUAUGAAAUAUUGGGACAAAUACAAACCAUUACAUACAUUAAACUUCCAACUGCACGGGAAUAAGGAACCAAGGACAUAUACCUUUCUUCGUCUUCUAUUUUUGGUAAGUCUAAAGUCGAAAGUCUAAACUAUGCAGCUAAGAGUGUACUAACUAGUUUAGAAUCUUGCAUUCUAAACCACUCGAGAAUUCUUUUGAUGUAUUUCUGUUGUGAUGGAAGUAGCUUCUCGGAGUGUCUAUCUCUCAAAAUUUUCAUCCCUAAAAUUUUCUUGGUUGCACCAGGAUCCUUCAUUUCAAACUUAGAGUUAAGCAUGGUUUUAACUCGGUUUAUUUCUGAUGGAUCCUUGGUUGCAAUUAACAUAUCGUCAACAUAAAAUAGCAAAUAAAUAAAUUAUCCAUCAUCUAAACAUUGUAGAUACAUACAACUGUCAUACUUACUCUGAAUGAAACCAAUUCUUAACAUGAAGGACUUGAACUUCUUAUACCAUUACCGAGGAGACUGCUUCAGACCGUAUAAUAAUUUUUAAAAAGGCAAGCAUGGUCUUCCUUGCCUUCAAUCCUAAAGCCUUUCGGUUGCUAUAUGUAAAUGUCCUCCUUUAUGUCGCCAUGAAAGAAUGCAAUUUUCACAUCUAAUUGUUCUAAUUCAAGAUUGUGUAAUGCAACAAGAGCUAACAAUGCUCGAAUGGAUGUAUGCUUAACAACUGGAGAGAAAACAUCAUGAAAAUUAACUCCCUCCACUUGACUAUAACCCUUUGCGACCAACCUCGCGUUAUAUCUCAUGUCAUCUUGACAUAAUCCUUUCUUCUUUUUGAACAUCCUUUUACAACCAAUUAUUUUCUUUUUAGUGGGUGGUUUAAUGACUUUCCAAGUCUCGUUCUUAUUAAGGGACUCUAUCCCUUCUUCCAUAACAAUAAGACAUUUGUUGGAAUCAGAAGUUCGAACUACCAUUAUCCGUAUAACCAUUUUACAGACUUUCCAAUCUACUCUUCUAGUCAGGUCUUCCACUACUUGAAGAUCCCAAAGACUUCAUUAUUAUGCUUCAGGAAAUAUACAUAAACUUUCCUAAAGUGGUCGUCAAUAAAAGUUAGAAGAUAUUUGCUACCACCUUUAGAGAUGACUGGAGCCGAACCCCAUAAAUUGGAUUGAAUGUAGUCAAGGGUCCCUUUUGUCCUGUGUACUACUGAAUCGAAGCUGACUUGAGUUUGCUUCCCAUAAAUUCAAUGCUCACAAAAAUCUAACUUUCCAACUGCGGUGCUUGUGAGAAGACCUUUUUCACUCAAAAUGAUCAUACAUUUUUCGCUUAUAUGAUCGAGUUGCGUGUGACAUAACUGAGUUGAAUUAUAAUCCAUAAAGAGGAAAUUUUGUCAUGUUAUUGUGACAUCAUGGGAGUCCUUGUCGUGCCAUGGUGAUGAUUUCACCUUUAUUUCUGUAAUUGUUAUUGAACCAGUCACCGUUAAACCUUACAAAAUGUAUAAGCUAUCGAUCUUGCAACCAUUCGAAUCUAGAAUACCCAAAGGGACAAGAUUCUUAUUUAAAUCAGGCAUGUGCCUGAUAUCUAAUAAUGUUCUGAAUAUCCCGUCAUGCAUCCUAAUCUGAAUGGUACCAAUGUCGGUUAUUUUGUAAGGUGAGUUAUUUCCUACAAGCACAAUUCCACCUUCAACCAAACUAUAUGUGGAGAAUCAGUCCCUAUUGUGACACAUAUGGUAGGAACACCCUGAAUCCGAAAUCCACUCAUAUGUGAACUUAGACCUUUCGAUCGUUGACACUAACAAAAAAUCAUCACCUUUAACCUUGGCUACACUAGCUCUGCCUUUUACUUCACUUUCUUGUCAUUUUCAUCGGCUCUCUUAUUUUUAUUCUGAAGUUUAUAGCAUUCUACUUUGAUGUGACCCAUCUUUUUGCAGUAGCCACAUUGUUUGUUGUGGUUUCUUAAUUUCAAUCUUGCCCUAGAUCCUUUUUGACCCAAAUCCUUAGACUGUUGCCUUCCUCUAGCAACCAAAACUGAGGUUUUUCCAUUUGACUUGAUCUUUGAAUCUAACUUGUUGUCAAUUUAUCCUUACUCAAUAGGUUUCCCUUCACGUCCUCAAACGAGUCUCUCUCUAUCAUAAAUUAGGGUUUCCUUGAAAUAUUUGUAUGAAUGGGGCAAAGAAAAAGGCAAUAACAUUGUUUGAUCUUAAUAAUCUAUGUUGUCCUCAACAUUCUUCAGGUCAUUCAGGAGAGUAACAAAUUUACUAAUGUGAGCCUUAAUAGACUCGCCUUCGGCCAUACAGAACGUGUAUAAUCACUAUUUUAAAACCAAGCAAUUUGCGAGAGAUAUUGUCUUAUAAAGUGCUUCUAAUUUUCUCCAUACAGUUGUUGUCGUUUUCUUUGUAAGUAGCUUCUGCGACAUGUUGUUCGUGAGGCACAACUGAAUUGUUGACAAUGUUUGCUCAUCAAGCUCCUCUCAUUCUACCUGAUUCGCAUCUGCGGGCUUCUUCCUUUUAAUGGCCUUUUUUAAAUCAUUCUGAACUAGAAUUGUCGUCAUAUGAACUUGUCACAAACUAAAAUUUGUGAUCCCAUCGAACUUCUCAAUAUUGUACCUCAUCAUCAACUCUGAAUGGGCUGAAUGUGAAAACCAUACCAAACUUUGAUACCAGUUUAUUGGGUUAAACUCGAAUUAUGCAACGAAUAAGAACGAAAAACAAGAAAAUUGGGCACCCAAAUAUUUACGUGGAAGAAAUCCACCCAAUAGGAUAAAAAAUCACAAGCAAAGAAAAUUUCUCUAAAAUAAAAAAAUCGAAAAGGAGUACAAGAUGGAGAAAUAAAAUCAAACUCGAAUCCAAAAUAAAAAGUUCUCUUGAAAUUCCCGUAAAACUCUCUUCAUUGUGUUGUUGAACCUUGUCUCUCCAGGGGGUGCUAAAAGCCCUAUUAUAAGCUAAAAUUUGUGGCUAAUAUGAUUAGAAUAUCCUUAAGAGUUAUUAGAGCUUGACUGGGAAAAGAUAGCAGAGUUUAACUAGGAAAAGAAACCCGAUUUAGUAGGGAACACGUCAACAUAUCGUGACAUCGCUUAACGGCUCAUUGUGAUAUCGCUUAUCGCGUCGUUGAGACGAUGAGUUCUUUUCAUCAAGAUGUCGUGUGUUGCCGUCGGUAUGUUAGCUCUUUCUCGUCACGAUGUCGUAUCUUUUUUGGACUAAAUUAACGUGAGGCACACUGUACAAUUUGCACGUUAUUAUAACUUUGAAACUAAAAGCAAAUACAUUAUAAUUUGAUCGCCAUAUUUGGACUCCACUAACAAUAUUUUAUGGUCGGCAGGGCAUUAUAAUGAUUUAAUUGACAAUUAUAAUUCUUGCUUUAGUCAAGACUAAAUCUUGGUGGCUUUUUUAAUCAAAGAAAAAAUUUUGAGAAAUCCAAUUGAUGUAGUUUAGCCUAAGAACUACAAGCAACGAUACACCCAAAAACUCGAAUAUCACAAUAGAAUCGAAAAGCUCCCUAAUAAAACUCUCAAAACCCAUGGGUCACCAAAUUUUCAAUUAAAACAUCAAAUUUCUUCCAACUUUGAACCAAGUCAUGGAGCACAAGUCUUAUUAAAACCCAAUAAUUGACAACAUAAAAGAGAAAACACUCCCAUUCAAAAGAAAAAAAAGGUAAGAGCUAAACAAAUCUAUUCUUGACAUUUUUGAGCUCCUAGGUAAAACAAUAAAAUAGAGUUUUAGAUUCCUUAAAAGUUGGUAAAAAAAAAUUUGGGCCCUUAAAAGCUAAAAGAAAAUAUUUUGGAACCCCUUAAAAGUUGAUAAUUUUUUUUACCUUUAAAAGUUUUAAAAAAAUUUGUUCUCCUUAAAAACUGGAAAAUAAUAUUUUAAACCCCUUUUAUCCUUGGGUCUUGAGCGGCCGCUCCUCCACACGACCCCAGGACCAAUCCUAAAGCUAAACCAAAAUGUUUACAACCAAUGAAUCUAAAACCAAUCAAAAUAAGCACCAUAAAACCUACUACUCGGAAACUGAGCACCAAGACAUACAAAUAGAUGCAGGAGCAUAACAAAUGUCACCACCAUGCACCCCAUAAUUCUUUUGAGUCACUAUAGUUGAAAAUAAAAAUUGAUGAUCAUAACUCUCUUUUUCCUCGUUCCUUGAAUUUCACCACUACAUACCUUCAAUUAAUACCCAACUUGGACUGAAAAAUUCAGCACUCAAUGUUCAUAUUGUUCAUACGAAGAGGUAAAAAACGGCAUCUUUUCGACAACUCAAAUCUGGACCCCUAAUCAUAAACCAUCUUACACGUCACUCUCGAAACCAAACAGCACUUUCUCAUAAAGACAAUGCCAAAAAAAAAAUGCUGAAAACAUCAAAAUGACACCACUCAAUCUUCUCAUACCACUAAUAUCACCAAGCAAUUCUCAUCUCGCCCUUAGUGUUCCAAUAUUUUCAUACAACAACCUAAGAGAAGAACAACAUAAUUUACAAAACAUAACAGCUUCACCCUGAAAACAAAACCCAAUAUCCCCAUCCUAAGUACUCAACAAAAGAUAACUAAUAUCCCCCAUUUUGACUCCAAAAAUAGACCAUUGAGGAUGAAAAUUCUCAAGAAAACAAAAAACUAAAGACCAAUUUCAUUAAUAAUCUAGUUCAAAAAUUGGCGAACUGUGAGUCUUAUGGUACAAACAAAUUAUGAAUAAGCUGACCUUUUUUUGUUAAUAACUCUCGAACUGCUCCUUUAUUAAGUUACAUAGUUAUGCAAUUGACUUUGACCUUCUAAAAUUACAAAUAUAAUUAUCAGCACCAAAGACAAAUGGUUCAAAUGUAGAAGGUAUGCAUACACACAUAUAAUGGAAUUUUAUAUCUAAAACAAAUAUAUUUAAAUAAGUCAUUAUACUUUUGUCACAUCGAAAAUAAGCCCUUCUACUUAAACUCAUUUUCAAUUUCAAUAAAACAUACAUAUAUAUAUCUUGGAAGUCUUUCUGAAAUGUGUUGUAGUUCUUUAUUUAUGAUGGACUAAGAUUUGAUAACUGCCGAUCUGCAAAUAUAUUGCAUUAAGGGGUAGUUCUACAAGCAUUUCAUCAGUUAGGGCAUUUAAUCCUAAGGUCAGAAUACGUAAGGGAACCAUUUACAAUAUGCUCAUCAGUCAACUGCAUCUUUACAAACUUUGGGUUUUCAAAAGUGCAAUCUCGUUAAACAAAUCUGAUUUGUCAUUCUCCUAUUAAAAAAUUAUAAAGAUGACAUGAAAUCACAGUUUCAUACAAUCCCUUCUCUAACUCAAAGACCUAAUUGUUAGCCAAAGGAAACUUUGGAUUGUAAUUCGAAUAUAACCUCUCCUUUUGAGACAUACCAAGAAACACACAUCCAUCAAGUCAAAAAAAAUAUGCUUACAAGACAACCCAAACAAAACGAAGCCAAAGAGAUCAUAAGAGCAAACGAUCUCCAUCAAACUUUCCACAUCCAUAAGACAUCUCCUUGAUACAAUUAUAAUUAAAGGUAGAAUCACCAAUGAAAUCACUUCAACUUGAAAAAUGUCUGCUGAACAACUCACCUUGCAACAACCCAAGAAACCAAUCCAAUAAAACACCUUCAAAACUUGAACAAAAUUUGGCAGAUCAGAACACCAAAACCCAAAAAUCACUGUAUUCGAAUCCUAAAGCAACUAAAAGAAAUCGGUAAAUUAGCUCCCUCAAAAAGAACGUAUCCGACCUCCUAUUGUUGAAAAGUGGCCAACCAUGCUAUUGUUAUGUUUUUGCUAAAGUGCAUGCAGGCUAUUUGCAUGUUGCAGCUUUUGUGCAUGCUGCAUUAACAAGUUUAUUGUUUAGUUACGUUGUAAUUAAACUUAGUUGAAAAUGAACAAGCUGAUGAAAGUUUGAAGUGUUUAGGUAGUUGAAUGACUAGUUUAGGUGGCUUGUUUACGUGCACAAGCAAUGUUUUACAAGUUACUAGGCUACUUAGUGGUAGUAGGCAGUAUUUAGUGAUGUAUUUGGUUAUAAAUGUAUUGUUUUUUCUGGUUGAAUGAAUGAGAAAAAUGAGCUAUCAGCCAUAAGCUCCCUUGCUGCACGAUUGUGAGCAAGUAAAAAUAUUUCUUGCAUCUUGCUGUCUUGUUCUAUUCUCUGUUUUCUUCCUCUGCUUCUCCAAAUCGUCAACACCUAUAGAUCCAAAUUCAAUCUCCUUUCUUCAAUUGGCCUCAAUUUCUUUUCAUCCCGAUAACUUGCAAGUCCAACUUUUUGCUCAGUUCCCACGCCUCUGUCAGUUCCUUCCACAUCAUCUUCUUUCGGUUUUGAAAAUCAGAGUUAGAUAAAUGACUCAUUUGCGGACUUUCCCCAAAAGAUUAUGGUUUCGAAAAUUUAUUCUUACAACUCCUUCCUUUCACUUUAUUUUUAAUCCCAAGUUUCGCAGUUCUUUAUUGCUCCUAGUUCAAAUAGAGAUCUAACUUUCCUUGUUUUAAUUUUAUUGAACCCUACCUAGUCUCAAUCCUUGUGUCCGCCUUACGAUUGAAACUCGAAGUAGAAACAUUUGCUAGAUUCACCCCUUCAUGAUGUUGAACUUCAACACUGUCACCCAUAUUGCAUCCAUCAUCAAGGGAUGGGCUACGAAUAUCAUCAACACCCAAUUCCAGUCCUAUAUCAUCAGCCCGAUUCAAAGGUGUGCGCGGAACACAUUUUGUUAACCCAAUACAAGAAUCCACUUGAACCAAAUAUGUUGUUAAGCCCAUACCCCUUCAUCAUCAUCCACUUGAAUCAUAAGUCCAUCUUCAACAAAAUCUUAAAUUUCCAAAUCCUCGUUGCGUGGGUCUAUUGACUUUAUCAAUACCCAUUUUCCCAAAAACCUCCACUGACUAUGUACCUAUAUUAGAAUGGCCUUGGUCACAUUAUCAUCUACUAUAUUUACAAUGCCAUUAGUGUCCCACUUUGCCCUUUUUUCGAGAACCUCACUGUUUCCAUCACAACUAAUGUUCUUUAUCAUUUCGUCAAUACCAAGAGCCACCCUAUUCGCCGAUAUUCCUAACAUGCCUUCACUGCCAUGCUCGAUUUCCCAACUCAUCUCAUUAAAUGGCAUCAUCAUCAUCCCAUUCUCAAAGUCUUCUUCUUUUAUUUUUCUUCCUGAAACCGGUGACUCAUCACCUUCUUCUAAAGACAGACAAUCAAAUUCAGAGGACUCAUCAGAGAUCGAUGUUAAGGGAAUUUACUGAUAUCCUUUUGCUUUAUCAGACCCUAAGAACAUACCUGACGCCUCAGAGGCUCUAACACGAAAACCAUCUUCCAAAUUGAAGCAACUCAAUCCUCUGUAACAUUUUACUAUAAUCCUCCAUCAUCCUUUUAUUCGAACCCAAAGACACUAACGACCCCCAAGUCUCCGCAAUUCUUUUAUAGUGGCACAUAUGAAUUGGGACACCGUAAACCUCCACCCACACCGUCCUGUUAGUGGUGGUAGAAAACUUAGACCACGAAACAAUGUCGAUGAAGCAUUCACGAAGACAAGGCCAUUGAAGUUCUUCCAAUCUUGCUCUCAAGCCGUUGUCUUGAAUAGAGACCAGGAACUGAUCACCUGAGAUUUAUUGUGCCAAUUAGACAUUUUUCCAACUUAGUAACCUCUUCAUCAUCUACAUGACCCACAAUUUUCUUCAUACAAGUCAAUUCGCCAUCGUCCCUUAAAAUACAAACGUUUUCUCCUUCUGCACGAUUCGAAUUGCAUAUUCCUUGCUAGAAUGCUUGCUUUCUUCAGAAACUUCUUUUUGAGUCUAUUUACCUCCUGAGUACUUAAAGCACUUCCUACUCCCUAUUUGCAUCUUACCAGCCUAUUGCCUUCACCUUUCCCAUCCACUCUUCUCCAAAAUGCUUCUCUCCCAUUAAAUUUGGCAAUAUUGACCCUCAAUCAACAACCCCAAAUCCAUAGACCAUUGAUUCCUCUCACCAGUUUUUUAGCUUCCGUAAAACUAGUCACUUGUACAAAUGUAAAUAUUUGUCCUUUUCUAUGACUUUUCUGAGGCACAGAGAGGUCCUCACCAUAUUUUUUGCACUUUCCACGAUACCAUCGCCAAUUUAUGAAAUCCGGUGAAUUUUCAAUGUGUACGGAAACCAGCAUAUCCUUCUUAUUAAAAUUUGUCUAUUAAUAUAUAAUUACAUGUAUCUUUCUCCAAGAAACAAAAAUAUUGGGAUAUUAUUAGGAAAGAACAAUGAAUUUUUUUAGGCUUAACGUAUAGAUUAUUACCUGAGUUUGAUAAUUUUUUUUAAUGUAGCCUCUGUGUUUUUUUUGUUCAACGUGAUGCAUAUAUUUGAUAAAAAUUACACAUUUUUCUAAAAAUGAUUAUGUAACUUUUUAAUACUUAAUUUAAGUUUAUAGUUGAUUUGCAUCAAAUAAACUCUACACACCGAAUUAAAUUACAUUCAUCAAACUAUAUUUGACAAACUAAAUAUAGAAUCAUGACAACUUCAAACCUAAUAAUAUUAACCAUUAAGUUUCAUCAAAUCAACUUUAAAAUUUAAGUUAAACACUAAAAAAUUAAAAUCGUUAUCUUUAAAUCUCAAAAUAAUUUAACUUUUUUCAAAUCCAAGUCUUAGAUUGGACCGAAAAAUAACAUAAAUAUCACAUUAAAAAAUAUUAAAAUCGAGUAUCAAAUUAUAGAUUAAACCAAAUUUUAUGGCAAAUAUGAGUCCAAAUAUUGGUUAAGUUGCAAAAAUAAAAGAGAAGUUUUAAGGUUUUUAAAAAAUUGAAGAAAACUCGAAUUAAAAAUUUCAAGCCUCUUCAAAUCUCCUCUGAAAAAAAAAUCUCAAGCAAUAAAAUUGAUUUUUUUAAAGUUAAAACUUAUAUUAUUUAGGUUUAAAUAUUUGUUUUGUAAUUUAACUUAAUUUUUGGAGUUUUUUUAUAGUAUUAAGGAAAUUGCUUGCCUUUUAGGCGAUAAGAAGAAAUAACUUCGCCAUGUUGUCAUCCAAUAUCGAUGGCCCCCUAAAUUUUAAUUUUCUAAAUUAUCAACCAGCAUGGUGUUUUUUUUGGUAAAACAAUGAUUAAAAUCUAAGCUAUUUUUUAGGUAAACAAUGAACAAAAGAGAUGAUUUCCCCUUAAUUCACGUUUGAGUAACACAAUACUUAAUAUCAGAACAAUAGUCACAUAAUAUUUUCAUGCAUUUUGAUGAGAUAAACAUAAAAUCCUAUAAGAAACGUUAUCACCCUUACCUUAACCUUACUCAAAAUCUGUAACUCUUUUUUUCUCUCUUUUCAAAUAUGUAUUCUAGCUAACAUCACAAGAAACUUAUGCCAUGGAGUCACUCAUGAAGGAAAUUUGGAAUUUAAAGCUUGGGAUUGUUAGAAAUGAUGGAAAGGACAUAAAUGUAAGAAAAUGAAUAUUUUCUAUGGAUGGAGAAGGAGAGUGGUGUGAGAGGAGACGGAAAUGAUGAUGGAAAGUUUUCUACAUCUUUACACGAAAGUAUCUACUAAAUUUUAUAUUUUAAAAUACUAAUAAAAAAAUAAAAAAAUUCAAGUCAUCGUCAUCCAAACAAGUGGACCACAUUCAAAUUUAAUUUCAUCCACAAACUCAUCUACCCUUUUGGACUAAAUUGCUCUUCAAGUCCUUCAUCUUUUUCUCAUCCAUUGAAUCUAGUAAUUUCUUAUUUAUAAUUUACACUAUUACCUAACACUUCUUUCACUUUUAUAAUUUAGUCCAUACCUUAAAUUAAUUUCCCUUAAUUCAAAAGCCUUUUUAAUUACUUAUGAAAUCCAACUACCUUCUCCAUUAAUACUAAAAAUCUUAUUUUAUCUGCUUCAAAAAUCUUAACACGUGCACAACUCGAAAUGGCACCGUUCCCAUCUUGAGAGGUGUUGGGGAUGUUACAAACUAGCCACCAAAAAAAUACGACAACCCAUUUUUCAUAUACCAUCAUUGGUAGUAGAUUGAGGGCAUGAAAUCCCCCGUACAAGAUUCCAUCAAAGGCUUCCUUUCCAUUCGGGAAUUCCACAUUACAAUCCACUAUCGAUGCUCCAAUGUUCAAUUCUUUGCAUCUUUUCUCUUCUUAUUAAUGCCAUGGACAUUAUCAAAAUUGACUGGAACAUUCGGAACAUCUUGCUUACACCUAAAUUGUUGCAAAACCUAAUCACCAUUGUACCACUCAAUAGUUGAAAAAUUCAAAACAGGUGUGUUAAUGCACCACACGUAUGAAUGGUGGUAAGCCGACUGGAGAAUUUAGUUUGUCUCACCCAAUCCCCAUUGUACCACUUAAUUAGCAUUUUGUGUUAAAAAAUCCAUAAUUUGACUCAAAAUAAAAUGUUGAGGGCCACAUUGCUAAAAAGAAAAUAAUAAGGGUCAUAUAGUCAAAUUUUAUAAACGCCAUUAAACCUAAUGAUAGGUGCUAAAAGUAACAUGUUUUAAUUUCGUUCUUAAUGCAUUUUUGGAUGAUUAUUUGAUGUAAAAUGGUAAAUUUUAUGGUCCUAAUCCUUUAAAUUCAUGUUUUUAUACUUAGGAGAGCAUUUGGGAGUAAAAAGAGCGAAAAUUAGAAAAUCGGAGUAAGUUUCAGGAGUCACGCGGGCUGCCACACAACCAUGUGUCAAACCGUGUUGAAAUCGCGAAUUGCACUCCAAACUUUUGGGAAAAUACGUUUUUUAGGCAUUUUAAGACCUAUAUAAGACAAAAAUAAGAUGGGAGAGAGUCGUCAUAAAAUACUCAAGAAAAAAACUCAAAAAACACCAUUGAAGCCGACUCUAAAGUAGAUUUCUAUCGAGAUUGAAGAUCUCUUUUUGAUUUUUUUGAAGUUUAUUAUGAGUUUCUUUGUUUCUUAUGGUUAUACUAUCUUCUGAAUUUUUUUAUUUGCAAUUAUAAACUAAUUUUCUAAAUACCCAGGGGAGAUGAAUGUUAUGAUGAAUUCUAUCUUUUGAUUUCUAUUUUACACAAUAAAUACUUGAAUCUUUCUCAAUUAUAUGUGCUUAAUUCUUGGUUUAAUAUUUUCGGACUAUUAAUCCAUGUUUGGUGUGCUUAAAUCAAAGGAGGAAAAGUUUUUGUUUAAGAGUAGAUAUAGCAUAAUUAAGUGUUGUAUGCAAUACUAGAAAUAGGACGACAUAAAUCUACCGGAUUAGAGUCAAAUCUAAUAGGGGGAUCAAUGGAUCGAGUUAAUGCGAUAAUAGGGGUUUUAAUUAGAAAGAAAUUUCAAUUAAUCAACCUAGAGUCAGUUGUUUUUACUCUCGAAAGAGAUAUUAGUAUAAUUUAGGGAUUUCUACGGAUCAAGAUACUAAGUAAAGAAAUUGCAUAAUAUAGAUUGAUAAUGACAGAUGAAGUCUAGGUGGAUUCUUUCCUGCAUAUUAUUUCGCUUCUUGGUUGUUAAUCAUUUAUUUUUCUAAUUCAUUCUUUAUCGUGAUCCUUCGUUAAUUAAUUUAGUUAAUUUUAGUUUUAAUCAAUCUAUCCAAUUUGUCGGUUAAAUAAUAGAAAGACAGUAAUUAUUAGUACUUUUAAUCCUCGUGGGAACAAUAUCUUUGCUCACAGUAACUAUAUUAUUAAUUGAUAGAUGCACUUAUUUUAAUCAAAUUUUUAGUUAAUUUACGACUGCAUCACCUAAUUUAAAAAAUUACUAUUUGAAUUACAUUUUACAAACAACAAAUUUAAAAAGUUAGGUUUAAAAUAGUAUAACUUGCAUUACAUUACAUUACAUGUAAAAAGCAACUAAUUAUAUAAUAUCAUAAUCUAUUUCUCGAAAUCCUAAUUGCCUAAAUUCAUUGAGCCUAUAAAUGCUAAAGUGUCCACUUCCAUUUCAACUUGACUUUUGUUGGUCCCUCACUUGUAUGAUCCUUUGAGCCAACCAUGCUUCUAUUGGUCUAGGGACAAACAUAAAACACCAAGAUUAUUUUUGUUGCAUUUAGAUCAUUUAUAUCACUACUAUAUUAACUUACCUCAAAUUGAAAAUUUUUUAUUGAUAUAGAAAACACAACCGUUAAAAAUCUAAUUCAUGUCGACCAAAAAUCAUAAAUACUUAAUAAAAAUAAUAUACCAAAGAGUAAUUGGAAUAAUAUUAUUUGUAAUUCAAGUCACGAAAUUUAAAUGGUAAUUUUAUUAGAAGGAAAUAAAGCUAUUUAAAUACUAUUAAGGACUAUAUUUAAUCUUCCAAAUAUAUAUAAAAAAAUUGACUAAUUAAAUUGAACACAUAAAUUGAUCUUAAAUAAAAAUGGAAUGAUUUUUAAGGGUACCCAAAUUAUAAUUCAAUCCUCAUUAAAGGGUUUUCACCUUAUUAUUACCUGCUUUGUCACCGAAGCAUUUGGGAUUUGUACAAAAUAUGAGUAUGAAUAAAAGAUUAAUUUUUUUUCAUAUAUAAUAGAAGAAUCAUAUCUCAUAUCCAAAUAAGUCUAGAAUGAUUAUUUUAAAUGAAAUAAAAAAUGGAAAAACGUAAAUGUGUAAAAAAUAAAUUAAUAGGACAAGGUGAGAUAAGUAGUUUACACAGUUAAUGCUUCUUCUCCGAGUGGCCCAUUAUAAAAUUGAAAAUUUUUUGCAUCCAUUUUGGUUGCGGCCCUUCUUCCUCCGCUUCCUCGUAGAUAUUACGUUUUGGUUUUGUGUAAGAAAUGCUACCUACUGAUCCAUUGUUGCGAGCAGAGUGUUGGUGGAUGUGUUCAAAUUUUGGAGAAAAUUGAGUGCUAUGGCACUGCAACUCAUUUAUUUCUUCCAAAUCUUUCUUAUACACUAUUCUAAAAGCACACUUCUUCACCUUAACACUGCUUCCACUGAAAGACACGUCAAGCUCAUCAUCGCAUAAAUGAUUGGUUUCACAGUCACCAUAUUCAUCCUCCAAUAAAAAUGGAUAUAAUUUAUCACGCGACCAAUAACGAAGAAAAAGGUGAUCUUUCGUUACGGGCUCGUUAAAUCGUUUACCCAUAUUCAAGCGUUUCCGACUAAUCUCCCAACAAUUGACAGAUGCUGUACAAUUGAGAAGUUCGACCUCCUUUGAAGCAUCAUUAUUAACAAAAAUGCAGCAACAAGCAACUCCAAUCCAUUCUGUUGCGCGGAAGCGUGUGAAAGAGUAAAAAUAUUAUACUGAAAAAUCACACUAAGUUCAAUUCCCAAGAAAAAGAGGUAGAUCACGAAGAUCACUUAAAUACCAAGUCUUUCCUAGCCAAAAUAUCCCUUUAUCGUAAUUUAAUAGCACAAUAAAUCACUACAAUCACAUUCACAAAAUAUGCAAAAUAAAAAAUAAAGAACACCCGAAUUUUAACGAGGUUCAGCAAAUUUUGCCUACGUUCUCGGGCACUACCAAAUAUAUUUCACUCCAAAAAUUACAAGUGAAAUUUACAAAUAGGGAGAGAGAAUAAUGCCUUAAGUAGAGAAUGGCAAUUAUGGGAUGAAGAAAGUAAGAAAUGGUUAGACCUAUUUAUAGUUGAGGUUCAAUGAUCAACUUGCAAUGUCCCUAUACAAUUAGGGACCAAAAUUGUAAUUAUCCCAUGCCAACUUUUAACCCAACUUAUCAACCAAUAUUACUUUCUACUUUCGGUGCCCACCCCAUUUGACUUUUCAAACAAUGGUGGGUUCCAAUACAUUCACUAUCUUUCCGAAGGUUGAUAGGUAGGAAUAUUUUAACAGAAUCAAUUGAAGAGUCGCUUUUUUGUUGGCUAAACCAUUCUGAGAUUCCACUUCCGGGCAUAAUAAUAUCAAACCAUUCUGGGAUUUCACUUCCAGGCAUAGUAAUAUCAAACAUUUUCCU